This 137378-nucleotide long non-coding RNA is filed under the name Prunus persica (peach). Its description in RNAcentral is "long non-coding RNA (PPER_LNC000337)". Lineage: Eukaryota; Viridiplantae; Streptophyta; Magnoliopsida; Rosales; Rosaceae. The record is from RNAcentral.
UUCAACCUGCGCAAGAAGCCAGACGAGUCUCUACGAGACUACCUGAGACGGUUUAAGGCUGAAAAGGCUAACAUCAUAGGAUGCAAUGACCAAGUUGCAUCAUCAGCUUUCAAGAAGGGCUUGCCAACCGAGCACGAGCUAUACCGGGAACUGGCCAUAACACCAAGUCAAACCUUGGCAGAAGUGUUCGCGACGGCAGAACGCUACGCACUUUGGGACGAUGAUCGAAUCGCCGCAAAGAAAGCCAGCAAGCAAGUUGAUCACCCGACGAAGCAGGCAAGCCAAAAGAGCAACCAGUUCGAGCAAAAAGCCCGAGAUAAGCGCAGAUCGCGGCCCCGAGAGGGAAGCUCAGAAACAGGGACCUUCACUGAGUUCGCUAUCCCAAUUCAUCAGAUCCUGGCUCAAGUGAAAGACAAGCCGUGGGUGAGGAGACCGCCACCCAUGAAGGGAGACCCCUCUAAGAGGGACACCAGUAAAUACUGCGCAUUCCACGGGGAGCACGGACAUUACACCAACAACUGCAAUGCUUGGAAGAGACAUCUUGAGGAGCUGGUCAGAGAAGGUCAUUGCACAGAAUUCGUCGCAAAGAAGGCCAUUCAGCAGAUCGAGGAUCGUGAUGCGGCUGCCAAGGAGCCUCCCCAAAAGAUCAUUCGAAUCAACACCAUUCUAGCUGACUCCCGGGAGUCUGGGCUGACCACCAAGGAGCGCAAGAGGAAGAUCGCGCAGGUGGCUUAUGUCUCCCAAGUCACAACAGGAGUACCAGUCAUUGUGGAUACACCCAUCAUUGGUUUCCAGAAGAAGGACUUGAUCGGGCUUGACCUACCGCAUAAUGAUGCGCUAGUCAUCUGCAUUCAAAUUGAACAAGCUGUGAUCGAGCGAAUUCAUGUGGAUGAGGGCAGCGCAGCUAACAUCCUGCAACUAUCUGUCAUCCAACAGAUGGGAUUGGAGCCCAAGAUCAGCAAACUUGCCAGGUCGCUUACCGGCUUCAAUGGGGCCACAUCAAUCACUAUUGGAACGAUCGACCUUGACGUCCACUCACCCCCAGUGCUCUGCUCGCAAACCUUCAUGGUCAUCAACGAGAUCUCCCCCUACAAUGGAAUAUUGGGCCGACCGUGGAUCAGCAAAAUCGAGGCCAUCACAUCUGCUCUGCACCAGAAGAUUCGAUACCCCAUCCCUGGAGGCGGAAUCGGGCAGAUCAAUAGUGACCAAGCCAUGGCAAGAAGAUGCACAGCCCAAGGGCUCAAGAAGAGCAAGCAGUUGCAGUUCACACCAGUAAUGCAAGCUGCUACCGAGGCACGAAGCGUUCCCAGCAAACAAGCAAGCUCGAGCGAGAAGGGAGCUGUUACCCCACAAUAGCAAUUAAUGAGCCAGGAUCAAGGCGAGGGAAUCCGCCCGGAAGACUCCCCUGAAAAGGGUUGGAAGCCUGAGGAUGACGUCGAGUUAGUACCCCCUGAUCUUGGCCAGCCAGACAAAGAAGCGCAGAUCGGCUCGUGCCAGAAUCCAAACAAGAAGGAUCGAGAGGAGGGAAUCCGCCCAGAAGGCUCCCUUGAAGAAGGUUGGAAGCCUGAGGAAGACGUUGAGUUAGUACCCCUCGAUCCUAACCAGCCAGACAAAGAAGCGCAGAUCGGCUCGUGCCAGAAUCCAAACAAGAAGGAUCGAGAGGAGGGAAUCCGCCCAGAAGGCUCCCUUGAAGAAGGUUGGAAGCCUGAGGAAGACGUUGAGUUAGUACCCCUCGAUCCUAACCAGCCAGACAAGAAAGCGAGGAUCGGCUCGCGCCUAAGCCCAGAUGAGAAGAUGGAGUUGACCAUCUUCCUCCAAAACAACAAAGACAUGUUCGCGUGGUCACCAUCUGACAUGCCCGGCAUCGACCCAGACAUCAUCUGCCACCGCCUCCAUGUCAACCCUGCCAGCAAGCCCGUGGUGCAGAAGAGACGCAACUUCGCUCCCGAGCGAGUCGCGAUCAUUGAGGCCGAGAUCGACAAGCUUCUAGCAGCCGGAUUUAUUGAAGAAGUCUCAUACUCAGAAUGGUUGGCCAACGUCGUUUUGGUGGCAAAACAAGAAAAGGGCAAAUGGAGAGUGUGCGUCGAUUAUACCGACCUCAACAAAGCAUGCCCUAAAGACAACUUCCCAUUGCCGAGGAUCGACCAGCUCAAAAACCUCACCGAGGCAUUCAGCCUGCUCCGCCAAUAUCGCAUGAAGCUGAAUCCAAGUAAAUGCACGUUCGGUGUAUCAUCCGGCCGAUUCCUGGGGUACUUAGUCACACAACGAGGUAUCGAGGCACACCCACGCCAAAUUAAAGCCAUCCUCGAGAUGAAGUCACCUUCCACGGUAAAAGAAAUACAAAGUCUGACGGGCAGAGCAGCAGCUCUCAACCGAUUCCUCUCGAAGUCUACCGACAAAUGCAGACCAUUCUUCAAAGCUUUGAAGAAGGGGCAAAAAGACAAGUGGGACGAGGAGUGCGAAGUAGCUUUCCAGAGUCUAAAGACCUACCUUACUUCACCUCCCCUGCUCUCGAAGCCAGCUCCUGGUGAAGACUUGUUCGUGUACCUGGCAGUGUCCGACUCAGCCAUCAGCUCAGCUCUCAUCCGAGAAGAACUUGGGGCCCAACAUCCGAUAUUCUAUACGUCUAAAGCUCUCCUCGAUGCAGAGACUCGCUACCCAAAAUUGGAGAAGCUCAUUUUGGCCCUUGUCGUUUCCGCGCGAAAGCUGCGGCCUUAUUACCAAGCUCACCGAGUCAUCGUUAUGACUGACUUUCCUUUGAGAUCAAUCCUCCACAGCCCUGAUGCUUCCCAGCGGCUUAUGAAGUGGGCAAUAGAACUAAGCCAAUACGACCUCCUCUACCGGCCAAAGACUGCUAUAAAAGCCCAGGCCUUAGCAGACUUUGUUGCAGAGUACACACCAUCAGCCGAAGAAGAGAAGCUGGUCAGCAAAAAGAAGGAAAGUUCGAGAGCAGACAAGACCUCCGCGGAACCUGACCAACCCAGAGACAUGUGGCAGCUACGCGUAGAUGGAGCGUCGAACCAGAAAGGAGCUGGAGCAGACGUCGUCAUCAUCACUCCAGAUGGAACCCUGUUAGAGCAAGCUAUCACACUUGGCUUCCCAACUUCAAAUAACGAGGCAGAGUACGAGGCAUUGCUCGCUGGCUUGCGCCUGGCAAAGGAGCUAUCAAUCAAGAAGCUGGCCAUCUACUCAGAUUCCCAGCUGAUCACAAGUCAAGCCUCAGGAGAAUACAUGGCGAAGCACCCAAGGAUGAUCUUGUACCUUGACAAAGUCCAAGAGCUGUUGAAGGCAUUUCCCACCUUCACCAUCCAGCAGGUGCCCCGAGCAGAAAAUGCACACGCAGAUGCACUGGCAAGCUUAGGAUCAGCACUGGAUACCCAAUUCAGACGCUCCAUCCCGGUCGAACACCUUGGUCAGCCUAGCAUAGAAGAGGUAGAACAACCAGACCUGAUGCAAAUCGACGAGGAUCCUAGCUGGCAAGAACCCAUCAUCGACUACCUAGUGAAUGAAAACUUGCCCCAAGACAAGUCCGAGGCCAGAAAAAUCAAGCAGAAGGCUGCAAGAUAUUACAUGAAAGGCGACACGCUUAUCUGUAGAUCAUACUACGGGCCUCAUCUCACUUGCAUCAAGUACCCGCAAACGCUCGAGGUUCUCUGCAAAAUACACGACGGCGAAUGUGGAAAUCACGCUGGAGGCAGGUCGCUUGCUCAGAAGGCUCUCAGCAUCGACUAUUUCUGGCCUACCAUGCGUAAAGAUUCCACGGAGUAUGCUCGAAGAUGUGAUCGAUGCCAACGGUACAAGCCAGUCCCUGGCUUGCCAGCUGAGGAAUACCAUCCGCAGAACAGCCCAUGGCCGUUCAUGCAGUGGGCCAUUGACUUGGUGGGACCUAUGCCGACAGCACCUGCCAAUAAAGAGAUGAUGAUCGUUGCCACUGAUUACUUCACUAAAUGGAUCGAGGCCGAGGCUUUGUCUUCUACCAAGGAAGCUGACGUUGAACGUUUCAUCUGGAAGAACAUCAUCUGCAAAUUCGGUUGCCCGCAAUCGAUAGUUACUGACAAUGGUACACAGUUCGUGGGCAGGCAGAUCACUGCAUUUUUUGUGAAGUAUGGCAUCAAGCAGCACCUGUCAACUCCCAGAUACCCGCAAGGCAAUGGUCAAGCAGAGGCAUCCAACAAAAUCGCGCUGGACUGCCUAAAGAAAAGACUGGAAGGCGCAGAAGGAAAAUGGGUCGACGAGCUGCCAGGAGUUCUAUGGGCUUAUCGCACAACCAAAAGGAGAUCGACCGGAGAAACACCGUUUUCCUUGGCCUAUGGGACGGAGGCAAUCAUUCCCCCACACAUCACAGUCCCUUCCAUGAGCAUUGAAGUGGGCAGUCUUGACCAAAACUGCAGGCAUAUGAGAAUUAACCUUGACCUGCUCGAAGAAGAACGAGAAAAGGCCAUUGUUCGAGUUGCCGCCUACCAGCAGCAGUUGACAUCCUACUACAAUAAGAAGGCCAAGAUCAGACAGUUUCGGCCUGGAGACCUUGUGCUCAGAAAGACUUUUAUCACAUCACCAAGGCAAGGAUCAAAGAAGAUGAAGCCAAAUUGGGAAGGCCCCUACAUGAUCAGCCGGUCUGGGGGUAGAGGAAGUUACACCCUCGACACUCUAGAAGGGAAGGAAAUUCCAAGACAGUGGAAUGCCCACCACCUUCGGAGAUACUAUCCAUGAAGCUCUUCGCUUACCAGCUCGACUCCUAGCAGACAACGAGCCUCUCGUACUUCUAUUAAAGGCAAACUGCUUUUUGAUGUUACCUAUGUUAUUAAUUUCCCUUAUUCAAUAAAGCGAUGUAUUCACACCAACAUUAAUACAAAAGCAAGCUUUUCAAUGAAGUACUUUUUUCGAGCUUUAUGUCCCACAAACAUAUACACAAAGGCGACAAGCCUUACCUCCAUUGCAGACAAGCUGCUCUCCGGAGCACGAACUCAAUGGAGUCCUUUUUAAGAGCUAUGUCCCCGACAUACGCUCACAGGCGGCAAGCCUUACCUCCAUUGCAGACAAGUUGCUCUCCGGAGCACGAACUCAAUGGAGUCCUUUUUAAGAGCUAUGUCCCCGACAUACGCUCACAGGCGGCAAGCCUUACCUCCAUUGCAGACAAGUUGCUCUCCGGAGCACGAACUCAAUGGAGUCCUUUUUAAGAGCUAUGUCCCCGACAUACGCUCACAGGCGGCAAGCCUUACCUCCAUUGCAGACAAGUUGCUCUCCGGAGCACGAACUCAAUGGAGUCCUUUUUAAGAGCUAUGUCCCCGACAUACGCUCACAGGCAACAAGCCUUACCUCCAUUGCAGACAAGCUGCUCUCCGGGGCACGAACUCAAUGGAGUCCUUUUUAAGAGCUAUGUCCCCGACAUACGCUCACAGGCGACAAGCCUUACCUCCAUCGCAGACAAGCUGCUCUCCGGGGCAUGAACUCAAUGGAGUCCUUUUUAAGAGCUAUGUCCCCGACAUACGCUCACAGGCGACAAGCCUUACCUCCAUCGCAGACAAGCUGCUCCCCGGAGCACGAACUCAAUGGAGUCUUUUUUUUUAAGAGCUAUGUCCCCGACAUAUGCUCACAGGCGACAAGCCUUACCUCCAUUGCAGACAAGCUGCUCCCCGGAGCACGAACUCAAUGGAGUAUUUUUUAAGAGCUACGUCCCCGACAUACGCUCACAGGCAACAAGCCUUACCUCCAUUGCAGACGAGCUGCUCCCCGGAGCACAAACUCAAUGGAGUCUUUUUUCAAGUGCUAUGUCCUUCAAGCGCUAUGUCUCCGGACGCACACUUACAAGAUACAAAGAGAAUUGAAGUUUGAAAAACAACUGAAAAUUCAAUAACAAAGCGGCCAAUCAGCCAAGUUCAACAAGAAGUAAGGUGGUCAACCAAAGACCACUUAUUGAAAGAAAAAUAACAAAGUUCAAAAAUAGCAAAAAUGGACUACAACUGCUAAGGAACUUCAGCAGGUGACCCUCAGCCGAUCACAUCCUCAACUGCGCUGGCAACAGCCUCAUUCUACCCAACUGGCACAACUGGCUCAACCGCCUCGGCUGCCUGCUCCUUCGCAUCCGCCUUAGCCUCAUCAGUUGACCCACCUUGGCAUUUAUCUUCCUCAAUUACCGCUGCUUCUGCAUCCACAACAUCCACCUGCUCACUCUGAGCGGGGGGCAGGUCAAGACCAGUCUGCUCACCGUCAUCAUCUUCGAGAGAGCAGCAAGGAGAAACACCAUUCUGGCAAUCCAGGUAUCCCAGCUUGUACGCGUUAGCAGCAAUCUCCAGUUUGGAUGCCUCCGUGGCUUCCACAAGGGUGUCAAACUUGACCAGCAGUUUGUCACGAUCCUGGGCCAAAGCAGCAUGCUUGUGUUCGAGGCAGAAGUAGGCUUCCUUACGUUCGAGCAGAGUAGCAGCAAGAGACUUGAGUUCACCAUCCUUUUGGCCAACAGAACUCUUGAGCACGGACAAACUCUCCUUCAUCUCGGAAAUCAUCGCAUCAUGGCGAAUCCGCUCGCUCGAGAGCUUGCCAGUCAAGUCGGCAUUCUUCUUCACCAGCUCGUCAAGCAGGGCAGAAGAGGGGGCAACAUCACGUGAGUUCCGCAUGGCCCCAACAGCAAAAACCAUUCCUUUUUGAAGAUGAUACAUAGCAGCUUCUUCUUGCUCAUCCAAAGGAAGGUUCGAAAAAGCACAAAGGUCGCCGGCUCGAUACACGUGAUCAGCCAGCUUAGCGCAAGCAGACGGACUUGACAGAAAGCCUGUUUUCAGCAGAUCAGACACUGGCUCGCCCCCAGCAGAGCUAUCACCAGUUCCCGGACCGGCAGUUUGUGCAAUUGGAGGACUCUUCGCUCGAGCAGACGACUCUUUAGCUCUUUUGGCUGCAACUUGCAACAUUGAGUCAGCCCUGCGCUUGACUGUUCGUGGCCCUGCAGAUGAGUCGUGGUUGCUACACCGAGGUACAGCCAUCUCAGCUUGGUUCCCAGAUCGGCACGGACGACCCAAUCCAUGCUUCCCAGCGGCUUCCUUGCAUGGCAGAUCACGGGUCUUAGGCAGUACGGGCAAAGACUUGAGCAGAACUUCCCGAACCUCCUGCAUGUCGUUGGCCUUCUUGCUGUUCGCGCUGACGAAGCGUUUGAUCCAUGCAGACGAGGCAGGAGCAACUCCCAUAUGGGCCUUCUGAGCAGGCAAGACCUCCCUUGUAGAAGACUUGUUCGUGGCAAGAGAAGAUCUCGGCUGCCUUCGCUGUGGAGACGUAUCCACUGAUCGUGAAACUGCAGCUUCAUCUCGAGCAGCGCUAUUGCACGCUUUCCCACCAUCGGGGGACUCAGUCGAUGACUCCUCUCGCAUAACUGGAAAGACACUUAGCUCCGAGUAGCGCGACUUCCACCUUUCAAUAUCUUCAGCAGGGGGCAGGCCACCGACUUCCUUCCGAUGUUCGCUCAGCAGCCAGCGCCAUUCACGAAACUUGGCGGGGAUGCUCAAAGCUUGUCGAACCUUCGUCAUAUCCGGGUCGAGAACGAGCUUCUUUCGGAUGGCAUCAUCUGCAAGCAUGAGACAAAAGUUAGUCAGACACAGCAAAGAAUUCCAUGGCAACAGUAGCAGAUCAGAGGGAUGCAACUUACCAUCGCAGUAGGUGAGAGGAACGAGCGGAUCGUCGCCAACCUCCUCUUCCUAUCUGCCGCUGACUUUCAGCACGUUCGUGCUCCGCACAUGAUCGCCUUGACUCAUACUGAUCCUAGUUCGUGGCACAAAAAUAAGAAGGAAUUGAAGCAAUUUGGAUCAUCCACAAAAAAGAUGACCUAAACUGCCACCUGCUCCAGCAGCAGAUCGCGCACCUCCAGCCCAGUUACAGCUGGACAGCCCGAGUAAAAAGCCUCCUCAACUCGGGAGCCCAAGUCCAGGAAGAAAGCCCAGUUACAGCUGGACAGCCCAACGGAUAAUUUACAUCUCCUACAUGCCGCCACGCGCCAUGCAGAAGCUGGGGGGCAUUUGUGGGAACCUAAUUAAACCAAAACCCUAGGUCAAUUAAUUAGGCCAAUCAAUUUGGGAAUUAUUUGACCUAAUUAGGAGUUACCUAACCUAAUUGGGAAUUACCUAAUCAAAUUGGGGGUUACUUGAUCCCCAAUUUAAUUAGGGAUUCGGUUCAUCCAUAAUCCCUAAAUGCACCAACCCCACCAACCACACCAACUACACCAACCCCACCUACCUCUCCAAAGGCCACUAUAAAUACCUGGUUACACACAAGGAUGAGGUACGUCAGAAUUCCUACUGAAACUCUGCAUAAAUUAUUUCUCAAAAACCCUAGCCACCUCCUCUCUUUCUCUCUCUCACACAAGGCUCCGGCCACCACACACGGCUCCGGCCACCCGGUUUUCCUUGAAAUACCCUACCUAACUUAGGCAUCGGAGGGCCUUUGGCCAACACCCCCCGGGUGUGGUCCUUUUACUCUGAUCUGUUUUGUAGGGAGAAAGAGAGGCGGAGAAGACGAAGGAAUCUUGGGCGAAUAUUCUCCCGUGAGAUUAUUUGCACAAACAAGGGGCAAUAAUAAAAAAAUACACAUUAAAAUAGGUACAUUUUCUUUUGUUAAACAUAUUUUUAUUUUGAUAAUUUUGGUUACAAAUUAUAUGUAUUUGUUUUAAGUUAAAUCUUCUUCAAAAUCACAAAGGGUUUGUAGCUCAAAUAGUUAAAAUCAUUUACCUUUGACUAAGGUUCGAUUUUUCCUCCUCCAAUAUCACUUGUAUCCAAAUAAUUUUUUUUAAUUAUUAAAAAUUAGUCAAUUGAGUUAUGACUUAGCAUGAUUUACAUGAUUUAAUGUAUACUUUUAUUUCUACAAAGACUAUAAAAAUUGUAAGUACAAAAAGAAUGGUCAUUAAAUUUUUAGAAAAAUUCAUGAUUUUAUCCCUGCAAGCCAAAAAAACAUUUCUCAUAGAACAAUAAUCUUUUUAAAAAAAUUUGGGAAAUAGAGCAUGAAAUCUAGUAAGGUUCAGUUUACAAAGGUGGCACUUUGCAACCUCAUGUUUGCUGGGAAUCUCUAGACUGCCAAGGGGUACGGAAAAUUGCUUUUCACAAUAAAAAAUGCAAUUGCCAUUGACUGAUUAUGGACAGAAUUCUAGAUGGUCAAGGCUAAAUAAUCUUAUCUUGAAAUCCCCAAAAAGGUAAGUAUCAGUUGCAUGAUACAUGAAACAGAAAUGAUCGUGGGCCAUAACCCUAAACCUAACCUUAUUUGUAGACGUCCAUGUUGACCAAGGGAUGUUUCUUGGAAAAUACCUUGAAAUAGAAAGAGAAGUAAGGGGGACCCAUCACCCAUGUCGGUUAAAGAUUUUAGUUCUUUGCAUUCCUAGGGGUGGUUUGGUACUGGACUAAAAUCUUGGAAUUCUCUUUAAUUGACUUCCUGAUAUAAUUUGGAUAACACCUGAACUGUCUUUGGUGUAUAUUUGAUUGGAUUUAUGACUAAGUUUGUUUUAAUAUUUACAAACAGGUUAUGUGGAUUUUUUUUUUUAAUAUAAAAUUUUUCUUCUUCUUCCUCUUAUUAUUUUUUUGGCUUUUCUUUUCUCUCUGCAUCUUAUUCUUUUCUUCUUCCGCAGCUGGCUUCUUUUUCAUCUUCUUCUUCUCCAUCCUCUCUCAUUCUCCUCGCCUUCUAUCUAUUUUUCUCUUUAUAUUUUUUCAAAAAUUUUCCGUUAUCUCUUCUCUCUUCUUCGAUCCUCUUCUAUUUUGUCUUCUCCUUCUUGGGCGGUUGUGGCUGGUGGUUGUGGUUGUCGCUUGGAUGGUCGGUGGUUGUGGGAAUCUCGGGUGGGGUUGGUUGCUCGUCGCUUGGGUUGGGAUUGUCCCUCCUCUCCAGACAAGUCUCACUAAGAACACCUAGGGAGGUGCUUUUAAGGGGACAAGUAUUAGUUAAUCCCACAUAAAAUUAGAAGUGUGUGAAACAAACAUUGGAUAAAAAUCUUAGUCAAACCAGUCCAAGCAUGCACAGUAUAACAAACAGGCCCCUAGAUUCCUAAGAGAGUUCCAAAUUAAAGUAAGCUUAAUGAUCAUUAUUGGGACAGUGUAUUGAAAAUUGUUAACUAACUUUGUUGAAUAAUCAUCUCUUAUUAUUAAUAACUUAAUUAUGAUGGAUUGGUAAACAUGACAGUGUCCUAGAGCUGCAGCCUUUUGUGAUUACUGACUCUAAUGAUAAUCAAACAACAAUUAGUCACAAAAGUUCGAGUUUUCAAAGGAGGGUUGGUUUUUGUUGAAGAAAAAUCAAAUUGAAGCAAUUCCAAGUUGGUACGCAAGAGGAGUUGAAUUUAAUUAUAAGAUAUUCAAUUAAGUUUUUAUUUUUAUUUUUUAUAGAAGUGAUAUUGGAGAAAGAAAAUCAAACUUACGACCUCCAAAGCUACGAGCACUUGAUUAAGGUUGGUUUAAAUAUAUGUGAUGGGCCACAAGUGAAUUGAGCAAGAUAUGUGAUAGCCGAAGAAGAAGAAAAUGAAGAUAUGUGAUGGGCCUAAUAUUCAUUAGCACAGAAGGCCUCAUUUAUGGUUACAAAAACGUGAGCAUGUGCUAUUCAUUAGCAAUUGAUUUACUUCCGGUCCAUUUGAAAAUGGGUAAUCAAAUUAAAUUAUGAUAGUGUUGUUAUUUUCACCAACUAUUCUACUUUCUCUACCAAUCCUGAUCUUUUGGACUACAGGGGUCCAAGAGAUUUGUGGUCACUCACCGUUGGAUGUAAAUUCAACGGUUCACUCACUCUUGCACUCCUUUUAAAAAAUUUUUUUGAACCAUUGUAUUAAUAUCCAACGGUGGGUGACCACAAUCUCUUGGACUCCUGUGGUCCAAGAGAUCGGGACUGCUUUCUCUACAUACCUUACAUUUUCACAUUCCACUCAAUUUUUACCUACAAUCGAUCCUAAAAUGCCGCCAAAUUUUUGAUCAAUUGACAGUGGUCUCAUAGUCCGAUCCAUUUGAAAAUGGGCAAUUUGAUGAAAUCAUAAGAGUGCUGCUAUUUUCAUGCAUCUGUAUAACUAAAUUGUGUAAAUUACUCAAAUGGUCCUCAAAUUUGUACCCGAUUUACAUUUUGGUCCAUAAACUAAAUUAUUCGUUAAAAUGGUCCACCAACUCUUUAUUAAUCAGAGCUUUGGUCCUACCGUUACAUUUUCGGUUAAAUUUAGUCAUGUGAGCAUCACAUGCUACAUUUGUGGGGGUAAAUAAGACUUUUGACCUAUGUAUCACUCCUUUAUCACCACUUUAUCACAUAUGUAUCACCACUUUAUCACUUUUUGGGGAACAUAGGACUGUUAUGGACGAUUUUACCCUUACAUCUGACGGUAACAUUAACAUAAUGUAACGGUAGGAUCAAUGGAGUGAUUAAUAUAGAGUUGAUAGACCAUUUGAAUGAAUAAUUUAAUUGAGGGACCAAAAUAUAAAUCGGGUAUAAGUUUGAGGACCAUUUGAGUAAUUUACCCUAACUAAAUUAUUGCACCUCUUAAUUUUCUCACUAACAUGGUAAUUGUUAUUAUAAUAUUUUAUGAAAGCUCACUCAUUCUUUUAUACAAGCGGAAUUAAGGAUGAGGGAAAUCGAACGUGAAACUUCAGAUACAGGAAUAACAAAAAUUCCCUCAUUUUAGAUAUACAACGGCAUGAGAAAUAAUUUUUUGAAAACGUAGACAUGUUUGCAUAAUUUUAGUAAGGUUAAGAAAGUUAUGGUUAAAUCUAAGAAAAUAAAGUUGACCCCAGAUCAAUUUGUGCCAAAAAAAAAAAAUGGAAAAAUGUACCAAAUGUCCUUUUUUAGAUCAUUUAUUGUCCAAAACAAAACCGAAAAGCGCUUGACCUUAUCAUCAUCACCAUGGUAGCAAAGACCGAUAGACCAAACUCUAAAGAGAGCAAUAGUCAUAGCAGCUGAGCGACAAACCAAUCAAUCUCAUCCACGAAAAUAGAAGGGAGCUUUAGUAAUAAUAUACCCAAAAUAGGGGCUGUAAUUAUUUUAAAAAAUCCUACAUAGAAUGCACUUUAGAAACACACCCAAAAAUCAUUUACUACCUAUGAAAUUAGUAUUGAAGUUUCUAUAAAUUACAUCGCUGCCAUUGAUUAACUUAAAACAAGACCAACACAAAAUUCCCAAAAUAACCCAAAACUGUUAUAAAACUAGAAUAAUCAGUUGAUGAGAAGUACCACUGUAAUAUUGGGAGUGGAAUUAUAUUUCUCUUUGUAGUGUUUACACUGACAGAAUUUCUCCUCAGAUAGACUCCACUCUUUCUCUUCUCUCUGACUCUCACUCUUUCUCUUUCUCUCUUCCGUUCUUUCUUUCUUCACUCUUUCUUCUCUUCUCUUUGGUGUCUAUUACAAGUGAAUGAGCAAGCCUAUUUAUAGGCAAAGUAAAAGGCUUCUAAUGGAGACAUAAUGAUUUCUCCCCAACAUUAUAAUUUCAUCUUUUGACUAAUCAUCCCACUUCUAACACCAUCAUUUCUUCUUUUGACUACCAUACUUAAUACAAUCAUUUUUCUUCCAUCAUUUCUCUUUAUGUAGGCUUCACCAAUAUUAUUUACAACACUCCCCCUUGAAGACCACAUGUCCCUAGAUUGGUUGCCUCAUUAAAACCUUGCUUGAAAAAAUCCAGUGGGAAAAAACCUAAGCGAAGGAAAAAGAGUACAACUUUAUUUGGGACAUAAGGGUAAUGCACUCAUGUUGCCUCGUUAAAACCUUGCUAGGAAAAACCCGGUGGAAAAAAACCCUAGUCGAAGGAAAAAGAGUACAACGCGCAUAUGUCCUGUGUUAGAGGACUCUUGAAUGCUCCCCCUGAUUUUGCAUGCUCCAACUUGAUUUCUUGCAGAGUUGUCGUAAUCCGAUGCCAUGCACUAACUUUUGGAAUGUACAUUUCGGCAAUGAUUUAGUGAAGAGAUCUGCCAGGUUAUCGCUUGAGCGGAUUUGUCUGACUUUGAUUUCUUGACUCUUCUGGAGCUCGUGUGUAUAGAAAAACUUUGGUGAUAUGUGCUUAGUCCUGUCACCCUUGAUAUACCCUCCUGUGAUCUGAGCAAUACAAGCUGCAUUGUCCUCAUUCAGGAUUGUUGGAGUGUCUGUUGCUGAGGGUAGGGCACACGUGCUCCGGAUGUGAUGGAUCACCGACCUUAAUCAAACGCAUUCACGACUGGCUUCAUGGAGGGCAAGUAUUUCUGAGUGAUUGGAAGAUGUGGCCACUAGUGUUUGUUUCGUUGAGCGCCAUGAGAUUGCAGUUCCUCUGCAUGUAAAUACAUACCCAGUCUGUGAUCGUCCUUGAUGUGAAUCAGAGAGAUAUCCUGCAUCUGCAUAACCAACAAUACUCUGGGAGCUGGUCGAUUCACUGGAAUAGAAUAAGCCCAUGUCUGUUGUCCCACGAAGGUAUCGUAGAACAUGUUUGAUGCCGGUCCAAUGUCGCCUUGUUGGAGCAGAACUGUACCUUGCUAACAGAUUUACUGAAAAUGAUAUGUCUGGUCUGGUACAUUGUGCCAGGUACAAUAAAGCACCUAUUGCACUAAGAUAUGGUACUUCUGGACCAAGGACCAUUUCAUCAUCCCCUUUUGGACGAUAUGGGUCUUUCUUAGUGUCAAGCGACCGAACGACCAUUGGAGUGCUAAGUGGAUGGGCUUUAUCCAUGCCAAACCGUUUCAAUACUUUUUCAGUAUAAGUUGAUUGAUGCACCAAAAUUCCAUUAGCACUAUGCUCAAUCUGCAAGCCAAGACAAUAUUUUGUCUUUCCAAGGUCUUUCAUCUCAAAUUCACGUUUGAGAUAAUCAUCAGUCUUUUGAAGCUCUUCAGAAGUUCCAAUCAGGUUCAUGUCAUCGACAUAUACUGCCACUAUCGCAAAUCCAGACUCUGAUUUCUUAAUAAACACACAUGGGCAAAUAGGAUCAUUUGUGUAUCCUUCCUUCAGUAAAUACUUACUGAGACGAUUGUACCACAUUCGUCCAGAUUGUUUUAGCCCAUAUAAUGAUCUUCUCAAUUUAACUGAGAACAUGCCCCAUGGUUUAUUUCUGGCUGCUUCAGGCAGCUUGAAUCCUUCUGGAACUUUCAUGUAUAUAUCUGUAUCCAAUUCUCCAUACAGAUAUGCUGUAAUGACAUCCAUGAGUCUCAUUUCAAGUUUUUCCGAAACCGCCAAACUUAUUAAGUAACGGAAUGUAAUUGUGUCCAUUACUGGAGAGUACGUUUCCACAUAAUCAAUUCCAGGCCUUUGUGAAAAACCUUGCGCAACGAGUCGCGCUUUAUACCUUGAGAUCUCAUUUUUCUCAUUGCGCUUUCUUGUAAAUACCCACUUGUAACCUACAGGGUUCACAUUGGGUGGAGUUGGAAUAAUAUGUCCAAAAACCCUCCUUUUUUCCAAAGAAUUUAAUUCUGCCUGGAUUGCAUCUUUCCACUUGGGCCAAUCUUGCCUCUGUGUACAUUCAUUAAUAGAGCAUGGCUCAAUAUCAUCAUCUUUUAUGAUCUCAGCAGCCACUGAGAAUGCAAAUAUAUCAUCGAUGAUCAUCUCAUUUCUACUCCACAAUUCAUCAGUGGACGCAUAAUUUAUGGAGAUUUCUUGACUUUCAGGUACAGUUGCCACUCCAGGGGCACUUGUCCCACCAACGACGUUUUCCUUUUCAGGAAGUACCUGUCCCUCUUUGGGGGCAUUUGAAUUAUGAAUUGUGGGCUCUCUAUUUAUUUCAUUUGGAUUCAUUUUGUCCAUCAACUUCCUCUUUCGAGGAACUGAAUCCUUUGAGCCUAGUGGUCUGCCACGCUUUAGGCGCGCAACAGAUGAACCAUUUGCUGGCACAUUGCCUUGUCCAUUAUGGACAUCAAUCCGUGCGGGUGCAUUUGCAGCUGGGAUAUGAGAUUUCGUCACCUUUGCUGCAUCAUUAAAUGCAUCUGACAUCUGAUUUGCAAUACUUUGAAGGUGAACGAUCCUUCUCACUUCGUUUUCGCAUUGAGCCGUAUAAGGAUCGAGAUGAGACAAUGUGGAUACAUUCCAUGAUAAUUCAUGUCGUUUUUCAGGAAUGAGUUUGCCUUGUUCUUUAGACACAGAUUUUUCUCCACCUAAUGAUGGGAAGAUUGUCUCAUCAAAAUGGCAAUUCGCAAACCGUGCGGUAAAAAUAUCACCUGUCAGGGGUUCCAGAUAUCUGAUGAUAGAUGGUGACUCAAAACCAACAUAAAUUCCCAAUCUGCGUUGAGGGCCCAUCUUAGUACGUUGCGGUGGUGCAAUGGGCACAUAUACCGCACACCCAAAAAUUCUUAAAUGUGAAAUGUUUGGUCCCCAAUACGAGUUGUAUUGGAGAAUAUUGAUUGUUGGCGACGGGCCUUAAUCGCACAAGUGAUGCUGCAUGUAAAAUGACAUAUCCCCAAGCAGAAACUGGCAACUUUGUUUUCAUUAGCAAAGUGCGUGCUAUCAAUUGAAGGCGCUUAAUUAAAGCUUCUGCCAAGCCAUUUUGAGUAUGCACAUGGGGAACAGGGUGUUCAAUGUCAAUGCCUAGUGACAUGCAGUAGUCAUCAAAAGUUUGAGAUGUAAAUUCACCAGCAUUAUCGAGUCUGAUUGACUUAAUGGGAUAAUCUGGGAAUUAGGCUCGUAAUUUAAUUAUCUGAGCCAAAAGUCUAGCAAAUGCCAUAUUCCGAGUAGACAAAAGACAAACAUGUGACCAUCGAGUAGAUGCGUCCACCAAGACCAUAAAGUACCGAAAUGGUCCACAUGGGGAUGAAUAGGUCCACAAAUGUCCCCUUGAAUUCUCUGCAAAAAUGAUGGAGACUCAACAUCAACCUUCGGUUGUGAUGUUCUGAUCACCAACUUCCCUUGUAAACAAGCUUGGCAAAAGAUGUCACUUGAUAACAUAAUGUGUUUAGUCAACAAGGGAUGUCCUUUAGAGUUGGUGAUGAUUCUGCGCAUCAUGGUGGAUCCAGGAUGACCCAACCUGUCAUGCCAAAGCUUAAAAGCAUUUGAGUCAAUGGACUCUUGGUCCAUGACACUAUGUGCCUCAAUUGUCCACAUGGUUGUAUAAUACAACCCUGAUGAGAGCGCACAAAGCCUCUCCAGUAUACGCUUUUGGGUAUCACUGGAGGUAAUGCAAAGAUAUUCCAUGUUUUUCUCUUUCUUUGUUUCAACAUGGUAGCCAUUCAAACGUAUAUCUUUGAAACUCAACAGAUUCCUUCUGGAGUUAGAUGAAUACAAAGCAUCUGGAAUGGACAGUAUUGUUCCAUUUGGUAACAUAAUUUGGGCUAUUCCUGAGCCUUCAAUCAGAUCUGCAGGACCUGAUAUGGUUGUUACCUUUGCUUUUGUAAGCAUUAAUUUUGAGAAAUACUUCCGAUCUUGAAGGAUCGUAUGAGUAGUCGCACUGUCUGCGAGACAAAUAUUUUUGCCAUAACCUUUGUUUUGAGGGCAUCCAUAAUUUACAUCCAUGCCUUCAAAUAAGCACACACACACUGUAAUAAAUAAAGAAGAAAACAUUACCACUUUUAUUGGAUGAAAAAUUAAACACUUCAUCUAAUACAAAUAGUACAUUAAGGAAUUUAAUCUAAUUCGGACUCAGAAGCUUCAUUCCCUUUUUCCGUAACAAAGUCAGAAACAUCCAGAUGCGUCUUGUUUAGCUGACGCGAUAUUUCUGAUGAGCCAUCUGUGGCUGGUGGAGCAUGAUCAAUAUAAUUUAUCUCCACUUUCCUGUUCUUAAGUGAAGCUUGAUAGAGAUCCGCCAAAUGCUUGGGCGUAUGACAUGCACGCACCCAAUGUCCCUUUGCACCACAUCUGUGACAAGUGCUUUCAACAUUUCUAGGCACAUGGCUCAUCUGUGCCUUUCCCUUAUUACGGGAUGUAUUUUUGCCAUUCGUGGAUGGACCGCUCCUUGGACCGAAACCCUCUGAACGAGCACCACGAUCUUUUCUGCUUCCUUGCCAGCGGCCACGCUUGCCCCCUCGCCCACGUUUGUGGAUACUACCACGAGAUAAAGUGGCAUUCACUUCCUGAGAUGCAGUAUUUAUUUCAGGAAGUGGUGCUGAGCCUGUUGGGCGAGAUUGGUGAUUCUUUAAUAAGAGCUCAUUAUUCUGCUCAGCUAACAAUAGGCAAGAUACAAGUUCCGAGUACUUCUUGAAAUCGCUAUGUCUGUAUUGCUGCUGAAGGAGGACAUUUGAAGCAUGAAAAGUGCUCAGAGUUUUUUCGAGCAUAUCCUCCUCAGAUAUAUUUUCCCCACAUAGCCUCAUUAAUGAGGUAAUUCUGUGCAUAACAGAGUUAUACUCGGACACUGACUUGAAAUCUUGAAAUCUCAAGUGAGUCCACUCGUAUCUAGCUCUUGGGAGAGUCACCAUCCUCUGGUGAUCGUAUCUUUCACCUAGAGCUUUCCAUAGAACCAACGGUUCAUCAACCACCAUAUAUUCGCUCUUCAGCGCUUCAUGGAUGUGGCGGCGAAGAAAGAUCAUGGCCUUCGCAUUCUCUUCAGGCGAAGCAUCAUUCUCAUCUACAAUUGUUUGUCCGAGGCCAUUGGCUCGUAGAUGAAUUUUGGCAUCUAGGACCCAUGAUAAAUAGUUGUCCCCGGAAAGGUCCAAGGCAGCAAACUCUAGUUUUGCCAAAUUUGCCAUCCGAAACUUUAGGCUCGAGAUCUGGGACAUUAAGCCACUUAUUAAUAGGAAUUUCAGGCCCUCAUUAUUCAGGUAUAUUAAUUGAUGAUAAAAAUAAAGUGCUAUGAAUUUGCUGGUAUGGACGAUAAACCCGCACCAUACCUUAAAUAAAAUUAAAUGUGCGGUAAAGUAAAUUCAUAAAGUAAAUUGCUUGCUGUAUGGACGUUAAUUCCGCACCAUACUUUAAAUAAAAGGAAAUAUAAAGUAUGAGGGUUAAUUCCACAUCAUACUUUUAAUAAAAGUAAAUGUGCAGUAAAGUAAAUUCAUAAAGUAUGAGGGUUAAUUCCACAUCAUACUUUUAAUAAAAGUAAAUGUACAGUAAAGUAAAUUCAUAAAGUAUGAGGGUUAAUUCCACAUCAUACUUUUAAUAAAAGUAAAUGUGCAGUAAAGUAAAUUCAUAAAGUAUGAGGGUUAAUUCCACAUCAUACUUUAAGUAAAAGUAAAUGUGCUUGUAUGGGCACUAAUUCUGCUCCAUACUUUUAAAUAAAAGUAAAGGCAUGGACGAUAAACCAGCGCCACCCUUUUAAAUAAAUAUUGCCGUAUGGGUAAUAAACCUACUCCAUACUAUAAAUAAAAUAAAUGUGGGGAUAAAAACCUCCACCUAAUAAAAUAAGAAAAAUGUUAGUAUUAAUAACGGUCUCCCACUGAUAAUAUGUUUAGUAUUACCAAGGGUCCAUUUUUGUUAGUAGUUAGUAAUAGAAAAGUGAAUAGAUAUAGCAUAUUAUAUUACCAUCAACUUUUCAUAUAUAUAUAUAUAUAUAUAUUAUACAAUGGUUAGUAGUAUAAAUAAUAGUGUAGCACAAAAAUUAUACCUGAGAGCUUCUCGUGCUGAUAACGUGUUAUAAAACUAGAAUAAUCAGUUGAUGAGAAGUACCACUGUAAUAUUGGGAGUGGAAUUAUAUUUCUCUUUGUAGUGUUUACACUGACAGAAUUUCUCCUCAGAUAGACUCCACUCUUUCUCUUCUCUCUGACUCUCACUCUUUCUCUUUCUCUCUUCCGUUCUUUCUUUCUUCACUCUUUCUUCUCUUCUCUUUGGUGUCUAUUACAAGUGAAUGAGUAAGCCUAUUUAUAGGCAAAGUAAAAGGCUUCUAAUGGAGACAUAAUGAUUUCUCCCCAACAUUAUAAUUUCAUCUUUUGACUAAUCAUCCUACUUCUAACACCAUCAUUUCUUCUUUUGACUACCAUACUUAAUACAAUCAUUUUUCUUCCAUCAUUUCUCUUUAUGUGGGCUUCACCAAUAUUAUUUACAACAAAAACAAGCCCAGCGAGCACAUAUUAGAUUUUUUUUUAAAAAACCCAAACAUAAAAUAUAAAAAACACGAAAACCAAGGGUCUGUCCCCACGACCCUUCAUUCUCCAUCAAACCUCCGCAAACCAUAUCAUAGAAGUACAUUGUUAAUACCAUGUCAUAAAAGUAUAUUGUUAAUACCAUGUCAUAAAAGUGCAUUGUUAAUACCAUGCUAUAGAAGUAUAUUGUUAAUACAAUUUCAUAGAAAAACAUUCUUAAUACAAUUUCGUAGAAAAACAUUGUAAAUACCAUUUCAUAUAAAAAAUCCAAAAAACCCUAACAAGAGAUUCGAUAUCCUUUGCUGCCACCUCCAAUUGUCCAUAGUUUCACCAGAUACAAUCGCAAAGGCAAAAGGAAAUACAUUUACAAGAAAAAAAAAAGUACACUGUUAAUACUAUGUCACAGAAGUAUAUUGUUAAUACUAUGUCAUAGAACUAUUUUCCUAGUAAAAAUCACAUUUUGCAUAUCAUAAAAUUCAAGUGCACAGCCAUAUAUAGAGCAAAAUAUAGAGCGUGCUUUGUUACUGAAAAUCUGUUAAUACUAUGCCAUAGAAGUACACUGUUAAUACUAUGUUAUAUAAAUCAACUCAGUUGUAGGGUAUGAACAGUAUAACAGCUGUUCAUACCACUUACUGGAAGUUAACAACUGCUCAUACGACUUACAGAUAACAAAUUGUAUACAACAAAUCAACUUACCAGCUUGUUGAAAUUUACAAAAGUCAUAUAUUAGACCCACAACCACCCAAAAAGCCAAAAUUGACUUGUUGCAAAUGUCAUAUCAAAGCACAAAAAGAUGACCACAUGCGAGUUGCAAAUCAUAAUAAAUGACACAACUGAAAACGAAAUGCUAUACCUGGAGGAAGGGAUUGCUUCAACUUGUCGGCCUUCUCCGAAUCAAACAUGCAAAGAGUGUAAAGGUACUUGGAGCAUCAAACCUUAAACUUGACAGCAUCUUUGCUCCUCUUGAUUUUGACAGAGUGUGCAUCCUUCCUUCUUGCAGUUAGAAGGAAAUCCUUAAUCUCGUGGAUUUGCUUCGGCUGUUGGUACAGAGACAGAGUACAUACAUUAACAUUCUCAAAUUUAAAAUCAACAAGGCUUGUAUGUUCACAUGUUUUAACAUCUACCAUCCAUCACUUAACACAGCUAUACCUGAUUAUUAGUGUGUCAAUUACUUCUUCAAGAUACAAGAACAAUGGGUGGGACACCAGGAAAAAACAUUAUAGUAUUAUACAAACCAUGGCCAGACAUGCUUCAAAUGAAAUACACAGGCAACUGUUCAUUUUCUAGAAUCAUAACUGUAUGAACCACUGCUUUUGUAUUCAGCUCCAAAACACAAAAUCAUUGAGACCCAUUCUAAAUUGGAACACAAAAUAUUGAGGACCAUUCAUACAAUAAAACUAGAAAAUACUGAAAUGAGCAAUCAACAUAAGAAUAAACGGUGAAAAUAUGUACAUCAGAGGCGUCGCUGAUGAGCUCACAAAGAAAGAUCUCCUUGCUGCUGUAAAAGGUGUUGAUGAUCAAACUCAGAAGCUAGUUGCUCUCAUGGAUCAGGACCUGAGUCCACCUUUUGAGUUGUAAAAUGACUUUGCCGAGUUUGGCAUAUCCCGCUCUUCAAAGAAGAGCUUCUUCAAUGGCGGCUGCAUAAAGGAGGAGGAAGCGGCAGUCCUUUUGGCUAUGGAAAAAUCAUCGUCGUCAGCAUCUGCGAACAAGAGAUCCGGGUUGAAAAUCGGGAACACAUGAUGGAUUUGGCCAUUUCGGAAUAUAUUGUCAGUGGAAAUCGUCUUCAUCUUCUUUCUUCUCGCAAUCACCACCGGCGUCGGUGUUCUGAACACCUUCGUCCGGUAAUUGACACCUCAAAUCUACAGAGUAGCCACAUAACUCAAUGAGCUUAACCAUUAGCUCUGUUCAUAUUGAAAAAAAUAGAAAUUAGCAUCAAAUUCAACGAAGAAACUGAAACUAAGUAGAAAUUCAAGUAAAUUUAGCAAAAAUCAAAAGGAAAAUAACGAAUUGAAGCAGAUGGAACAAACCUGCAAAGGAAAUAAAGGCAUCGGCUGUGAGAACACGUGUGAGGCCACUUAUGUAACGGAGAUUGUCGUCGGUCAUGUGUUGGUCCAUGGGUUUGAGACUGUUUGGUUUACUUUGAAGGCAUAGAGAGGGAAGAAGGGAGAGAACAGAGCAGAUAUGGUGGUUUGAAGCAGGAGAGGGGCUUGAGGCUUCAAACCUAAGGGAGGCUUUGUUGAUGCUCAAAAUGGCCCGGCCAAUAUUGAGUCCAACUUAGUGAUUAGAUGUGCUGAGUCUUCAGCAGAGAAGAAGGCUGAGGCCCUUGGUGAAAUGGGUUGGUGAGAGACCUGUAGAAGGUAAAAGAGGAGAAGCAAUCGUUAAGCUUCGGACACCGGUGUGGUGCCGGCCGAAGGCUCUCCGAUGCCUAAGUCAGUUACAAGUAGUAAUUCUGGCAGAGUAACAGUAAAAGUGGGAGAAUAGUCGUUCUUUGUACCUGGGUACUGUUCCCUAUUUAUAGGGAGGUGAAAGUAGGAGUUUUGCACAAAGUUCCAAUGUGGGACUUUGUGCAAGCCAUUGUGGUGGCGACACGUGUCCUGGAGAUUAGGUUUGGCAGCUGAGAGCUUCGGCAGGUGUCUGGCACCUCGGAAGUGUGUCUUCCUUCGGCAUGGGAGAAGGCGUGGCUGCCUUGGUGCUAGUCGCUUUGAUGCUGGGUCUGCUCGGUUCAUUAUGGUGUAAACAGUAGUCCCCCAAGUUCGCGGUCGAGAAGUAACUUCUGGGUUGGGAACUUGUGAGCUUUUGUAAUUGUAACCGAGCAUUCCAGCUUCAUUGGGAGCCGCAGGGCACUCCCUAGUCCCCCAAGUUGGCAAGCUAGGAGUUGCGUCAACACAUAGUAGCUGGGUACCUGGGUACUUGGGCAUGUUGCAGAUAGGGUGGGAGCUGGGUCCCUAGGGGAGCCAGACCUUCGAGGGAGCCGGGUACUUUGAAAAUUUUGGAGACUCCAAUUCUUUCAUGGCUCCUGCCGUUCGGCAAGGGUAUGGCUCCUUUUUUUUUUUUUUUUUUUUUUUUUUUGGGAAAUGGCUGGGGCCAUUAAGGGAUUUUUGGACCUCCUCACAAAGCCUCCACGGGCCUUGCCGUUCGGCAAGGGUCUAGCAAAAUAAUAUUUUUUUGUUUUGAANNNNNNNNNNNNNNNNNNNNNNNNNNNNNNNNNNNNNNNNNNNNNNNNNNNNNNNNNNNNNNNNNNNNNNNNNNNNNNNNNNNNNNNNNNNNNNNNNNNNNNNNNNNNNNNNNNNNNNNNNNNNNNNNNNNNNNNNNNNNNNNNNNNNNNNNNNNNNNNNNNNNNNNNNNNNNNNNNNNNNNNNNNNNNNNNNNNNNNNNNNNNNNNNNNNNNNNNNNNNNNNNNNNNNNNNNNNNNNNNNNNNNNNNNNNNNNNNNNNNNNNNNNNNNNNNNNNNNNNNNNNNNNNNNNNNNNNNNNNNNNNNNNNNNNNNNNNNNNNNNNNNNNNNNNNNNNNNNNNNNNNNNNNNNNNNNNNNNNNNNNNNNNNNNNNNNNNNNNNNNNNNNNNNNNNNNNNNNNNNNNNNNNNNNNNNNNNNNNNNNNNNNNNNNNNNNNNNNNNNNNNNNNNNNNNNNNNNNNNNNNNNNNNNNNNNNNNNNNNNNNNNNNNNNNNNNNNNNNNNNNNNNNNNNNNNNNNNNNNNNNNNNNNNNNNNNNNNNNNNNNNNNNNNNNNNNNNNNNNNNNNNNNNNNNNNNNNNNNNNNNNNNNNNNNNNNNNNNNNNNNNNNNNNNNNNNNNNNNNNNNNNNNNNNNNNNNNNNNNNNNNNNNNNNNNNNNNNNNNNNNNNNNNNNNNNNNNNNNNNNNNNNNNNNNNNNNNNNNNNNNNNNNNNNNNNNNNNNNNNNNNNNNNNNNNNNNNNNNNNNNNNNNNNNNNNNNNNNNNNNNNNNNNNNNNNNNNNNNNNNNNNNNNNNNNNNNNNNNNNNNNNNNNNNNNNNNNNNNNNNNNNNNNNNNNNNNNNNNNNNNNNNNNNNNNNNNNNNNNNNNNNNNNNNNNNNNNNNNNNNNNNNNNNNNNNNNNNNNNNNNNNNNNNNNUGCCGUUCGGCAAGGGUGUCUUGAGCAGGUUUUUAUUUGGACCGUUGUGUUGAUCAAAUUUGGGUCUUGGCCUUGGACAAUUUUGGGCCCUAGCCCUGUAAUAAGAUUGGGCUUAUGAAAUAGGCUAGGACACUUGAAAUUUUGGGGCUCCAUUUUGUUUUUGCACGGGCCUUGCCGUUCGGCAAGGUCCCUAAAUUUCUCACAAUUGUUUUUGUUUCUUGCUUGUAUAUUUGAAAAUUGAAUUUCAAAUUGUGUGUAGGUACAAGGGAUUUAGGAGGGAAUAUGAAAGGGUGCUAGGGUUUGCCCGUGAAACGAGGCGUGGUACCCUUAGUUGGCUAUUUAAAGGAACUUGGGUGGUGAAGGCAUCACACUUGGCUUGAGUUGAGAAAAAUUGUGAGAAUUUGAGGAGGAGGAGAAGAGAUUUCCGGCGAAGGUUUUGUGGUGGUGCUUGUGGCUGAGGUGAUUUCCGGCGACUUGUACGUGGUGGUACGAACAAGGUUAGACCUUAUUUCGCUUGAACUUUUGAAUUGAAAUGUCUUGUUUUGCAUGAACAUGUUGAAGGUUAGGAAGAACACAUUGAACAUGAGCAUGAACAUGAUGAACAUGUUGAACAUAUGUAUGAACAUGUAGAAUUCUUGCCUGGUAUGAAGAUUUGGCAAAUUCUUGUUGUUGUGGUUCGAUCCUCUCUGCAUGUGCAUUUAGUUCCUUUUUCUUGUUUUUCCAUAUUUGUAGAUGUCUGAAAGUUCUGAUAGGGAAAGUCUUGACCCCCCUGCCUUCGGCGGGGAUGAUACUGAGAGUCAAGAGCCGAGUCAAUAUAUAUGUUCUGAGAGGAAGUUCAGAGACAGAGGGUAUGGUGGAAGGAACCAUAGAAAGUNNNNNNNNNNNNNNNNNNNNNNNNNNNNNNNNNNNNNNNNNNNNNNNNNNNNNNNNNNNNNNNNNNNNNNNNNNNNNNNNNNNNNNNNNNNNNNNNNNNNAUAGAGUUAGAGGCUGUAGCAAAUCGGGUUCUAGCCUUGCCUCAGACGCAAGAAGUGGGUUCGAGCAACCAGGCAUCACCAUCAGGGUCUGUGGGUAUAGCCGUGGCGUCGGUGUCAGAGGGAUUAGACAUCCGGGUUGGUGUCCCGUUGCCGAGGCGGAAUACACUUACAGAAGCGAAAUUGGCCCAGCUACGAACAGAUUUUUGUGUGCCAGCCUAUGUGGGUUUGAGGUUACCCACUGAGGCUGAUGUAGUCAGAUAUCCCUCGGAUGGCUCCGUGAUGAUUUUUACAGAUAUGUAUCGGCACGGCUUCAGACUACCGUUUCAUCCGUGGGUUCAGAUGAUGUUGGCCAAGUUGGGGUAUGCACCGGGGCAGUAUAAUCCCAACUUUUGGAUUCUUCUUCAUGGGGUGUAUAUCGCCUGGUGGUUGGCUGGGUUAGGGGAGCCAACGUUUGAGCAGUUCAUGUACCUGUACUCCAUUUCGAAGCAACAAGGGAAUUUUGGCUGGGUACAGGCCAAUUGCCGAAAGGCGAAGGAGAGGGGCUACUUUAUUGGACACAAGCCCACAACGCAAAAGUCCUGGAGGAACAGGUGGUGUUUGGCCUAUGGGGACUGGGAAUGUCCUCCAGGGAAGAGCGUUGUCCAGCACAUUCCUACCCACUUCCAGUCUAUAGGUCCUUGCCCCAUCCCUUAAGAUUGUCCAAUGCCUGAUUGUGUUGUUUUGGCUCCUAUUUUUGGUUCUGUACUUCCUCUGUGCCAGUGUAAAUGGCUAAGUAGUUUCGAACUCUUGAUGCAGGUUCAGUGAAGUGGGGCCCUAUCUCCAAGGAGCAAGAAGACGAAGUUGAGUGGGUGAGGGCGCAGCUAUCAGAGACUGAGCGUGAGUGCGGGAACCUAGUCACGCAGAAGAAUUUGUUUGAGUCCGGACUGCUGCAAGGAAGUAAGUACCUGGGUUAUCUUUUUGUUGUGUGCUGAGCCUUUGUAAGUUUGAGUAAUAGAAUUGCUUUGUUUGUUUUGACAGUGGCUGGCAUCAUAAGGGGGAGCACGAAGGUGGCCGUAGACAUUGAUGAGGCCGAGAUGCAGAAGCGGCUGAGGGAGUCUCAGGCCAAGAAAGCUGAGAAAAGUGCUGGAAAACGACCCAGGGAUGAUGAUGAGGGUCGGGUCGAGGACGUGCUGGGGAAGAGGAAGGCUUUGGAGGAGGCUCAUUAGCAUGUGAUGGGGGCAGGGCCGAGGCUUCCGCCCUUUGAUCUGCAGGCACCGCCGAAGCUACCUUUCGGCAUGGAGGAUGUGUUCGCUGAAGGGGUAGAGAAGGUAGACUUCGGCAGGCUACGCCAGCAGAAGAAGGAGGUCAACCUGGCUAUGCACCGGCAGGAGGUGCCCUUAGUGAACGUCUUCCUGGAAGGCGUGAAGAGCGACCCUGAGGCCUUGGCGAGGACUCCAGCUUCUUCCUUCAUUGACCGGGCCCAAAAGACGAUCCUCACCUCUGCCUAUGUAAGUGUUUAGGCCCUUUUUGAAUGUACCUGUGUUGGAUUAUUUUUGUGUGGAUUGACUAACAUGGUUUUGGUUUUGCAGGCCUUUGGCGAGAUGUACGUCAGCAUGGCCAAGGCUGACAAGGAGAUCCAGAGGUUGAAGAGGCGGGAUGAGCUAGCCAAGAGCAAAAUGGCGGAGGCGCAGGAGGCCAUCCGAGAGAAGAACACCUUGCUGGUUCAAAAGGCGGCCCUGGCCAAGGAGGUGGAGGAGCUGAAGAGAUCUAGGGCCGAGGAGGUGGCUGCUGCCCGAGCCGAGGCGAUUGAGUCCUUCCGAUCCUCAGAGGAGCUGAAGAGCUAUAUCAUGGACCGACUGGUUGAUGAGCAGCUUCGCUGGAUUACAAAGAUCCUCCACACAACUAGCGGAUUCUAGNNNNNNNNNNNNNNNNNNNNNNNNNNNNNNNNNNNNNNNNNNNNNNNNNNNNNNNNNNNNNNNNNNNNNNNNNNNNNNNNNNNNNNNNNNNNNNNNNNNNCUGCUGAUGCUAGCGCCCCGACACCAGAGGCUGAGCCGGCUACUGAGGAUGCCCCUUCGACCGAGUCCUGAAGGCGUUGCUUCGUGAUGUGUAUAGCUAUUUUGUACUCUAGUGAAUGUGUUGGAACACUUGUUUGUUUUGUUUAUUUUGGUUAUGUAUGAAUUGUCCUUGCCUGGAGCAAGGCUGUUUUUAUUUAUGAUAUGAACUUAGCUUGAUAUCAAUUGUGUUAAAAAUGAUAACAAUGUGAGUUCAUGAGAAUGAGCCUGAGUCAGGCAUUUCAUUGAAAUAGAUGCCGAAAGGCAAAAGGCACAAGUGGUCUAGGGUCUAGAUACCUUACGUCUAACUUACAGUAAAUAAUCAAGACCAAAGUAUUGUCCUAGGGUCUAGAUAUGUUUACUUGUAAUAGUACUUGAGGUGGUCAGCAUUCCAGGGGUGAGGCAGUGUCUUGCCUGUGGAAUCGCGAAGCUGAUAAGAGCCAGGACGGCAGAUUUUGAUAAUCUCGUAAAGACCUUCCCAUGUAGGACCGAGGGUACCUUCGUUAGGAUUUUUGGUAGCCAAGGAAACCUUGCGCAUGACCCAGUCCCCCAUUUUGAAAGCACGGGGCUUGACUCGGGAGUCAUAGUAUUUGGCGAUGCCUUGCUUGUACGCGGCAUUGCGCAUGCUCGAUUGGUCCCGGAGUUCGUCAAUAAAGUCGAGGUUGAGGGCCAACUGCUCGUCAUUGGCCGUGGCAUCGUAAGUGGAGGUUCGGUAUGUGGGCUGGCCAAUCUCUACUGGAGCCACGGCCUCGGUUCCAAAUGAUAGGGAGAACGGCGUUUCACCCGUGGAUGUGCGGAAGGUGGUGCGGUAGGACCAGAGUACUUCUGGGAGUAGUUCUGGCCAGCAGCCCUUGGCUUUGUCAAGUUUUGUCUUGAGGGUCUUCUUGAUGAUUUUGUUCACGGCUUCGACCUGGCCAUUGGACUGUGGAUGGGCUGAGGAGGCGAAACACAGACGAAUCUUGAGGUUGGAACAAAAUUGUUUGAAUUUGGCGUUGUCAAAUUGCCGGCCAUUGUCGGUGACGAUGGAGUUGGGGAUGCCGAAGCGACAUACAAUGUUUUGCCACACAAAGGAUUCGAUGCGAGCCGCAGUGAUGGUGGCCAAGGCCUCGGCCUCAGCCCACUUGGUGAAGUAGUCCACGGCCACAACUGCAUACUUGACUUGGCCCUUGCCCUCUGGCAUCGGUCCAAUGAGAUCCAGUCCCCAUUGGGCAAAUGGCCAAGGGCUGACCAUUGCAGUCAACGGUUCAGCUGGGAGUUGUGGGAUGUUGGCGAAUCGCUGACACUUGUCGCAUUUCUGGGUGAAGGCCUGGGCGUCCGUGUGGAGUGAAGGCCAGAAGUAUCCUUGGCGGAUUGCCUUAUGGGAUAGCGAGCGUGCGCCCGAGUGGUUGCCGCAGAUGCCUUCAUGGAUUUCUCGGAGGACAUAGUGACCCUCCUCUGGAGUCAGGCAUCGGAGGUAUGGAAGACUGAAACCCCGCUUGUAUAAGGAGCCGUUAAUGAUCAGGUAACGGGCAGAGCGAUGGCGUACGCGUCGUGCUUCUGCCGGAUUAGCCGGUAGUGUUUGGUUCUGUAAGAACUGGAGGAUGGGGUCCAUCCAUGUGGGGCUGUGAUCAAUAGUGCAGAUGAGUGGGGCUUGUGUGCUGGGCUGGGCCAAAAACUCGAUGUGGAUGUGGCGACCCAGUCCCUGCUCCAAGGCUGAUGCCAACCUGGCUAGUGCAUUGGCAUGGCUAUUCUCGGAGCGCGGCACUUGCUUGAGAGAGUGGGCGUGGAAGGUCGCCAGCAGGUGCCGAGCGUGCUGGAGGUAGGCCGUCAUAGAGGGAUCCUUAGCCGUGAAGUCCUGGUUGACCUGGUGGACCACGAGUUGUGAAUCGCUAAAUAUCUGAAUUUGCCUGGCAUCCAUCUCUUUGGCUAAUCGAAGACCAGCUAUGAGUGCUUCGUAUUCGGCCUCAUUGUUGGAGGCUUGGAAUUUGAAGCGAAGGGCGUACUCGAGGGCAACCUUGUCUGGGGAGAUGAGAACGAGGCCGGCCCCACAGCCCUGGGCAUUAGAAGAGCCGUCUACGAAUAAGGUCCACAGGGGCUGGGUUAGGUCGAGAUUGCCUUCGGUGGGGGUUUGGUCCUGGCUUGAAGGGGGAUUGGGUUCGGUUAUGAGCUGGGUAGCUGCGGAAGCUUGGGGAUCCGUGAAUUCGGAUAGGAAGUCAGCAACGGCCUGGCCCCUCAUAGCCGGGCGGGGUUUGUAAUGAAUAUCAAACUCGCCCAGUUCAAUGGCCCAUUUGACCAGCCUCCCAGAGGUUUCUGGGUUCUGCAACACCUGUCGGAGUGGUUGGUUGGUUAAGACAUGGAUGGUGUGAGCUUGGAAAUAUGGUCGAAGGCGUCUUGCCGAGACGACCAGGGCGAACGCCAAUUUUUCGAUGUCUGGGUACCGAACUUCGGCAUCUUGCAAUGCUUUACUAACAUAAUGCACUGGGUGCUCCGCGUUAUCUUUUGAUCGGACGAGCACAGAGCUAACAGCCGAAGCUGAGAUGGAGAGAUAAAUCACGAGGAUGUCUCCGUGCUCAGGGGUUGACAAUAAAGGGGCCCGGCCCAUAUACUUCUUGAGCUCGCUGAAAGCCGUGUCGCAUUCAGCAGUCCAAGUGAUGUUUCUUUUGGUGCCUUUAAGGGCCUUGAAGAAUGGGGCGCAGCGGUCGGUGGCUUUGGAGAUAAAUCUGGUCAGGGCUGCGACACGCCCUGUAAGGCUUUGGAUAUCCUUGACCGUCUUAGGUAUUGUCAUAUCUAAGAUGGCCUGGAUCUUUUCUGGAUUGGCCUCAAUGCCCCUCUGGCUGAUCAUGAAGCCAAGGAAUUUUCCGGAAGCCGCCCCGAAAGCACAUUUGGUGGGGUUAAGCCUCAUUUUGUAUUGCUUCAGGAUGGUGAACAUGGCAGAGAGGUUGGGGAUGUGCUGGUCAGCCGUGCGACUCUUGACUAGCAUGUCAUCGACAUAGACCUCCAUGGUAUUGCCAAUCAGUGGGGCGAAGAGCUGAUUCACCAGACGCUGAUAAGUAGCCCCGGCGUUUUUGAGGCCAAAGGGCAUCACCUUAUAGCAGUAGAGGCCGCGGUCCGUAAUGAAAGAGGUGUGGGCCUGAUCUUCGGGGUGCAUGAAGAUCUGGUUGUAACCUGAAUAAGCAUCCAUGAAGCUAAGGAGGGCGUGGCCGGCUGUGGCGUCGACUAGCUGGUCAAUACGGGGUAGCGGGAAGCUGUCCUUUGGGCAAGCCCGAUUAAGGUUGGUGUAGUCGACACACAUGCGCCAGCCCUUUCUUGGCUUGCGGACCAUCACGACAUUAGCCAGCCAUGUAGGAUAGUCAACCUCCCUGAUGAAUCCGAUGCUACUCAAUCGUUCCACCUCCGCUCUCAUGGCCUCAUAGCGCUCGGGAUCAUAAGCGCGACGCUUCUGUCGGACUGGCCUGACGGCAGGAUUGACGCUAAGCCUAUGAGAUAUGAUGUCUGGUGAUAUGCCAGGCAUGUCAUUGUAGGACCAAGCGAAGACUUCGGAGUUGAGGCGGAGGAAGGCGACCAGGUCAGAGCGAAGCUCUGGCGAGAUGGAGGUGCCGAUCCGGACUUGUCGAUCCGGGAUAUCGUCAUGGAGGGUAACCAGCUCCAGGUCCUCCAUAGGUUCGGCCUGCGGUGCGAUGGACUCCUCCCUUGGGUCUUCAGGUGGGUCUGUGCCAGCUUGAGGAGGGGCGGGAGCCGUGGUUACCGAAAGGGCCUCGCUCCUAGGUUGGCGAUUGGUGGAUUUUACUGCUGAAGCAUAGCAGCUUCAGGCCCCGAGUUGGUCGCCGCGCACCGUGCCUGGGCCAUUAGGAGUGGGAAACUUCAACAGCAGCAUAUGCGUGGAAAUAAAAGCUCUCAUUUGGGCCAGGGCUGGGCGGCCGAGGAUGACGUUGUAGGCUGUGGGGCAAUCGACGAUAAGAAAGGGGGUAGUGAUCGUCGUCUGCUGGGGUGCGGCCCCAAUUGAGAUAGGGAGAUGAAUGCUACCGAUGGGCUGGACCACAUCGCCCGAGAAGCUCACAAGGGGUGUGAUGCUUCGGUCGAGUAGGUGAGGCGGGACCUGGAGUUCAUUGAAGCACUCGGCAAACAUCACACUGACCGAGCUGCCAGUGUCCACCAGGAUACGCCCAACGUCGAAGUUAGAAAUGUCAGCCCGGUCGUCAUGGGGGAGGAUAACACCACGCUCCUCUUCCUCGCAGAAGGUAAUGGGGGCCCAGCCAGUCCUGUGGGUCUUUGGCAAUCGUCCCUGCUCGGUGGUGAAGACCUGGUGCGCAUAGGUGAAGCGGACAUAAUGUUUGAUGGAAUUGUUGGAGGUGCCAGCCAGGGUAGGACCUCCGCUGAUGGUGGAGAUCAUGUUGAUUUGUCGUUGGUGAGGGUUAGGCGGGGCUGGUAUGUUGCGCACAUAGUUGUCCAGCUUACCCUCCCUGAUGAGCCCUUCAAUUAUGUUGCGCAACGCAACACAAGACUCGGUGUCAUGGCCGCUGAAUUGAUGAAAGCGGCAGAAGACCCCCGUGUUUGGCAUUGGCUUGUUGGAUGGUCUCCGGGGGGGUGGCUUGGGGAUGAUGGGGGCUUCACGCACCAGGACGUUCUCAUAGGUGGUGUUGAGGGUGGUAAAUACCUCGAACCUGGGCCUGGGUGUGAAUGGAAGUGGGGCCCGAUCAGCAGGCCUAGGAGGGUUGCCUCCGCUAGAGUGGUGGUGGUUGCCAUGUCUGCCCCGUUUGUUAUUACCGAAGGGAUGCUGGUAGCUAUCCUUCCGCUUAUGUUGUUGGUUGUCCUGAGUACUCGGGGCAGGGGUAGAAUGCUGAGGUGGGGCUGGGGCUGGUGCUGAAGCAGGUGGAGGAUCAGCGAAAGCGUUGCGCAUCAGGUUAGCUGGGCCACGCUUGGUAUUGAAGUAUUCGGCCUUAGCAUGGACUGCUGCCUGCUUCAUCAGCUCUGCAUAUGUGUUCCAACUGUUGCUAUGGACCAGGUAGCGGAAGUUGGACUCGCGGAGGCCGCUCUUAAAAGCGCCGAAGGCAGCGCGAUCGUCAGUGUCUGGGCAGCGGGAGUAUUCAUGACUGAAACGGGCUGCAUAUUCCCGAAAGGGUUCGUCCUCAGCCUGCCUAAGCAUAUACAAGUCGUCGGCAGAAUAUAGGCGAUCAGUCUGGAUCAUAAAAUGGUCCAGGAACGUCUGCUUGAGACUAUCGAAGGAGUUGAUGGUGCAGGGGUGGAGCCUGUAGAACCAAUUCAGGGCCGCGCCGCUGAGGGUGGAAGGGAAAAGGAGGCACAUGCCUUCAUCAGUGAGGCCUUUGCACCCAAGGGCAGACUGGAAGGAGUGGAUGUGGGUGAUAGGGUCCUCCGUGCCAGUGUAGAAAGCGAUGCGGAGUGGCUGGAUAUCUUUCUCCUGGUGGUAGUGGAGGAUGCGUUCGGUAAAGGGCCCGGGUCGUGGUUUUGCCCAGAGGGGUUGAUGGCUGCGAUGUUGUUCGCUUUCCAGGCGCCGGACCUUUUCGAAGAGAAGCCUCAUGGCCGGGUCGGCAUGAGGAAGAGUUUCAGGCGCCAAAGGCCUAGGGGCGGGGCAGACAGGGACUGGGGAUUGUUCCCAAUUUUCCAGCGCCCCGGUGUGGUAAUUUGGCUGGGUCUCCGAAUUAUAAAAGUCCCAAGUAUCCGAGUCCCCGACACCUUCCUCGUCGGGUAUGCGGACGGGGGCUGGCGAGAGGCCCAGGUGUGUCACCCGUGGGUCUUCGAGGUUGACAGGGAUAGGGAUCGGCCUUGGCUGACGGUCCGAGAGGCGAUCCCUGCAAUCUUGGUAGAUCCUGACUGGUUCAUGGGGCCGGUCCCUCGGUGGGGGAACGCAAAGGGGUCGCGACUGGGUUAUCUCCGGAUGAAGGUGGUCUUUACCUUUGCGGAGCCUAGCUUGGGCCGAGGCACUGUGGCUGGAAUGUACUGGCUGGUUCGGCUGAGUAAGCCCAACGUUCUGGGUGAGGUCUUGCUGGGCAUCCUGGGUGUGAGUCCUUUCCCAGUUCCGCUUUAAAACACGGUAGUCAUGUUCUAGCUCAACGUUCCUGCAAUGAAGGUGCUCGUAUUUUUCCGACAUUUUAGUGACACUGUCGCAGAGGCGCUCCAUUUCUGCCUGGAGAAUGGCAUCUUCCGAAGAUUUUCUUCUAGAAGUACCAUCGCGGGGGGUAUGAUGCUGGGUAUCGCGGCUAUCCUCGGUCGGCAUAGCAGAAUGUGGGGUGAAGAAGAGGCGACGGGGCCUGAGGGGUGAAGGAGCCAGCUGGGCUGAUAGAGAAAGAGGGGAUUCAAGUGUCGAUUUCCCACAGACGGCGCCAAACUGUUGAUGCUCAAAAUGGCCCGGCCAAUAUUGAGUCCAACUUAGUGAUUAGAUGUGCUGAGUCUUCAGCAGAGAAGAAGGCUGAGGCCCUUGGUGAAAUGGGUUGGUGAGAGACCUGUAGAAGGUAAAAGAGGAGAAGCAAUCGUUAAGCUUCGGACACCGGUGUGGUGCCGGCCGAAGGCUCUCCGAUGCCUAAGUCAGUUACAAGUAGUAAUUCUGGCAGAGUAACAGUAAAAGUGGGAGAAUAGUCGUUCUUUGUACCUGGGUACUGUUCCCUAUUUAUAGGGAGGUGAAAGUAGGAGUUUUGCACAAAGUUCCAAUAUGGGACUUUGUGCAAGCCAUUGUGGUGGCGACACGUGUCCUGGAGAUUAGGUUUGGCAGCUGAGAGCUUCGGCAGGUGUCUGGCACCUCGGAAGUGUGUCUUCCUUCGGCAUGGGAGAAGGCGUGGCUGCCUUGGUGCUAGUCGCUUUGAUGCUGGGUCUGCUCGGUUCAUUAUGGUGUAAACAGGCUUCAAACGAGAUCCAAAACUAAUUUAAUGCUAAAAAGGGUAAUAAAGAUAUUUCAUCUUAUUAAUUAAAUUAAAAAAUAUACAAUUGUUGAUUUUUGGGUUUAUUUUGGGUGUGUUUCUAUGUUUUAAAUAGUGUAGGGUAUAUUUAUAGUUUCAUGUCUAGGAAUGGGUGUUUCACUAAUUUUGUAAAAAUAGAAAAGCAAGCCUUCACUUUCAGUGGCGCCUUUCCUGCCGUUGAAUGAGACUGAACUAAAAACUCUCCUCAGAUAUUUUGAGACUCCACUCAUGUUCUUCUUCUACUUCUGCUUCUUCUCUCGUGCUCUGCAAGAACCCAACAUUCAGCUUCAAAUGGAAGGAGAGAGAGAUAGAGAUGUAUACAACUUGCUAAACAGAGUAUCAAAAUAGUAUCUGGAGAAAGGUUUCUGGUUUCAAGUUCAUUGUAUUUCUUUGUGUAACUUACAACAGAAUUUAUACAAGGAGAAAGCUUGCUAUUCAAGCUCAAUAUUAAUUACAAGUAGGUAGAUGGUAGCUGGUUUUGAGCUCCUAAUCCUAGAGAUUUUGCAGCAGCAGCCUUCCAAAGUCAAGCCAACCUAAUUAAUGCACCCACCUCAUUAAUGGAGCCAACCUCAUUAAUGCUACUAGCUAACACUCCCAAAGUUGGUGCAAAAAUAUCACACAUGCCUAACUUGUCAAGUGAGUAAUAGAAAACUUUACUGGAUACGACCUUUAUCCGAAUAUCAGCAAGUUGAUUUUCUGAGUUUACGAAUGGAAAUUUAAUGACACCAUUUUCUAAUUUUUCUUUGAUGCAAUGCCGGCCAAUUGUACUGGAUUAUGUGCUAUCUCAAUAGCAGCUUUAUUAUCACAAUACAGGUUUAUGGUUUCCAUCUGUUUCAAUUUGAGAUCUUUUAGUAAUCUUCGUAACCAGGGCAAUGCACACACUUCUUGAGCCAUUCCCCUAAACUCAGCUUCACCAUUUAAUCUAGCCAUGACCUUUUGUUUCUUACUUCUUCAAGUAACUAAGUUGCCACCCACUAAUGUAAAAUAUCCAGAAGUAGAAUAUCUAUUUGUGAUGGAACAUGCCCAAUCGGCAUCUGUGUAUCCUUUUACAUUCAUGUGUGCAUGUUUGGAGAACAUCAACCAUUUACCAGGAGUCGUCUUCAAGUAUCUCAUUAUUCGCGUUACUCCAUUCAUGUGUGCUUCACUUGGUUCAUGCAUGAAUUAACUUACCACACUUAUAGCAUAGGCUAUGUUUGGGCAUGUGUGAGAUAGAUAAAUCAGUCGUCUAACUAAUCUUUGAUACCUUUCUUUAUUAAUAGGUACCUGAUUCGGAUAUCCAUAAUUUGUGGUUUUGUUCGAUAGCGGUGUCUACUAGCUUGCAAUCCAACAUUCCAGUUUCGGUUAACAAAUGCAACACGUAUUUUCGUUGAGAUAGAAAUAUGCCAUGUUUUGAUCUAACAACCUCUAUGCCAAGAAAGUACUGUAACUCGCCCAAUUCUUUCUUCUCAAAUUCACUUGCAAGGAGCUUUUGUAGAUUCUUCAUCUCUUCGCUAUCAUCAUUGGUAACAACCAUAUCAUCAACAUAGAUUAUUAGAGCCGUAAAUUUACCACCACAACGCUUCAAGAAUAAGUUUUGGUCUGAGUUGCUCUGAGUGUAUCCAAAAUGCUUCAUGGAAGUAGUGAAUCUCCCAAACCAAGCUCGCGAUGACUACUUCAGCCCAUAUAAUGACUUUCUCAGUUUGCACACUGUAUUGGAAGUAGAUGUCAUAGGAAUCCCUGGUGGUGGAUCCAUAUGCACUUCUUCCUAUAAAUCUCCAUGAAGAAAUGCAUUCUUACAUCAUACCGCAGUAGUGGCCAAUCCAGAUUUGCAGCUAAAUAAAGAAGAACGUUAACACGAAUAGUGUUGAUCUUGGCAACUGGUACAAACUUCUCAUGGUAGUCGAUCCCAUAAGUUUGUUUAUAUCACUUAGCCACUAAUCUAGCUUUGUAUCAAUCUAUGGAGCCACCAACUUUGUAUUUAACGGUGAAUAUCCAGCGACAUCCAACUGGCUUCUUCCCUUUUGGUAAAAACACCAUUUCCCAAGUGGAAUUCUUAUUUAGAGCUUCCAUUUCAAUUGCCAUAGUUCUGCCUAUCUGGGAUCUGUCACAGCAUCCUGCCACUUACUUGGAACACAUAUAGUAGAUAAUUGAUUGACAAAAGAUGCAUAUGACUUUGACAAUCUAUGAGUAGACACAUGAUUAUUAAUAGGAUAUUUGAUUUGGCAUUAAGGUCAGGACAAUAUUGAAGUUUAGGUUUUCCCUUAAUGGAUCUAGGUGGAAGCGUAUAUGGUAUAAUACUAGGUUGUUCAGAGACUACCUCGAGAGCUUCCUCAUCACAAGAUGAUUGAGAAGAUGGCAGGGCAGGAGGGGUUGUAUUUUGCAGUUGCUCUUCGAAGAUAUCAUUAGUCACUUCGGAGACAUCAUUAGUCACUUCUAGCACUAAAUCCUCAUCAGGUCCUUCUCUGUUUGAAGAUGACCAGUCGACAUGAACAUGUUGAUCGAUCAACUGCCGUAAUUCUUCCUUGUCUUCUUCAAAGCAAAAUCUUCUCUUCACUCCCCCUCUCUCCCUGAAGAAAAUGGCUCGUAUGAGCCACAAAGUAGGAUAAGUGUUCAUGGAAGGUGACAUCCAUUAUGAUCAAGAGCUUCUAGGUAGGGGGUGGUAACAUUUGUAUCCUUUUUUAUUUGAGCCAUAACCAAAAAACACACAACGGAUGGCACAAGGAUCUAACUUACUCCUCUGACAAGAAGGAACAUGAGCAUAUACAACACAACCAAACAUGCGAUGAGGUAUCUUGAGGAUUGUAGGAAGAGAGAUGUAAUGAGCCAAGGUGUUUAGUGGAGUCUGAAAGCCUAGAACACUACUAGGCAUUCAAUUAAUCACAUAGACUGUAGAUAGGAUAGCAUGACCCCAUAAAUAGUGAGGGACUGAUUUAUCAAGCAUGAAGGCACGGGCAACCUCAAGCAAUUGUCGAUUCUUUCAUUCCGCGACACCAUUUUGUUGUGAAGUGAAAGAGGUGGAAGUCUGAUGAUGAUGUCGUGAUCCCGAAAGAAUUGAGCCAAGACAUUGUUCAAGUAUUCCCCACCAUUAUCAGACCAAAAAACCUUGAUGGAUGCUUGAAACUGAGUGGUGAUCAUAGCAUGAAAUUCACGGAUAGUAGAGGUAACAUCACUUUUAUGGAUGAGCAAGUAUACCCACGUCAUGUGGGUGCAGUCGUCAAUGAAGGUAACAAACCAUCUAUUUCAAUUAGAAGAUACUUUAGCAGGGCCCUAAACAUCAGAAUGAAUUAAGUCAAAUGGUUGGGUAGCUUGAUGGGUACUUGACGAAUAAGUAGCACGGUGACUUUUUGCCAAGACACAUGUUUCACACUUGAAUGUAGAAUCAUCAUGAUGGUGGAACAACGAGGGAAACAAGGACUUGAGAUAACCAAAGGAUGAGUGUCCCAAGCGACGAUGCCAGAGCCAAAUUUAUUGGUGGUCAAUUUCACAAGUACUCAGAAUAGUAGAAUGAGCCUUGGUGGAACUAGGUGGUGGUGGUGGUACGGGCAAUGCCAAUGAGUACAACCUCCCUCUCCAUUUACCAUAACCAAUCAUCUCAUGGGUCUGGAGGUCUUAAAAUUUGCAAUAUGUAGGAUAGAAAGUAGCAUAACAAUUAUGUGAGUCUAGUAACUUGCCAACGGAUAAUAAGUUGCAAUUAAUGGAAGGAACAAGUAAGGUUUAAGAGAGAGAUAAUGCAGAGGAAAAUGGGACAGAUCCUUCCCCAAUCACUGGUGAAGGGACACCAUUGGCACUAGUGAUGUAUAAAUGGCGAGAUUUAGAGGAUAAUGAGGUAAACAAAGUAGAGUAAAAAGUCAUAUGAUCAGAAGCACCUGUAUCAAUUAUCCAUGUAUUUUGAGACUUAACUUGUGGUGGAUCAUAUGCAAAAAGACAGGCAGGUGGUAUCAUCCUACCAGAACCAGUAUGAUCCACAGAGAAUGUCUUGUUAAAAGCCAUGAGUCAAACAACCGCACACAAGUAAGGCAAAGAUUGCAGCGUGAAAAAAAACACAGCAGCAAAACACCAACAAAGCGUGCUUAGCAGGAGCAGAUUGUAGUGAAAAACACAGCAGCAGAACACCAACAAAACAUGCACGACAGGAGCAUCAACACAGGCCCCAGUAAAGGCAAUUCAAGGCAAAAACAAAAGAAAUAGCACCAACAAGGCAAAGAACACAGAAAUAUCCUAUGAACAAAAGGCAAAGCAAGGACAAAGUAAAGCAAGAGCAAGGGGUAGGAACAAUAUAGAAGCAAAGCAAGGACAAGGUUAAGUAGACAAGGCAUGCAAAGUAAGGGCAAGUUAAGUAGAGACAAGGAAAGAACAAGGUUAUGCAGAGACAACCAAAAACGAUUGCUCUGAAUACAUGCUAAAUAGAGUAUCAAAAUAAUAUUUGAAGAAACGUUUCUGGUUUCAAGUUCAUUGUAUUUCUUUGUAUAACUUACAACAGAAUUUAUACAAGGAGAAAGCUUGUUAUUCAAGCUCAAUAGUAAUUACAAGUAGGUAGAUGGUAGCUGGUCUUGGGCUCAUAAUCCUGGAGAUUUGCACCAGCAGCCUCCCAAAGUCAAGUCAACCUAAAUAAUGCACCCACCUCAUUAAUGCAACUAGCUAACACAACUGAGGCCUUGGGUAAUUUCUCAGUGUUUAGAGAGACUUUCGUUUCAAUGGCAGCCACCAACUAUCUCAGAAGUCCAGUUCGAAUCUGACCCAGCAUUCUUAGUAGCAAGAAUUUACUCUGGAAUCAUGGCAUGAAGUGCCAGUGCAGCAUCAGCAGCAGCAGUAGCAGUAGUGGCGUUGAUGAGAGGUCAGUGUUUUCACUCACCUCGUCAAGCAAGUACGAAGUUGAUUAUUUGGGAGAGAAAACCAAAGGGGAUUUGAAUGUCAAGGUGGAGCAUCUUAAGGCCUUUGGUAACUAUCUUUCCUCUCCAAUGCUCUGUUUCAUUCUUUCAGUUUUGAAACUACAACCAUAUAUAUAUAUAUUGUGUGUGUGUGUAAAGUUUUGUUCUUUUCAAUGAACCCAUGUAGGAAUUGAUAGUCAAACAACUUUAAAAGGUCCAAUUGAGGAAGUGGCCAGGAUUGAGGCUGAAGAAGCUGAAGACUUGCUCAGAGACUUGGGUAUCCCAGUGCUGCUUUUUAAUUCCUUUUCCUGCAUACAUUUGAUCCUAUAUAUGCAUCAUCUUAUCUCUUUGCGUUCUUAUCUUUUUCUUUAAUAUUUGGUUCUCUUGAAUCUUGAACCAAUGGAUAUCCUUCUUAUCAUUUGCUUAUGGUAUUACCAUGUUCAAUAUAUAUGUGCAGACUCCCUUUUCGUCAAGACAAUCACCUCGCGGCAAUUUUUUGUAGAAGCACAUUAAAUCUUUGAUCAAUCAGUGCCAUUGGAUAUGAUAUGGACUACACCAUGAUCCAUGGUAAUGUGAUUGUAAGUGUCAUCAGCUUAAUAUAUGUUCUUAUUCUCAGCAUUAUUUGGCGCGUCAGCUUUGUUGCAACAGUAAGAUCAUAUAGUUUUGCACGUGCAAGUGACUAAUGUUGCAACCUCAACCAUUACUAUUCCAGCUAUUGUCUGACAUGGAUUUGUAUUUUGCGGGCUUGAGAAGGGAGAGCUUAUGAUUACUGCAUGGAGAAUUUGAAGAAAGGGGGUUUCCCUGUUUUCGGUCUUGCGUUUGACCCUGACUUGGUAGCUUCUAUAAGCAACUUAACCAUCUUUUCCCAUCCUUUCCCAUCCUUUCCCAUAGCUUAUUAGAGGCCUUGUCAUAGAUAAAGAGAAAGGCAACUUAGUGAAGGCUGAUCGAUUUGGUUAUGUAAAGACGGCUAUGCAUGGCACGAAGAUGCCAGCUGAUCGAGCUGUAAGGUACACUAUGAAGCUUUUAUUUUUGGUUAGUCUCAUAGUGCAAAUGCAAAGCAGGCAUUCAGUGUGCUGUUAAAACAUUAGCAAUAAGAAUUCCUAUGAAAGUUCCUAUUAUCAGAUGUAUUACUCUGGUAAUUUACCUCUCUGAAUAAAAUUACAUUACAUUGUAGAAAAUAUAUUUCCUUGUAUUUAACAGAUUACACAAAGUCCCUAUUUAUACUAGUACAGGAUAUCUACUUAAGGUAGGAAAUAAUAUAGAAAUGAAUACAAUUCGAUUUACAACAGGAAAGGCUAAUUGCUAGGAGGAGAUUGUGAAGUUGACUUCCGUAUAGGCUAGGAAAGGAAAGCUGCGUUAACACUCCCCUCCCCCCCGCGCGGAAACUGGGCGCCACAGGAUGCACAAGUUUGGAAGACAUAUGCUGAUAGAGUGGUUUGUGAAGGGCUUUGGUGAACAGGUCCGCAAGUUGGUCGACAGAAGGAAUAAAGCAAACUUGAUGACUUCCAAGAGCCACCUUUUCACAGACAAAGUGAUAGUCUAACUCAAUGUGACGUGUGCGGGCAUGGAAAACUAGAUUGGCAGCCAUGUACGUGGUGCUGAGAUUGUCACAAAAUAGUUGGAUCGGGAACCGAAGACGCACACCCAAUUCAUAAAGAAGAAAGCAUAGCCAAGUGGUUUCGGCAUAAGCAUGAGAGAGUGCACAAUAUUCUGACUCUGUACUAGGGCGCGAACUGUGGGCUAUUUCUUGGAACACCAUGAGAUGAGAUUAGUUCCAAGAGUAAUCACAUAUCCAAUGGUCAACCGACGAGAAUAGGGGCACCCAGCCCAAUUCGUAUCAGAGUAGGCAGAGAGGCGAGCGGCGGCAAUUUGAGAAGUAAAGGUGAGGCCGAGAUCAAUAGUGCCCUUGAUGUACCUAAGUAUCCGUUUGGCGGCAACAAGGUGAGAGGUGCGAGGAGCACUCAUGAACUGAGCAACAGUGUUGACGGCAAAAGAUAUGUCAAGGCGAGUAAGAGUGAGAUACUGUAAACUGCCAACAAGCUCGCAAUACUUGGUUGGGUUGGAGAUGGGAGCACCAUCAGGCAGAGAGAAGAACCUUGGUAGCCAAUGAAGUAGAUGCGGGUUUGGAGUUGAGAAUAUUGGCUUUCUGUAAAAGAUCAUGUACAUAUUUGAGUUGAUUGAUGUGGAGAGUACCAUCUUUACGAAGAACCUGUAAACCCAAGAAAUAGCUUAGUGGACCAAGGUCUUUGAUGUCAAAAUGGGCACCUAAAAGAGAGAUGAAUUGUUGGAGAUGAGUGGAAUCACUACUAAUUACCAAGAUGUCGUCGACAUAUAGAAAGAGAAAUAUGGUAUGGGACGCCUGUUGAAAAAUAAAUAAUGAAGUGUCAGCUUGGCUCCGUAUAAAGCCCAUAGAGAGAAGGAAAGUACUGAUGCGAUGGAACCAAGCACGAGAUGCUUGUUUGAGGCCAUAGAGUGCUUUGUGGAGCAUGCAAACAUAAGAAGGACGAGUGGGAUCAAUAAAACCAGGGGGUUAAGCCAUGUAGACAUCUUCUUGAAGAAACCCAUGGAGAAAGGCAUUUUUAACAUCAAGUUGACGAAGGGACCAACCACGAGAAAUUGCAAGGCUAAGAACAGUGCGAAUGGUGGCAGGCUUGACAACAGGACUGAAGGUUUUAGCAUAGUCUAUGCGCGGACAUUGAUGAAAACCGUUGGCAACUAGAUGAGCUUUGUAGCGUUCAAUGGAGCCGUUAAAGUGACGCUUAAUCCGAAAAACCCACUUGCAGCCAACCAAGUUCUGAGACGGAGAGGAAGGAACCAAAUACCAUGUAUGAUUUUUGAGGAGUGCAUUGAUCUUUUCAGUCAUAGCGUCACGCCAUUCAGGAUGCUUAGUGGUCUGUGAAAAACAAGUAGAUUCAGUAUGUUCAACAACAGUUAAUAAGGCACGGGGAAGAGAAUAUUUGACAGUGUCAUCAGUAUGAAGCUUGGGCUUUUAAAUGCCAUCCUGAAGGCGGGUGAGCAUGCGUUGCGGAGUUGCAAGAAUUCUUAGGUUCGGAGCUGCUGGAACCAGGGGGUCAGAGUUGCUAGAACCGAGAGGUUCAGAGCUCCUGGAAUUGGGGGUUCGGAGCUGCUGGAACCAGGGGGUUCGGAGCUGCUGGAACCGAGGCAGGCGCAAGCGGAAAGAGCUAUAUGCGAGGGCGUCGAGAAUAAGUUUGGAGCAAGGGUUGGGAUAAAGCAGAAGAAAUGUCGUUGAGUGAUCCCGGGGUGCGACGGGGUCAUGGCUUGAGACUGCAGCAGUUGGAAAGGUGCGAGCUAGGGAGGUGCCAUGAGGUUGCGAGUCUGAGACUGAGUCUGCAGCAGGAGUAAUCGAUAGGGGCAUAGGUGUGGAGAAGGGCAGAAUUGGGUGGAAUUCAAUAUCCACAUACUCUAAAGAAGAUCAUACCUGCAAAUGCUCAAAUGGAAAAUGCAUUUCAUUAAAUAAAGCAUGAUGGGACAUGUAAACACGACCCGUGGAGGGAUGUAAACAACGGUAACCUUUAUGGUGAGAACUGUAUCCAAGGAAAACACAUUCAAGGGUGCAAUUGGUGAGUUUAUUUUCAGUAUAUGGUCCAAGGUAAGGGAAACAAGAACACCCAAACACCCGGAGAUGAGAGUAGGAAGGAGGAUGUUGGAAGAGACGAUUGUAUGGAGUGUCCCAUUAAAGAUUAGGAGUCGGUAGGAGGUUUAUGAGAUGGACAGCAGUGAGGGCAGCUUCAACCCAGAGAUUGUGGGGAAUGUGAGAAGUGGUAAGGAGGGUACGGAUCAUGGUGGUAAUAUGUCUGUGUUUACAUUCAGCUAGGCCAUUUUGUUGGGGAGUGUGGGGACAUGAGAAACGUUGGUGGAUGCCUAGUUGACUGCAAAGAUCAGAGAAAGCAUUAUUAACAUAUUCAGUACCAUUGUCACUUUGAAGAAUUUGUACAGUGGUGUGAAAUUAAUUUUUAACCAUGGCAAGAAAGGUUUGAAAGUGAGAGAAGACCUCAUUUUUACGAUGCAUAGGAUAGAUCCAGGAGUAACGAGAGAAGUCAUCUGUAAACAAGACAUAAUAGCGAUAACCAAUGACAGAAACGACCUGGGACAUCUAUACAUCAGAAUGAAUUAAAUAAAAGGGAGAUUGGGCAAAGGUUUUAUUACUAAGAAAUGACAGUUUGGUGGAUUUGCUAAGUGCACAAUCCUUACAGAAAGCAUUUGAAACUUUAAAGUCUAGAGAUGGCGCUAAAUGAGAGAGCACAUGAUUGGAUGGAUGGCCAAGGCGACGAUGCCAAGCAGGAGAGUGCACGGUGGUAAGGGCACGAGGGACUAUGGAUGAGUGAGAGGAUAGGGAAAGUAGGUAAAGACCAUCUUUAGAAGGGCCCUGAAAGAGUAACGAACCAGUACGUAAGUCAUAGAUUUGAUAAAAGUCAGAAGUAAAGACAAAGAAAACUAAAUUAUCAAGAGUAAAACAGGCAACAUAAAGAAGAUUAAUACGAAGAGAUGGAAGACAAAAGACAUUUUGAAGAGAAAAUUUGUGAGAACCCAAAGGAAGAGGAAGAGAGCUAGUAUGAGAGAUAGAGAGGGAAUCUCCAUUAUCAAGAAAUACAGAAUUAUUACCCUGAUAUGGUUGUUGAUUUUGGAGAUUAGAAGGACUACUAGUCAUGUGAUGAGUGGCACCUGUGUCAGGGUACCAAGUAGAGUCAGGUGGCUGCAUAAACUGAGCCCCAGUAAAGGAAGGAAAGGAUUCUGGGCCAUUGUAGCGAUGGGGACAUGUUGAAGUAGUAUGUUGAUUGGUAUUGCAGGUGGUGCACCAAGCGGGUCCCAAGACACCAAGAGCUGAGUUAGGUCGGGUAGAGUGUUUGCUAGAAGUGGCAGAUUGAGCCCAAGGAGGCUGAAAGAAAGGCCAAUUGCUUUGAGAUCCAGAACUUGGAGCAAAAGGAGGCAAUGGUUGAUUAGGCCAUUGGAGUGCUGGAAGCUAUUCCAUGGGUUGCUCCAGAAAGAUGAGAAGUUGCGCCAGCCACCACGACCACAACCACGCCAACCACCACGGCCACCACGCCUAUUGCUGGAAGAGCCACCACCACGGUAAGAAGGGAAUGAAGUAUGACCGGUGGUGUGAGGAGAGGAUUGGGCUGCCAUUAGCGCUGUGGUUUGAUCAGGAGAGAUUUGAGGAGCCUGUGCGUCAAAAGCUAACAAACGAGCACGAAGAUCAGCAAAGUCAAGAAGCAGAGGAAAAUUGAGAAUUGCAGUGACGAGCAUUUUGUAAUCGGGUCCAAAACCUCGAAGCACAGUAGUGACAAGUUCUUUUGGGAAGAUAGGUUCAUUGAUGGCAGCCAAUGAAUCGGCAAGGGACUUAGCAUGACGAAGGUAAGCAUCAAUGGGUUGAGAGACUUUUUGCAAAUCCAAGAGUUGAAAACGAAGAGCAAAUUCACUGGCCAUACUAGAUUGAGAGAAGUGGCGUUGGAGACACUCCCAGAGAUCCCGGGCAAAGGUGCAACCAAUAGUGAGAGAGAGAGAAUGGACUCAGAGAGUGUACUGGUGAUGUAGCUAACAAUGAGUUGGUUUUGUUGGUACCACUAAGCAUGGGCGGGAUUGGUUUGGGUAAGAGUGGUUGUGGUGGUGGUAGUUGUGGGUGUUUCGGUGGUGGAGCUGGAGGUGUGGGCAGAAGGUUGUUUAUUAGUGUCAUCGAUAAAUUUCUAGAGAUCAUGACCGAUUAAAAAAGGUUUGAGUUGGCGGAGCCAAAGAAGAUAGUUAGAGUCAGUAAGCUUGAUAAAAUGAGAAGAGUUGAGGCUUGGGAGGGAGAUGGUGGAUUCAGAUGAAGCCAUUAGGUGGACCUAGAGGAGAAGAGGAUCGAAUAAGGGAGAGGAAGAAAACCCUAGGUUAGGCUGAUACCAUGUAGAAAAUAUAUUUCCUAUAAGGUAGGAAAUAAUAUAGACAUGAAUACAAUUCGAUUUACAGCAAGAAAUCUGAUUUACAGCAGGAAAGACUAAUUGCUAGGAGGAGAUUGUGAAGUUGACUUUCGUGUAGGCUAGGAAAGGAAAGCUGUGUUAACAUACAUACUUUCUUUUUCUCUGGAUAAAAAGAAUAUAAAAGCUAUCUAAGAUGAUGCACUUGCAUGCAAUGCUACCAAAGAAGCAUAAGUUCCAUCCUUGAUACCGAUCAAAGUUUCAUGCUUUCCUUUCUCUGCAAUGACUCCAUUUUCCACCACUGCAAUUACAUCCGCACCCUUUAUUGUGGAUAACCGAUGGGCAACCACGAUUGUUGUUCGAUCCACCAUGAUUCGGUCCAAUGCAUCUUGAACCACUCGUUCCGAUUCAGCAUCAAGAGCACUUGUGGCUUCAUCUAGUAGUAGUAUCUUUGGUGCCUUCAUUAUAGCUCGUGCAAUUGCCACCCUUUGCUUCUGUCCACCGGACAAUUGAAUCCCCCGCUCUCCUACUAUUGUAUCAUAACCCUGCAUUGUUUUUUCCAAACUUCACAUGGUUAAUCUUCAACGUUCCAAAUAAAAUUUUGUGAAUUUUCAUCAACUAGUCCUUCUCAUUUAUGCAGCACCAUGGCAAUAGAUUAUAUUAUAGUAUUUGUGGCCAAAAGAAAUUGACAAGCUUGUUAAUUUUGUAGUGCCUACCUGUUGUAAACUACAGAUGAACUUGUGAGCAUUUGCCAAUUCUGCAGCAGCUAUAAUUUCAGCCUCUGUUGCAUUCCCUUCCUUUCCAUAUGCAAUGUUGGCUCUGAUAGUAUCAUUAAACAAUGCCGGCUCCUGGCUCACCAGUCCCAUUUGCUGUCUCAACCACUUGAGCUGUAGCUUCUGGAUUUCAACUCCAUCUAAUGUAAUGUGACCCGAAUCAGGGUCAUAAAAUCUCUGCAACAGUGAGACGACUGUCGAUUUCCCACUUCCACUUUCUCCAACCAAAGCAACUGUCUGAAUAACAUAAUACAAAUUUGUAAAUCCCAGAAACUUGAAUUAGACUACGAGGUUCAAAUUUUAUGCUUUUUUUGAAAUGAAUAAAAGAACAAAACAUGUUACUAAGUUACCUUGCCAUGACGAAUGGUCAAGCAAAGAUCCUGGAACACUGGAACGUCAGGUCUAGUUGGAUACUUGAAACUGACAUGGCAAAGUUCAAUUUCUCCCUUCACAUUUUCUAUAGUUAUUCCAGAUUCAUCACUAGAGUCUAUUUUUGAUUUCCGGUCAAGAAUGGCAAAUAUGGAAGCAGCAGAGCUCUUUACUUUACCAAGAUUAGGGGCUAGGGAACCUGACUGAGACACUCCAAUAGCUGUCAUCGCUAGAGCAAAGAAAACCUGUAAACCAGGGAAAUGUUAACAAUCGACUGAAUGGACUAAUGAAGAUUUAAUUCUCAAGUAACACAUAUUUAGCAGAGUUCGGAUCCUCUGCUAAUGUUUUCUCAUCUAUUUACUUAAUUGAAGACUUGUAGCGCAAGGAAUAAAAACUCACCCGGAAAACAUCAGAGAAUGUUGUCUUGCCUGCUGCAACAAGUCGGGCUCCAGCAUAAAAACUGCAGGCAUACACAGAAAAAAGAAAAAAGAACGAGAGCCCAAAACCUGUCCCACUGAUUAACCCUCGUCUUAUCCCUGUCUUAAUAGGGCCUUCACAUUUCUUCUGGUACAAUUCAAUCACCUUCUCUUCAGCACAAAAGGAAGCAAUUGUUCGAAUACUCCCCACUGCAUCAUUGGCUACUUGACUUGCGUCCUCGUACAUUUUCUGCAACAAUUUAAAAUUUUCAGCAUUGGCAAAAAGGAUUGGUCUUAUAUAUAUUAUGUAUGUCGUAUUGGAUGGUGUUUUGACUGCACCAGCUACAAGUUCUCUACUAUAAAAUUUUGUAAAGUUUGGACUUUGGAGAAAUACCUUUGCAUCUGCACUGAAUCCUUUCAAGAACUUGACUUGAACAUAACCAGUUAAUCCUAAUAGAGGCAGCAAAACCAGGAUUAUAAGAGCAAGUUGCCAAUUUGCCACAAAAGCAAUACACAAACCAGCAAUUGCAGUUGCUGAAUUCUCAACCAGCAAACCUAGUGCAUCUCCAACCACCCCACGCAGAGAAGCUGCAUCUGCAGAAAGCCUUGCACCAAUUGCACCACUUGAGUACUGAGGAUUGUCAAACCAACUUACUUCCAUGUAAACCACCUUCUCAUAGCACAUUGAUCGAACUCGUUUUAUUAAAUUACACCCUGCCACAGCAAAAAAGUAUUGUCUUGCUGGCAGUGCUAUGAAAGCUACCACUCCAAGAACAAUGAAGGUUAAUGCCCAAAACUUCGAAUCCUUACGGAGUUGAGGAGGUGGCUCGUAGAAGGUCUUGAUUACACUGGAUAUCAAUAUCGAAAAAAUAGGUAAGAUUGCCCCAUUGACUGCUGCGGCUAUAGUACCUAGUAAUAAUACUGGGAUCUCUGGCUUGUUCAGGUAAGCCAGGCGACGAAUUGAGACUUCUGGAGGGCCUCUUGAUGAUGCUGAAGCAGGAAUAUCACGUCCUACAGAUGCUGUUUCAAGAGAAUCGACUGCAGUGGGCACACCAUAUGUGAUUGAGAAGGAAUGACGAUUACUAUUUCCGCUUCCAGAUGAUCCCCUGCUUAUGGAUCGUAAGUUUGAAAAUCUUUGACUUGAAUGUCUUCGAGAAUCCACGCUGCUAAGCCUUUCGUGAUUAUUUACAGCAGUCUGUUCUGACACGCUGCUCAUUUCUUGCAACCUUAUAAGCUGGCUAUAUGCUCCUUCAGGGUCCUUAAUUAGCUCAGAAUGUGGACCUGCUCAGUUGAAAACGAUCAGUAAGUGCACUAAGAAUAAGAUGAAUUGUAACAUUAUGUUGAACUAUAGACAAUACGAUUUGGCCUUCAAAUGGCAGAACAGGACAACAUAAACAAAUGCAUUACCUUUUUCAACAAUUGUUCCUCGAUGUAUAACAGCAAUGGUGUCAGCAUUCCUUACUGUGCUCAAGCGGUGGGCUACGACAACAGUAGUCCGGUUGAUCAUAAUUCUGUCCAGUGCCUCCUGCACAAUGCUCUCAGAUUCUGCAUCAAGAGCACUCGUGGCUUCAUCUAAAAGUAGAAUUCUUGGGUCUUUGAGAAUUGCUCUAGCUAUUGCAACUCUCUGUUUUUGGCCCCCAGAUAGCUGAGUUCCAUGCUCACCAACCAUUGUGUCUAGUCCCUAAAUGCAUAAAUCACAAAACCACAAAUAAGAAAAAGGGAAUUGAAUGAGUUGAUCGAAAUAAUCGGAGUUUUUAGAAAAUUCAUGUAACAAAAUGAUAAGAUCACUGGAUGUCUCAAUAAGCUUCCAUGGUCGUGGAAAUUAAGAAUUCACACAAAAAGUUCAGAGAACAAAAUACCAGAACUUAGAUGAAAGUUUAAAUGAAUUUAACCUGAGGCAGUUUGUCUAUGAAUUUAGCAGCAUUGGCAAGUUCAGCAGCAGCCCUUAUUUCUUCAGUGGUUGCACCAUCCUUUCCAUAGGCAAUAUUAUCUUUAAUGCUACAAGUAAAUAAAACGGGUUCCUGGCUGACAAGGCCUAUUUUCUGUCUGAUCCAUUUCAACUGGAACUCUUUGAGAUUAAUCCCAUCAAUAAGAACUUCGCCAGCUAGGGGGUCAUAAAAUCUCUCAAUCAAACUGACUACAGUUGAUUUACCACUUCCACUCUCUCCAACCAAAGCAGCAGUUGCACCACUAGGUAUUGAAAGAGAAAAUCCAUCGAAUAUUUGUUCAUCCGGUCUUGCAGGAUAACUAAAAUAAACAUCCCUCAGUUCUAUGUCUCCACGGAUAUCAUGUAAUUGUUGCCCAUUAGUGUCAGAAGCAUCAAUCUCUGGCUUUCUGUCAAUUGUCUCAAACAUCUUAUAAGCUGCAGCUUGUCCAGCAGCAAAUACACUCAAGCAUGGAGAUGCCUGCCCAAGAGACCUGAAAAUUUAUCAUAGAAAGCAGAAAAGUUAUAUCUUUAUCUUCUGAAGAAUCACAUAUCAAAUUUUGGACUGAAGGGGGGAGGGGGAGUAGUCAGUAGAUCAAGUAAAAAUGCAAACACUAGUACAAUAGUACUAGGAUCAACAAAUUUGUUCAUUAAAUUUUACUGCAAGCAACUUACAUGGAGCCAGUCAACACAGCUGAAACUACAUUAAUGACUUCCCCUCCUGUAUAUCCUUUUUCAAGUAUCAUCUUUCCUCCAAACCAUAUAGCCAGAGCAUAACUACACAUCAUAAUCAGCAUAGCCGAACCAAUUCCGAACCCAGAUGCCAAACCCUCUUGCACACCGGAGUUGUAAGCUUUAAUUAAGGAGUUGUUGUAAUUAGCUAUAGCUUGCUUUUCUCCUGUAAACGAUGCAACCUGAAAUGGGAACACAAGUUUUAGUUCUACACUAAGAAAAUAGAAAUAAUAAAUUUUUGUUUUAAAGAUCUUAAAGACAAGUAGGCCUACUGUUCUGAUUGAACCAAUUGUCUGCUCUACCACAGUUGCUGCCACUGAAUAAGCAGUUUGUCCACUGGAUGCCAUCUUUGAUAUAAGGAUGCGCAUGAUGGCACCAGAGAGGACAAGAAGGGGGAUAGAAGAUAGCAUGACAAGGGUGAGAAGCCAUCCCUUAACAAAUGCUAUAACAAAGCCUCCUACGAAUGUUGCAAUUAACUGGAUAAAAGUUCCUACCUGCAAUAAGAAAAUGAAAGAAUGAGAGGUUACUGGAGAAAAUAGCAACAGCUUAAGGCUUUUGUGUGUGGCAUGUAAAUACCUUCUCGCCCAUGGCCUCUUGAAUGAGCACAGUAUCACCUGACAUCCUCCCAACAAUUUCCCCAGUGUUAAUUUCUUUAUCAAAAAAGCCAACAUCUUGCCUCAAUAUUGUUUUCAAGUAUAAACUUCUUAUUCGAGCAGCCUGUCUCUCUCCAGUGACCAUCCAGCAAGACAUCUCUGGCAUAGAGAGAAAGCUACUAAUCUCAGUUUCCAAAAAGCCAAAUUAUUUGUUUGGUGCACCAGCAGGCAGUUCAGUGUAACUUACGUAGAAAUGCAGCUGCAGCAGCUCCCACCGCCACGUAGACUAACUUUAGAGCCACCUGAGAAUAUUGAAUUGGCCAAAUUAUAUCUGAUUAAGCCUUGUUCAUUACAAUUUCAACUAAGUUAGAGCAACCAGAGAACCAAAAUAGAUGUUAAAACAGAAGUAAGCUCAUUCAUCGCAGUUCUAAUAUUACAGUCACAUAAUAUUUACCUUGGAAACUGCGUCAACCACUUCUUUAUUAUUCCCUGUUUGUCCAAAGGAAUUAAUCAAAUCUCCAAAGAUUAUGGUCAUUAGAGGGACAGAGGCCCCAUUUCCAAUAGCACUGAUUGUACCAACAGACAUUAGCAGGUAAUCUAAGGAAUCGGCAAAGGAGAAAAGCUUGUAAUAUGGUACUGUUUUGGUGCCAUCCUCCUUGCUCCUGCUUCUAUCUUGUGGGUUGUUUUGAGAGUCCUCCACUGCUGAGUGGCCGUUCGAUGCUGCCUUGCCCUCCUCCUUGAUUACAUCUCCAUCCGCAGGAUUUUCCUCAGCCAUGUUUUUCGAAGCACCUCAGAGAAGUAAGUUGCAACUAUCUUGUGACAGUAAGCAACUCAAACUUGGAUGAUGAGAUCAGAGCUGCAAGAGAACAUUUAUGGAUUGAAUUAGAAACCAGGCACAUUAUUUUGUUUGUUUUUCGGGCACAAAAUUGACUACAUAAACCAACUUAAUCUAAUUGAAUAUAGAGUUGAUCAGUAAGCAAAAAUAUAUUUAAAAAACCCACUUAUUCCAAUAUUCUUUUUUUUUAAUUCUUUUUUUUUUGGCGCGUGUGAGAAGGGUUCGUUGCAAUAAAAUAAGUGCAGCAACUGUGAGAAGGGUUCGUUGCAAUAAAAUAAAAAAAUAUCAAAACAAAACCAAAACUUAAGAAGCCUCACACUGCAGGCAGUGAGAAAUCACAGUGAGGAAUCAAACGAAGAAGAAAAGAGAAAGAAACCUAGUGGCCAGCCAGCUGAUGCAUGUUCUAAAGGUGAGAAAUUUAAGGACAAGAGAAAUAGAAUAAGGAAUAAGACAAGCAUGGUAGCAAAACAAAAACUACAAGCAUGGUAGCAAAACAAAAACUAUGGCAUGGAAUAUGAAAUGAGGUGUUCGUCUAUUAUUGAAAAGAGAACAAUUUCAACCAAUGCAAUAGGGUUGUGCAGGAUCCAAACCAAUAUCUGCUAAAAUUGACCAAUCCAAUCCAAUCCAAUUUUCAUUAGUUUCGACAACAUUGGUGGAUUGGAUUGGAUCAGAAAAAUAGAAAUCCAAUUAGAUCAGUUUGGAUAACGGAUCAAGAAUUGAAAAUCUAACAUAAAUCAAACCAAUCCAAUAUACAUUUAUAUUAUAUAAUGUUUACACUAUCAUCUUGUUUUUCACUAAUAUAUUAAUCUUACUUUCAAAAAAAUUAAAACAUUAACGUAUUACCACAUUUUUAUCCCACAUUUCUAUACCACAUGAUGCGGUAUGUCCAUAUCAUAUGUCAUAUCAAUUAAAUCAAUGAAGUGUAUUUUAAUAAAGAAAGUUUAAUUGACAAUUUUUUUUAAGUGUUAAUAAAUCAUAAAAUAAAAGAAAAUGUUAAAUAAUUUUAAUUGAUAUGUGGUUGUCCACAUCAUCUGCCACAUAAGGUGGUAUCGGAAUGUGGUAUACAAAUGUGGUAAGAGUAGCAUUAUUCUAAUUUAUAUUAAAACUUAAUAUAUUAAUGUCAUAUCUUUCAUCAUAUUGAAUUUUGUAUUAUAUGUAAUGAAAGAUUAUGAAGUUUUUUUGUCAUGAUUAUUUUUUCAUACAAACCGAUCAUGCAAUCCAAUCCAAUGUACAUUGGAUCGAAUUGGAUUGGAUCCUAACUUCCAACCAUAUUAGAUUGGAUUGUAAAAUUGGUAAUCCAAUAAAAGAUUGGAUUGAAUUGGAUUGGUAAAAAAACCAUUGGUUUCGGACCGAUGCUCACCCCUACGAGAAAUUAUAGAGUGAUACUGUAUCACUACGUCAGCUGGUGAUACUCCCACUCAAAAUCUGCUAUGUGUAUUUUUUAAAAAAUAAAUAAAAUAUAUUUUACAACUGGACUUUGGCUUCCAACUUUACCCUUCAACUUUAAUCACCCAAACCCUCCCCACCGUGUUCCCUAUCCACCGUCUUCUUCCCUACGCUAUGCCUGCUAUCUGCAACACCACGCGUCUUCCCUUCUCUCUCAUCACCUACCCCAGCCUUCACUGUUGUUUGUGCAAAUAAUCUCACGGGAGAAUAUUCGCUUCUAGAUCCUUCAACCUUCGAUCUUCCUUCUCUCUCUUCCUCGAUUCCUGUAAAAAAGACUGGAGUAAAUAGACCACACCCGGGGGGUGUUGGCCAAAGGCCCUCCGAUGCCUAAGUUAGUUCGAGUGUUUGUAGGAAAACAAUAGCUAAGCAAAGGGUACGGAGUUUUAUGUAGGGUGUAAACCGGGUGGCCGGAGCCGUGUGUGGUGGCCGGAGCCGUGGGGAGAAAAUAUGGAGAGUGGAGAGGGAGAGAGAGCUUCGGGUAUUUUUCUCUGGUAUAAGGAGUAGGUUUAGAUGUACCUUGAAUGAUGAAUGAGGUCGUCUAUUUAUAGGAGCCUCGGGGCUAGGGUUUCGUAGGAAUCCAGUUGGGCCUGAUAAUAUCUGAAUUAAAUAUAUAUUAUCUCUUAAGAAGAUAAUAUCUGAAUUAAAUGAUAUUAUCUCUUAAAAAGAUAAUAUCUGAUUUAAAUGAUAUUAUCUUCUCUUUAUUAGGAUAAUAUCUUAAUUAAUGAUAUUAUCUCUUUAAAUAAAGAUAAUAUCAUAUUAAUUAAGAUAUUUAUCCCAAUUAAUUAAUUAGCCAGAUAAACUGGUUUAAUUAAUUAAUUAAAGAGAUAAUCUUCUUUUCCACGUGGCGUGCCCUGAUUGGAGACGAAAAUAUAUGCUCCCACAACUGUCUUCAUAGUUAAUGAAUCUAAAGAACUUCUAUUGUCAAAUGACUCAAAACCCAUAAACAAAAUCUAGUCAAACUCUACCAUUUUAUCUCUGGAGACACCCUUGAAGCUAAAGAAGAUGGGUAAUCUCUGAAAAUUUCACUUCUUACUCUUUUAAAAAGACCUUGAAUGAAAGCUGAUAAUGAAGAUGGUGAGGAAGAAGAAGAAUCUGAUGUGGAAUGGAGAGAUUUUUGGCGGAUUUCCUUCAUCAAGCCCCGCCCCAAUGACUUGCUCUAUAACACAAUUAAUUCUUGGUUGCCCAUCACGUCAAUCUUCCCUUCUUUCACUAGUGGUUUUUGUUUAUUUAAGAUUUAUGGUUUCAUGUUUAAUGGGUUUGCACAUAUUUUUAAGAUUUUUGGCUUUUUUUAUUAAAGGGUUUAACUUUUCACCGAAAAUUCGAGGGAGAGAGAGGAGGUGGGAAUAUUGGAGGGGUAGGGAAGGCCGGGGUGGGUGGCUGAGAGGGGGAAGGGAAGAGGGUUGUGUGGAGUCGAUAGCAAGGGCAUAGCACAGGGAAGCCGGAGGGGGGAAGGGUUAUGGUCAUUAAAGUUGAAGCGUAAAGUUGUAAGUCAAAGUUCAGUUGUAAAAUAUAUUUUAAUUUUUUUUAAAAAAAUACAUGUGGCAGAUUUUGAAUGGGAGUAUAACCAGCUGACGUGGUGAUACAGUAUCACUUUAUAAUUUCUCCACCCCUACAAUGCAAUUUGGAUAGUUGGGUCUUAGGGCUCAUAUGGUAUGUCAGACUGUACUGACUAAUUUAUGUCGAAUAGUAUUAAUAUGUUCCGAGAGUACUGAUUGUUUAUCCAUAAUAUAAUAAGGCGUUUGGUGUUGUUCCAGAUAAAUAGUAUCACUAAGUUAUACUAUGUUUGGUACUAUUUCGGAUAACAUCAGAUCAGACUAUUUUUUUAAUAAAAUUCUUUGAUAAUUUAAUGAAAAUUUAAAUUCAUAGGAAAAUUGAGUAAUUUAGUGGGAAGGGCUUUUAAUUUACCUACGGCUUCUUGCCAUUAAUCCCAUAUGUCCAUUCAACAUCAUGAAUUUGCCUAAUAGUUUAUUUAGUUAAGUAAAAUUUAAUUUCCAGCAUUGACCAAAUUAAAUCGAACAAUCCACUCAUCCUCCAAACUGAAGUUUGAAUCUUGGAAAACUGAAUUAUGAACCAAACUCAUCCACUCCCCAACAACCAAACCCAAGCUUUUUGGUUGCUCUCUGAAACAUCGAGUUUCAAUUCAAUGCAAAACAUAGACAAAUAAAUAAUUCCACGAUGCAAUUACAUUCCUAAUCUAACUUCCACAAAAAUAAAAACUCACGACCUAGUUUCCACAAAAUUUAAUAAAAGAUGAAAUAUAUAAAGAAAGAGAAGAUGAAGACAGAAUAAGAGAGAACAAACAUAUUGGAGAGAGUAUGAGAGAGAGAUGGAUACUUGGAGAAGAUAGCAGAUAAGAACCCUAGGCAGAAGAAGAUAACAAUAGAAUUUUUCACAUGAAUGUGUGUGUUCUUUUUCCCUAACCGUAUAAUUAAGCAUGUAUUAUCUAAAUCGGGGUGUGUAGAUUGUAUUUAUUAGUCAGAUAAAGAGAGUAUUAAAAGUCCAACCCGUUUAAAAUAGUCAGAUAAUUAAAAAAUACGAGCAAAAGACAAAGAAGGAAUCUUUGAACUUCUUGGAAGGUUAGGAUUAGAAUUUGGAUAGUUGGGCCAAAAUUUGGACAAUUAAUUAAGUUGUAUUUUGCCAAAGGGAUAUAUGAUUAGAGUACAUGGAAAUGAAAACAAAAACUACUAUGGCAUGGGAUGGAAGUGUUUGUAUAUUAUAUGUAGAUAUUAUAUUCGAAUGGGAACAUCAAACUUAAAAUUAUUAAACUAAUAAUCCAAGAUUUCCAUUUCCAAAGUAGAAUAAUUAAUAUUAACAUGAGAGUGAAGUGAGUAUAUACCUUCUACGGUGCACAUGCACCGAUGCACCAAGAUUUAUAAAUAAAUAAAAAUGAAACCUGUUGUUCAAGUUGUCCGGUUCCCUGUUUUUCUUUUUUGUUAAGAGUUCCCAACUUUUCUUAAUAUUUAAUCUUUGGCCUGUUUUUUUUGGGAAAGAAACUUUGUCUUAUUCUUUUUCUUCUUUUUUUUGGGGUCGAAAUAUCUUAUUUAAUUUUUAGAUAAACUAAUCUUAACCCAACUAACCCAAUCAAAUUUUAAAAUUUAUAUAAAUCCAAUCGACCAAAUUGAUUUUUUUUUUUUUUGGAAGAUUCACUAUUAUACCCAAUAUAAGAGUCCAAAUUAUUUAAGAAAUUCCUAAAAGAAAUAGACUUUUUAAACAUACUCAAAGCCUAUUUACAACAUAACAAAAAGGUUUUUAACUUCUUUUAAAUUACAAAACUAUCAUUGAUUUCUUGAAACAAACUCAACCCCAAAACUUCAUAAAAAAAAUCCAAAACACUCAAUAGGGUAUUAAAGUAAUUUAAUAAUUAAAAUUAAAUUCAAUAGGGCCAGCUGUCAUUUUUUGGGAGUUUUUUGAGUUUGUUUAGAGAAAUUAAAUGGUGUAGGAUUUAUUUAUAGUUUUAGUGCUAAGAAAGAGUAUAUGACUAAAUAUCUUUCUUUUCUUUUUUUUGUUAACUUGUAAUAAAAAAAAAAUUAGUAACUACAAAUUUGUUGGGUAUAAAAUAUUGGUUGAGUUUACUUAUAAAAUAAUUGGGUUCAAAUAAAAACUCUGUAAAUUUUUUUAAUCACCAAAUGCCUCGAGUUAAAAAUUGAUUAAGCACUUCAUUUAUGCAAUUACUAUCUCCAUAUUUGGUAAUUGUACAAAUACGGGUGGACCUUGCAUAAGUAAAUGUGGUCUUUAUUCUUGUAAACACAAGGGUUUACAAUAUUAAGGAAUCAUAUCACAAUGUUUUGGACAUCAAUGUUCCAUAAAUUUGUAAAGUGUAUCCAUAUUGUUGUAAUACUAUAAUUUACAAUAUAAAUGAUAUCCAUUACAAGGUUAAGGUAAGUGUGGACCCUGGAGAAGUAAAUGUGAUCGUUAUUCUUGUAAAUACAAAGGUUUACGACAUUAAGAACUAGUUCUACAACAUUUUGGACGUAAGCAUUCCAUAAUCUUAUAAAGUGGAUUCAUAAUCUCGUAGAUUACAAGAUUUGGGUUCCCAUUUAUAUGGUUUUGCAACCUAAUUACAAAUUUAAAGUUCAUUCUAGUCCAUAAUCUUGUAAUACAAUAAUUUACAAUAAAAAGGAUCCACAUUAUAAGUUAAUGGAACACUGAAGUCCCAAACAUUGUAAAAAGGGUCCUUAAUAUUGUAAACCAUUGUAUUUACAAGAAUAAAGACCACAUUUGCUUCUCCAAUGUCCACCUUUACCUUAACAUUGUAGGGGGAAUCCUUUCCAAUGUAAAUUAGGGUAUUACAAGAUUAUGCAUUAUGAAGAACCUUAAAAGUGUAAUCAUGGUGCACAAAAUUAUAAAUGAGAACCCAAAUCUUGUAAUCUAUGAGAUUAAUGAUCCACUUUACAAGUUUACGGAACUCAUACGUACAAACUAUUAUAGUAUGAGUCUUACAUGUUGUAAAUCAAUGCAUUUACAAUAAUAAGGACCAAUUUUACAUCUCUAAGAUCCACCCUACCUUAAACUUGUAAUAGAGAUCAUUUCUAUUGUAAUUUAUGAUAUUACACAUUUAUGGAUACAUUUUAUAAGUUUAUGGAAUACUGAGGUACAAAAUAUGGUAAAAGGGGUCCUUAAAACUGUAAAUUCUUGUGUUUACAAGAAUAAAGACCGCAUUUAUUUCUCCAAGGUCAACUCUUACCUUAACUUUGUAAGAGAUAUCUUUUCUAUUGUAAAUUAGGGUAUUACAAGAUUAUGGUUUAGGAAGAACCUUAAAAUUAUAAUAAUGAUGCAAAAACUUGAAAAUGGGAACCCAAAUCUUAUAAUUUACGAGACUAAGGAUGUACUGUACAAGUUUAUGGAACACUUAAGUCCAAACAGUUGUAAUACGAGUCAUUAAUAUUGUAAACCGUUGCAUUUCCAAGAAUAAGGAUCAGUGUUAUAGUAUUUGGGAUUGAGAGUUCCAUAACAUUGUUAAAUUUAUCCCUAAUCUUAUAAAAACAAGGGUUUGCAACAUUAAGGACUCAUGUUACAAUGUUUGGGACAUGAGGGUUGCCAAAUAUUAUAAAUUUUAUCUCUAAUCUCGUAAAAACAUGAGUUUACAACACUAAUUACUCAUAUUACAGUGUUUGGGACAUGAACAUUCCAUAACAUUGUAACAUUUAUCCAUAUUCUUGUAGAUUACAAGAUUCAGGUUCGAAUGUACGAGAUUUUACAUCGUCAUUAUAACUUUAAGGUUUACUUUGAUCCAUAAUAUUUUAAUAGCCUAACAAUUAAAAUGAUCUCAAUUACAAUAUUAAGGUAUUGUUGGACUUGAAUAACUAAAAUUGGGUCCUUAUUCUUGUAUAAAUCACGAUUUACAACAGUAAGGACUCAUGUUAAACUGUUUUGGACAUGAGAAUUCCAAAAACUUGUGAAUUGUAUCCAUAAACUCGUAAGAGCAAUUUGGAGCUCAAAUACCAGAGGUCGUUUGGCACCACUCAGGCAAUUGGUUUUCGCAAAUUGGAAGUGCAAUUACAAGGUUCCUAUUUGUCGAUUGCCAACUUGACAUGGCUGAGUGAAAGCAAAAUAGGCAAUUUCACUAACUUGUAACAAAAAUAACAAUAAAACUUGGGUAGCUUUAUAUAAAUCCAAAUAGCCAAACUGAAAUUGUUUUUGUUAACGUGUAACAAAAUAAAAUAAAAUAAAAUAAAAAAUCUUUGGAGAUUGUAGAGUUUUCCUUGAUUAUUGAAAACUGACACGACUUAAAUAAUUUUAAAGAAAUCUUUGUAUAUUUGAAUUCCACCUCAACAUUCACAAGGAAUAUAUAAUUUCGACUAAAAAAAUGAGGGAAAUAUGAUUGCAUCUAUGUUUAAUCACGAGUACAUAACAAAAUUUAUAUGUAGAACUGGCGCAAUAAUUUAGUUGGUGCAUAGACAAUGUCAAUUGCACGACUGGAAUGCAAAUGGGACCGCUUUAUUUGUCAAUUGCAUGACUGGAAUGCAAAUGCCUCUACCUAUUUGUCAAUUGCAUUGAUAAAUCACAUAUUAUAUUUACACUCUCAAAAUUGAAAAGGCUGCCAAUAACAUGGCAAUAUGCAUACACUAAUCUCAAAAUACAACUUUAAACUAUGAUAUAACAGUCAAAUUUACUUUAAAAACUUAUUCUCAAUGGUACUAUACCUCAUCAAAGCCAACAUAAACUUCAUUCAUGUAAUUGAAAGUAUUCUUCAAUACAUUCGCUUUACAUAACCAAUAAUUAUAAAACUAAAAUCUCAAGUCAUUAUGUAUUUAAAAAAAAAUUACAUUCUCCAGAUACAAUGAAAAUGUUACAAAUUCAAGUAGCCAAAUAAAUAGACUCCAAAAUAGUAUAUUAGUCUUGUACUUGGCCUAGUUCUUUACCCCAACCUGAAAAACAAUCACAAAAACAUCAAUAAAAUGAAUGGGAAACAUAAAACAUCAAUAAUAUGCUAAUAUGAAAAUAAUUACAAAGUCAUCAUUAUAAACAAAAAAAAUAACAAACCUACAACAACAUAAUUAACUUGAAUAAUAGAAAGCAAUAUGCCAAUUUCGGGUAGAGAUUUGUUCUUUUCUUUUUUCUUUUUUUACUUUUUGGAUUGUAUAACGAUUAUCAAUCUUAUAGGCUUUGAAUAUCAAACAAAAAAACUGCAAAGAAAGCAGCCAAAAGCUGGGACUAGCUUCAAUCAUUAUCUCCAAGGCCAUGUACAAUGGCCUGGUGUUUGUCUUUACGUCCUCAUUUUGUGAUUCCAAACUUACUAUACUUAGCACUAUGCCAAGAUUAGGCAAAUCAUGCCACUUCCAAUGUAGCAUGAUAGUUUUUAACAUGCAGUUCAUAAUAUAUAUAUUCCUCAUGCAUCACUAAAAUAAAUAAAUAAAAUCUCCAACCAUUCACCAAAAUGAAAGACAGAGACAAAGAGAGAUAUAUCUGAGGAAAAAAAAAUAAAACAAAACAAAACAAAAUUUUACCCAUUUCAUAUGCUGGGAAGGGUGGAUGGGCUGCUAGUUGGAAUACCUGCAAAUCCAAAAUCAAAAUAAAAACAAUACCUAACUGGAAAACAUAAUCAAAACCAAUUUCAAAUUAAGAAGCACAAGAAGAGUGAGUCCCUUUCCCAUGUAGAAGAUUUAGAAGUCAUGUAAAUUAGGACUCUUCAUAUGCAUGGUACUAUUGAUUGCAGUGAAGUUUCAUGUUCAGUGGGUUAGGAAGUCCUGUAAAUAGGAAAACAUACAAGCCAAAUAAAACAAUAGUUAUAGCUAACUACCAACAGUUCAAUUAUUGGGUGUUGUCUAAAGUCAAAUAUCGCAUAUUGCAAAGACAAGGCAUUAAGAAAAUCAUUCAUAAAAAGGCAAGAAACUACCUACUAAAACUUUGAAAGUAAGACGAAGAAAAUAACCAGAAGGCACGUGCCCCUUUUCUGCUCGUUCCUUCUUUGCACGCCUCUUUUCCAGAUCAACCUUACACGAGCAACAAGAAGCAGCUACAUUAUGAAAACUAUCACAGAGACCACAUCAAUAGAAUAGAAGUUAUAACUAUGGUAUGAAGGUCCCUGAAGGUUAUUCUUCAAAUAUUAAAAAUCUUGUAUCUUUACAAGAUUCAAGACUUCUUGGCCUUAAAUCAGAUGAUUGUCAUACCUUAAUGCAACAAUUGCUCCCUGUGGCAAUUCGUUCUGUUUUGGAGAAGCCUGCAAGGUAUGCAAUAACUCGUUUGUGCUUCUUCUUCAAUGCUAUAUGUGCAAAGACUGUUGAUGUUUCCAAGCUAGAUAAGUUGGAAGAAGAUGUAGUAGUUACUCUGUGUUUGCUUGAGAAGUACUUUCCCCCUUCAUUCUUUGAUAUCAUGGUUCAUCUAGUAGUACAUCUUGUCAGAGAAGUUCGUCUAUGUGGGCCAGUAUAUUUUAGGUGGAUGUAUCCGUUUGAAAGAUAUAUGAAAUUGCUGAAGGGGUAUGUUCAGAAUCGUACUCGUCCCGAAGGUUGCAUUGCUAAGCGGUAUAUAGCUGAAGAAGCGGUAGAGUUUUGUACUCAGCAUUUAUCUGAUGUUAGUACAGUUGGAGUGCCUUCAAGCCAAAAGAUGGGAGUUUCAAAGCCAUUAUCAGGUUGCACAGUGAGCGUAGUUGAUCAGGACCUGUUGAAUCAAGCACAUCUAUAUGUCUUGGAGAAUACGGAGGAAGUCCUACCUUAUAUCGAGUACGUAUGAGUUUUAUUCUUUAAGUUUCCAUUUUAAAUUAUUUCUUAUGUUUAUCUUAUAUAUUUGGGACCGUAAUGCUUGAAUUUUUCGUGUCAUGUAGGCAACAUAUGAUCCACAUCAAGACUGCUUAUCCAAAAUUUAGAAAGAGAACAAAGUGGCUGCAGGAUAAGCACAAUAGCACUUUCAUUCAAUGGCUACGCUUCAAGGUAUAUGUUGUUGAAUAAUAUAUUUCUCUUUUAAUUUUCUUUUAAUUUCUAUGUUAGAUUGAAUUAAGAUAUGAUUAAUUUGCAGGUUCAAAGUGAACUUGAGGAAGACAAUCAUGGCGUAUCAGAAAAUUUAAGGUGGCUAGCAGCUGGUCUAAACAUGGCAGUGCCAUUAUAUAGGAGCUAUCUUAUUAAAGGUAUUAAAUUCAAUAUCAAGGCACAAGAUGAUGUGCGGACAACUCAAAAUAGUGGAGUUUAUUUACUUGCACAUACCAUUCAAGUUGCUAAUGCCAAGGAUAAAAACCCAAUUCUCUCAAAUAUGGGUUUCUAUGGUGUCAUUCAAGAAAUUUGGGACCUUGACUACCAAAAGUUUACAAUCCCAGUCUUUAGGUGUGAUUGGAUAGAUAGUUCUGGUCUUGUAGUCGACGAACUUGGAUUUACCCUUGUAGAUUUGAGUAAAAUUGGACAUAGGAAUGACCAAUUUGUUUUGGCUUCUCAAGUCAAACAAAUAUUUUUUGUUGACGACCCGAUGCAUCGUGGUUGGUCGGUAGUGUUAUCAAUGCCUAAUAGAGAAUAUAAUGAUGUUAUUGGUGAUAAAGUCUUAGGUGAUGUGAUAAUUGAGUGUGAGCCAUUUACUAGAGGGAUGCCAAAUGUUGACACAUUUGAUGAACUGGUGAGUGAGUUAGGUGGUCAAAAUAUUCGAGAUGGGUGUGAAGAUAUAUGGAUUGAAUGAUGCUUAUGUAAUUGGCAGUGUAUGAUAUUAAUUUUGUAAUAUAUUGUAAUGUGAUUUCUUCACUUUCAUUAUACAGGUUUUGACCACAAAACAAUCAGUGCAAAAAAUACUGGUUCCAGAUUACAUCAUUAUAUUCUGCAUAAAAAACGACGUAUGUUCAAAUAAAACACGACGUUAUUGUGAACCAGUUAUUCAGCAUAUUUACUGACGUCUUAAAACAACGUAACAAUGAAGAACCACGACGCUAUUGUGAAGCAAUUAUUCAGGAUAUCACGUCGGGGAAGGAUUAAGAACCGCCAUGUAAUUCAAAAUAACACGACUCCAAUCCCAUAAUACCGACGUCUAAAAAACGAGAUAUAUAAUCUGAACGUUAAAAAAUACGACGUCAUCAUACAUUUUCCACGUCGCAAGUUCUUUUAUAAACGAAGAGGAACGAAAUGAAUUCCGACGGUAAUUCAUUAUAACCGUCGUCUAAUAUCAAUUAAACGACGUUAUUUGUAAUACGGCUCUCAUCAUAAUCAACGCCGUCUAUAUGUUCUGUAAUACGGCUCUCAUUUAUUUAGAACCGACUUUGUUUAGAAGUUCAACGUCGUCUAUAUUAAUAAGUGCGUCGUGAGUAAUGAAUACAUAUAAAUGCAACGUCGACUAUAUAAAUGCCACCGACGUUGUUUCGCAUUUCAACGUCAACUAUAUAAAUACAUACGUCGUAAAUAAUGACACUGACAACUAUUUCCACGUCAUCUUUUUUAGAAAAAUCGAAGUGAAAAAUUUAUUUCACGACAGUUGUUUGUAAAUAAGAGACGUAGUAGAUUUCAAUAACGUCGUCUUCUCAUGUAUUUAAAGACGUCAUAUUUUUUCUUGUCGUGAAAAUUAUAUUUAACGGCGUAGUGUUUUAGUUGUCGUCGUUGUAUGUCUAUCUUGCGGCCUUGUUCUUUUAAUAUGUGUCAUAUUUUUCCUUUUUAACAACGGUUUUUUUAGAGAGUUGGUCGUCUAUUCUCAUCCUCAACUGCUUUUUUAGAUCUUUUUGCAGUACAAAGACGUCGUUUUGUAUUUGUUGAUGACGUUGUAUAUUUUAACAACGACGGUGAUUUAGCGUCGUGGUUUAUGAGGGAAAAGAUGACGGUGGAUUCCACGACCAUUGAAAAACCGAAUACACGACGGUAAUUUACCGUCGUCUUUUUGCUUUUUUGUAGUAGUGUAGAACUAUACCUUUGUAAAGGCCUGCAACUAUCUCAGAGACCACAGCAACCUCCACCAUAUUUUUUCUACUAUGACCAUGAUUAAAAGUUUAUUUCAGUUGUUGAACCUUCACUUACAUAAACAAAAUUAAAUGCAACAGAAACAACAACACUCAAAGCAAUCAUAUAAAGCAAGAAAAUUUACCUAAGAACAGAAAUCAAAGUACACACUUUUCAAAUCCAAAUUACCUAGUCUUUGCUUUGGGGCCAGAUGAAACAAAACUCCCUACAAUACAGGCAGUGGCAGAGCUAGGAUUCUUAGUAUGGAGGGGCCAAAAUUUUUUUUUUUUUUUUUGGUGAAACAGGGGGAUAUAAAAACCCAGAAAAGGAAAAAAAAACAGCUAAACAGAACUAAUAAUACGGGUCUUAGUAACCCCUAUAGAGUCAUCCAAUAACAGAGGCCCAAGCCAAGUCGGAUUAUCCUCAAGGAAACAGCACCCCAGAUCAAUGUCGUGGCUCCAAGCAGCCAAUCUGUCAGCUACAGCGUUCUUCUCUCUGUAGAUGUGGUGAAGAAAACAUUUUGGAAUUUGGCUCAUAAGUCUCUUGCAGCUGUGAACCAAACCAGCCAUAGGAUGACAAAAAUUCAGAUCAUUACUCAGGAUAAGAUUAACGGCAUUGACAGAAUCCAUUUCAACAACAAUAUCCAUUAUUCCUCUUGUGGUAGCUAAUUUUAGACCAAAAAAUAAACCCCACAGCUCAGCUUCAAGGAUUUGUCCUUUCCCCAGGUUGACAGCGAAACCACCAAUCCAGUUACCCAGGUGAUCUCUGAGGGGCCAAAAUUUCAAAAUCACUUCCACAUAAUUUUUUCAUCUUCAACUGGGAGGGCCAUCACUAAUCUAAUUGCAUUAAUUAUAUUGCUAUAUCAUAUAUUUUAUAAUAUAUUAUAAGAGAUUAAAAAUUAAAUAAGGGGGCCAAGGCCAUGGCAUGCCUUGCUAUGGCUCCGCCCCUGAAUACAGGCGAAAGAUUAAUGGUAUUUCAGUGGAAAGAACUGAGGAAUAAAAAUUUCCUACAAUACAAAAGCAAAUAUGAUAAAAUAGCACUGCAAUCAUUGUCGAACUUUCAAUUUGGCAAAUACUAGUUUAGAACAUAACUCCAUGGCCUGAAGCAGCUUAGAAGCUUUUUCAAUCAGAACCAUAAUUAAAGUUUUUUGAAAAUUUAGUAACAUGCCAACUAAAAGCAUAAAAAUGAAAUAUAUAUAAUUUAAAAAACCAAGAACUAGCAGUGGUUAUAAAUCUGGAGGGAUGUGCGAUGAAGAUUAACCAAGAAGAAGCAGUUGCUAUAAAUCUACACAUCAACUAAUGGAUAGCAGAGAAACAGAAAUUUUUUUUAAAAAUUCAACCCAAAUCAGAAUCAUAAUGCCUACCCACCAACAAAUUAAACCAGAAAAUUAUUACCUGAAAGAGAAACCAGAAACCAGAAACUGAACACACUAAGGAACUGAACCCAAUAUAUAUAUAUAUAUAUAUAUAAUUUAAGUCAUAACUUGUCAAGGCAGUUAUAUAACGAGGAAAAAAAAAAGCUUUGAAGACCAAUACAUUCCAAUCAAUGAGCUCCAAACUUAUCAAUAUUCAAAGAUUAACAAAUCAAAUAAAUUAGACCCACCAAAAAUCUAGAAUAAAAAACUAUCAAUCCAUCACAGUCUCAACCACUGACAGCCUUAAUUUAACAGAAAAAAUCAUCUACCUCAACCCCCAAUUCAAUUCAGAAGCCCUAAUUUGACAAGCCUAAUUUAACAGAAAAAACCCUAUAUUCAAAGGAAGAGUGCUUGCUAAACCCAAUGCAGGUGUCGCGCAAUAGUAAAUCUCGUAAGUCGAGUAUCGUAUCUACAGAAAACGUUAAAGUGCACAAAAUACGUAAGAUAACUGCAACAAAAAGAAUACGAUUAAACGAUUAAAAGAAAGUUCAAUAAUAAUAAAAUACUAAGACGUCGGGGUUCCACCUUCAAAAUACAUAUGCAAUCCCAUUAGUUUGAUUCUCACUAUGAUUGUUCACAAUUAAAACCCAAUUUAAUUUCGUUUAGAGAGAAUUUCAAGCAUAACCUGUAGGCUGUACCUACAGCAACAACCUAUCAAGAAAUAAUUUCAAUGAAAUCAAAGCAAUCUACUAAUUUUUCUCAAAUCUCGAAAGCAUUGAUGUUUUUAGUAAACUGUAGGAAAAGCAUGACUGAACCUAUGAAUAAGAUUAUCAAGCACCCAUCAAUCGAUCAAAGAGAAAAACUAAAAUUAAAUUGAACAAAUCCAUAAAUAAGAAUUUAACAUUGAAUCUCCAUUCGAAUCAAACUAAUGAAACCACAUAGUAUCUCGAAGGCUUUCCCCCUAGCCUUAGCUAGGGAGUUAGUUCUCCAUAACAAAGAAAAAAAAAGUGUUUUGUGCCAAAAAGCAGAAUCCUUGAGAUAGAGCGAGUAGCACCCUUUUACAUCAGUCACACCCUAACCACUUAGGAUUUAUUUUCCUCCUUGAAUUUAACUUCUCCAUAGUGAAUUUCCCUUUCUAUUCUCCUAUGCAUGCACGUCAGCUUCCUCUUUUGAUAAGUCAUUGAUCUCUUACUUAGCACGUGAUGAGUCUCCAACCAAUUGGCUUAGUUUUCUCUUUUACUUCAUCUCUUUUGCACUCCAGCAAGCUGCCUACAUAAUUCCAAUAUUAUUUGCCUACAUAAAAUUGGCCAAAAUCAAUGCAAAAUAAUAUUAAACUUUAUUUGAAAAAUUAAAAAUAUAGUAGACCAAAAUGAAUAAAGUAGUAAAUAAAUAAGCUCUAAGGGUAUAUUUUAGGGACAUAAACGAUGCACUUUUCAGCUAUUAUCAAAGAGGAUGCUUAGCUUAAACUGAUAUGAGAGAGGAAUCGAGGAAAGGAUAUGACGCUGCCGAUGCUGUCUCGUCGACUUCGUCACAGAAGGAGGAGCGCAUGUGGAAGGAAUCAAAAUCAAAUAGAGACUGAGAAAAGAGGAGGCGGAGCGGCUCUGUUCAAAAAGCGAUGUAAGGAGAUAGAAGAAUGAGAAUAAGCAGACUGACUUACCUCAGAGGAGAGGAGAUGUGGUCGUUGGCACUGUCUCAUUGUCACAGAAGGAGGAAAGGAGCAGCUGUGGAAGGAAUCGAACUCGGAGGAAAAGAAAAAUGAGAGGAGUGGCUGUUAAAUGUCUUUGACUGAAGGAGAGAGCAGUUGGUUUUGCUUUACCUACAGCAACAAGUUAACUGGUAACUAACAAUGAACGGUGUGGAUUACUUCACAUGCCCCAACUACUCAUCCAAUGAUCAUAAUAAGUGGCACAUCCGUACACCAGGCGCACUGUAGAAUUUUCCAAUAUGACUUUUGGAGGUAGACUAUAUUUUUAUUAUAUUAUGUGUAACUUGGAGUGUUGGGCAUGCAUAUCAGUUCAUGCAUGUGUGUUUAAUAAAGGGAUGGCUUGAAUUCUUUUUUAGAAAGUUAGUCUUGGUGUGCAAACAAAGUGGAUGGUGAAGAAACCUGACAUCAGACAUGACAAGGUGAGAUGAGCUUGUAUUUGGUAGAAAGUAGAAACAGAGAAAAUGAUGACAAGGUGAUUAUAAUAUUGUUAAGGAUGCUUAUGACUAAUAAUAGAUUAAUGGGCAAUUAGUCUAACAUGCAUGAGGUUAUUUUCAUCCAUUAAAACUGAACCCGUGACAUGGUAUUUUGCCCCUACGUUGCUAGAAUUCAAAGUGUCGAUUAUAUGGAAACAUGUAUGCGCAUGUGAGCUGUGAGAGGCUAGUCAACUGGCGAUACCAGUCAGUAACCAGCCUCUCACAGUUAGGACGCACUUGGAAUGUUUUGCAUAUAAAAAGCAUUUCUUUUCUAAUAAAAAUAGAUCCAGGAACUAUACACAGCAACUUUGUUUUCGGAAUUUCUAACAAAGCAUUUCCUUCCUACCUUUGUUCCGUCCUUUCCCAUAGGUUAUUAGAGGCCUUGUCAUAGACAAAGAGAAAGGCAACUUAGUGAAGGCUGAUCAAUUUUGUUAUAUAAAAGGGCUACGCAUGGCACGAAGAUGCUAUCUAAUGGAGCUGUAAGGUACACUAUGAAGCUUUCAUUUUGGUUAGUAUCAUAGUGCAAAUACAAAGCAGGCAUUCAGUGUGCUGUUAAAACGUUAACAAUAAGAACUUCCUAUGAAAGUUCCUAUUAUCAGAUUUAUUACUCUGGUAUUAUAACUUUGUGUAUGUGGCGCUUAGGUUCUUCCAACAUGGCAUGAAGAUGCUAUCUAAUUGUUUGAUUCGGUCCGCCAUGGAUGAAUUGAAUUAAAAUCUAACUGAAGACUGAAUUUGAAUUCGAAUACAAAUUGAAGUUGGAUUGGGAAGAUGGAAUUGGGGAUUUUAUUAAAAAGGACCAUUAGCCAGCUCACUGGAUGACAUUUCCUUAUGCACAUUUACUUAUCAUUUUCUGAGGAGAUGAGGCCUCUCCUCAAUAUUUAAAGACGUAAAACACAUGAAAUUGAAUGAGCCCUUCAAGUGGAGCUUACAAGAACGAAGGAUAAUAAAAAAAAUGAUCUAUUCCUAUAGGUAAUUUACCUCUCUGAAUAAAAUUACAUUACAUACUUUCUUUUUCUUUGGAUAAAAAGAAUAUAAAAGCUAUCUAAGAUGAGGCACUUGCAUGCAAUGCUACCAAAGAAGCAUAAAUGCCAUCCUUGAUACCGAUCAAUGUUUCAUGCUUUCCUUUCUCUGCAAUGACUCCAUUUUUCACCACUGCGAUUACAUCCGCACUCUUUAUUGUGGAUAACCGAUGGGCAACCACGAUUGUUGUUCGAUCCACCAUGAUUCGGUCCAAUGCAUCUUGAACCACUCGUUCCGAUUCAGCAUCAAGAGCACUUGUGGCUUCAUCUAGUAGUAGUAUCUUUGGUGCCUUCAUUAUAGCUCGUGCAAUUGCCACCCUUUGCUUCUGUCCACCGGACAAUUGAAUCCCCCGCUCUCCUACUAUUGUAUCAUAACCCUGCAUUGUUUUUUCCAAACUUCACAUGGUUAAUCUUCAACGUUCCAAAUAAAAUUUUGUGAAUUUUCAUCAACUAGUCCUUCUCAUUUAUGCAGCACCAUGGCAAUAGAUUAUAUUAUAGUAUUUGUGGCCAAAAGAAAUUGACAAGCUUGUUAAUUUUGUAGUGCCUACCUGUUGUAAACUACAGAUGAACUUGUGAGCAUUUGCCAAUUCUGCAGCAGCUAUAAUUUCAGCCUCUGUUGCAUUCCCUUCCUUUCCAUAUGCAAUGUUGGCUCUGAUAGUAUCAUUAAACAAUGCCGGCUCCUGGCUCACCAGUCCCAUUUGCUGUCUCAACCACUUGAGCUGUAGCUUCUGGAUUUCAACUCCAUCUAAUGUAAUGUGACCCGAAUCAGGGUCAUAAAAUCUCUGCAACAGUGAGACGACUGUCGAUUUCCCACUUCCACUUUCUCCAACCAAAGCAACUGUCUGAAUAACAUAAUACAAAUUUGUAAAUCCCAGAAACUUGAAUUAGACUACGAGGUUCAAAUUUUAUGCUUUUUUUGAAAUGAAUAAAAGAACAAAACAUGUUACUAAGUUACCUUGCCAUGACGAAUGGUCAAGCAAAGAUCCUGGAACACUGGAACGUCAGGUCUAGUUGGAUACUUGAAACUGACAUGGCGAAGUUCAAUUUCUCCCUUCACAUUUUCUAUAGUUGUUCCAGAUUCAUCACUAGAGUCUAUUUUUGAUUUCCGGUCAAGAAUGGCAAAUAUGGAAGCAGCAGAGCUCUUUACUUUACCAAGAUUAGGGGCUAGGGAACCCGACUGAGAUACUCCAACAGCUGUCAUCGUGAGAGCAAAGAAAACCUGCAAACCAGGGAAACAAAAUGUUAACAAUGGACUGAAUGGACUAAUGAAGAUUUAAUUCUCAGGUAACAUGUACUUAGCAGAGUUCGGAUCCUCUGCUAAUGUUUUCUCAUCUAUUUACUUACUUGAAGACUUGUAACGCAAGGCAGAAAAACUUACCCGGAAAACAUCAGAGAAUGUUGUCUUGCCUGCUGCAACAAGUCGGGCUCCAGCAUAAAAACUGCAGGCAUACACAGAAAAAAGAAAAAAGAACGAUAGCCCAAAACCUAUCCCGCUGAUUAACCCUCGUCUUAUCCCUGUCUUAAUAGGGCCUUCACAUUUCUUCUGGUACAAUUCAAUCACCUUCUCUUCAGCACAAAAGGAAGCAAUUGUUCGAAUACUCCCCACUGCAUCAUUGGCUACUUGACUUGCGUCCUCGUACAUUUUCUGCAACAAUUUAAAAUUUUUAGCAUUGACAAAAAGGAUUGGUAUUAUAUAUAUUCUGUAUGUCGUGUUGGAUGGUGUUUUGGCUGCACCAGCUACAAGUUCUAUACUAUAAACUUUUGUAAAGUUUGGACUUUGGAGAAAUACCUUUGCAUCUGCACUGAAUCCUUUCAAGAACUUGACUUGAACAUAACCAUUUAAUCCUAAUAAAGGCAGCAAAACCAGGAUUAUAAGAGCAAGUUGCCAAUUUGCCACAAAAGCAAUACACAAACCAGCAAUUGCAGUUGCUGAAUUCUCAACCAGCAAACCUAGAGCAUCUCCAACCAAUGCACGAAGAGAAGCUGCAUCUGCAGAAAGCCUUGCACCAAUUGCACCACUUGAGUGCUCAGGAUCGUCAAACCAACUUACUUCCAUGUAAACCACCUUCUCAUAGCACAUUGACCGAACUCGUUUUAUCAACUUACACCCCGCCACAGCAAAAAAGUAUUGUCUUGCUGGCAGUGCUAUGAAAGUUACCACUCCAAGAACAAUGAAGAUUAAUGCCCAAAACUUCGAAUCCUUACGGAGUUGAGGAGGUGGCUCAUAGAAGGUCUUGAUUACACUGGAUAUCAAUAUUCCAAAAAUCGGUAAGAUUGCCCCAUUGACUGCUGCAGCUAUAGUACCUAGCAAUAAUACUGGAAUCUCUGGCUUGUUCAGGUAAGCCAGGCGGCGAAGUGAGACUUCUGGAGGCACUCCUGAUGAUGCUGAAGCAGGAAUAUCACAUCCUGCAGAUGUUGUUUCAAGAGAACUGACUGCAGUCGGCACACCGUAUGAGAUUGAGAAGGAAUGACGGUUACUGUUUCCUCUUCCAGAUGAUCCCCGGCUUACGGAUCGUAAGUUUGAAAAUCUUUGACUUGAAUGUCUUCGAGAAUCCACGCUGCUAAGCCUUUCGUGAUCAUUUACAACAGUCUGUUCUGACACGCUGCUCAUUUCUUGCAACCUUAUAAGCUGGCUAUAAGCUCCUUCAGGGUCCUUAAUUAGCUCAGAAUGUGGACCUGCUCAGUUGAAAACGAUCAGUAUGUGCAAUACCCAUGGAAUAAGAACAAGAUGAAUUGUAACAUUAUGUUGAACUAUAGACAAUACGAUUUGGCCUUCAAAUGGUAGAACAGGACAACAUAAACAAAUGUAUUACCUUUUUCAACAAUUGUUCCUCGAUGUAUAACAGCAAUCGUGUCAGCAUUCCUUACUGUGCUCAAGCGGUGGGCUACAACGACAGUAGUCCGGUUGAUCAUAAUUCUGUCCAGUGCCUCCUGCACAAUUCUCUCAGAUUCUGCAUCAAGAGCACUCGUGGCUUCAUCUAAAAGUAGAAUUCUUGGGUCUUUGAGAAUUGCUCUAGCUAUAGCAACUCUCUGCUUUUGGCCCCCAGAUAGCUGAGUUCCAUGCUCACCAACCAUUGUGUCCAGUCCCUAAAUGCAUGAAUCACAAAACCACAAAUAAGAAAAAAGGAAUUGAAUGAGUUGAUCGAAAUCAUCCGAGUUAUUUGAAAACUCAUGUGACCUAUCUAUAUUUCCAUCUUCGAAUGUAACAAAAUGGUAAGAUUCCAUGGUUGUGGAAAUUACGAAUUCACGCAAAACGUUCAGAGAACAAAAUACCAGUACUUAGAGGAAAGUUUAAAUGAAUUUAACCUGAGGCAGUUUGUCUAUGAAUUUAGCAGCAUUGGCAAGUUCAGCAGCAGCCCUUAUUUCUUCAGUGGUUGCACCAUCCUUUCCAUAGGCAAUAUUAUCUUUAAUGCUACAAGUAAAUAAAACGGGUUCCUGGCUGACAAGGCCUAUUUUCUGUCUGAUCCAUUUCAGUUGGAACUCUUUGAGAUUAAUGCCAUCAAUAAGAACUUCGCCAGCUAGGGGGUCAUAAAAUCUCUCAAUCAAACUGAUUACAGUUGAUUUACCACUUCCACUCUCUCCAACCAAAGCAGCAGUUGCACCACUAGGUAUUGAGAGAGAAAAUCCAUGGAAUAUUUGUUCAUCCGGUCUUGCAGGAUAACUAAAAUGAACAUCCCUUAGUUCUAUGUCUCCACGGAUAUCAUGCAAUUGUUGCCCAUUAGUGUCAGAAGCAUCAAUCUCUGGCUUUCUGUCAAUUGUCUCAAACAUCUUAUAAGCUGCAGCUUGUCCAGCAGAAAAUGCACUCAAGCAUGGAGAUGCCUGCCCAAGAGACCUGAAAAUUUAUCAUAGAAAGCAGAAAAGUUAUAUCUUGAUCUUCUGAAAAAUCACAUAUCAAAUUUUGGACUGAAAGGGGGAGGGGGAGUCGUCAGUAGAUCACGCAAAAAUGCGAAUCAACAAAUUUGGUCAUUAAAUUUUACUGAAAUGCAACUUACAUGGAGCCAGUCAACACAGCGAAAACUACAUUGAUGACUUCCCCUCCUGUAUAUCCUUUUUCAAGUAUCAUCUUUCCUCCAAACCAUAUAGCCAGAGCAUAACUACACAUUAUAAUCAGCAUAACCGAACCAAUUCCGAACCCAGAUGCCAAACCCUCUUGCACACCAGAGUUGUAAGCUUUAAUUAAGGAGUUGUUGUAAUUAGCUAUAGCUUGCUUUUCUCCUGUAAACGAUGCAACCUGAAUUGGGAACACCGAUCAGUUUUAGUUCUACGCAAAGAAAAUAAUAAAUAAUAAAUUUUUGUUUUAAAGACAAGUAGGCUUACUGUUCUGAUUGAACCAAUUGUCUGCUCUACCACAGUUGCCGCCACUGAAUAAGCAGUUUGUCCACUGGAUGCCAUCUUUGAUAUAAGGAUGCCCAUGAUGGCACCAGAGAGGACAAGAAGGGGGAUAGAAGAUAGCAUGACAAGGGUGAGAAGCCAUCCCUUAAUAAAUGCUAUAACAAAGCCUCCUACGAAUGUUGCAAUUAACUGGAUAAAACUUCCUACCUGAAAUAAGAAAAUGAAAGAAAUGAGAGGUUAUUGAAGCAAAUGGUAAUAACUAAAAAAGGCUUUGGUGUGGCUUGUAAAUACCUUCUCGCCCAUGGCCUCUUGAAUGAGCACAGUAUCACCUGACAUCCUCCCAACAAUUUCCCCAGUGUUAAUUUCUUUAUCAAAAAAGCCAACAUCUUGCCUCAAUAUUGUUUUCAAGUAUAAACUUCUUAUUCGAGAAGCCUGUCUCUCUCCAGUGACCAUCCAGCAAGACAUCUCUGGCAUAUAGAAAAAGCUAAUCACCUCAGUUCCCAAAAAGCCAAAUUAUUUGUUUGAUGCACCAGCAGGCAGUUCAGUGUACUUACGUAGAAAUGCCGCUGCAGCAGCUCCCACCGCCAAGUAGACAAACUUUAGAGCCACCUGAGAAUAUUGAAUUGGCCAAAUUAUAUCUGAUUAAGCCUUGUUCAUUACAAUUUCAUUACUAAGAGGAACCAGAGAACCAAAAUAGAUGUUAAGACAGAAGUAAGCUCAGUCAUUGAAGUUCUGAUAGAACUGGAUACAACAAUGUUUUGAGUAGAAUUUUGUUCUUUACUAUUGCUGCUAUUGCCUAGUUGACUUAAUUUCUAUGAAGAUGUUACAUGUACCCAACACGAUUGUACGAGGUCACAAUUCACCCAACACAAUUAACAGAGAUAACUAUCUACCAGUUUAUAGUCACAGAAUAUUUACCUUGGAAACUGCAUCAACCACGUCUUUAUUAUUCCCACUUUGUCCAAAGGAGUUAAUCACAUCUCCAAAGAUUAUGGUCAUUAGAGGCAAAGAGGUCCCAUUUCCAAUAGCACUGAUUGUACCAACGGACAUUAACAGGAAAUCCAAGGAAUCAGCAAAGGAGAAAAGCUUGUAAUAUGGUACUGUUUUGGUGCCAUCCUCCUUGCUCUUGCUUGUAUCUUGUGGGCUGUUUUGGGAGUCCUCCACUACUGCUGAGUGGCCGUUCGAUGCUGCCGUUCCCUGCUCUUUGAUUACAUUUCCAUCCGCAGGAUUUUCCUCAGCCAUGUUUUUCACAGCAAUAGUAAAGCUGCUAUAUUUGACAACAAGCACCUCAGAGAAGUAAGUUGCUACUUUAUCUGACAGAGAACUUGAUCAGAGCUGCAAGACAAAACAUUUAUGGUUUGGAUUAGGAACCAUAAUUUUUGUUUUUUUGGGGAACUAAAUUGACUAUAUAAACCAAGGAAAAUUUGCCAACUGAUUCUAAUUGAAUAUGGAAUUGAUUAUUCAGCCAAAAUUAAAAAAUCCAUUUGUUCCUAUAUUCUUAUUUUUGUGCGUGUGAGCAUUAGAAAACCCGUUACUGAAGCAAGUGGUACAGAAUAUGUACAUGUUGAUUCCAGAAGAUGAAAAUAGAAAAUAAGGGUUAAGAACACAGACAGGAAAAGGAAACAGAGGAAAAAGAACAAGUAAUAACAAAAAUACUAUACUCAAACCAAACAUUAAGAAGCCUCACACAGCAGGCAUGAAAUGCAGGUCGUGGGAAUGCUGAGAACAAAACCUCACAAACACAAUUUGAAACCAACUAAAACGAAACUAGGAAUCAAACGAAGGAGAAAAGAGAAAGAAACCAAGUGGGCAGCUAAUGCAUGCUCUAAAGGUGAGAAAUUUAAAUAGAAGAGACAUAACCACAAAAAGCUGAGAUACAACUUCAAAAAGUGUUGCAGGAAACAUUAAUAUCACCAAAAGAUGAAGAUACUCACUGAGGGGGAAAGAAGUUUACAAACUUUCAGGAAAUGGGUUGAUGAAAUUGUUGUACUUCCCCCCGAAAGCGUUGCUUUAUAAGGCAGCACAUCAGCCUACAGCCUACCAACUAGAAAGAUAGUGUAGAUACAAGACUAGUCAAACGUUCAAACUAUCCAGACUUAUAAAACAAAAUUGAAAGACGUAAAAUUCUGGUCCUCUGCUCCUCUCCGUGGUGGCUUUGCUUAGGCAGGAAAUCAAAUGGGUUGCUUUGACAUUAAGUUAAAGUUGAAUUUGCAAGGCAACCGUGGUUUGGAGUAUUUACUCUUUCAUGCAAGCUUUUGAGUCCUAGCAUCCGUGUAGUGUAUGUGAGUUUAAUAUACUAUCGUCCCUUUCAAUAGGAAAUGUGCUCAAAAAGUUAAAGUUGAAUUUGUCAGCUCAGAUACUAUGCUUUGCUGCUUGCAAUGCAAAUCGGCCGUCUUUCUUUUGCAAUUAAAGUUAAAUAUUGUUUUCAAAGUUAGGAAGGCGACAUGGUUUUCUUACAAACGCUGCCAAUGUAUCAUGAGAAUUCAAAAUUGAAACCACUAAUAUGCAAGUCAAGGCAAUUUUCCACUGAAUUAGACCCCUUCAUCACCUACCCUACCAUCAUAUUGCUUUGAAUUUAUAAAAUUAAAUAAAUAAAUAAAAGGUACUGCAAAAACUCGUGACCAGUGGAAAGAAAUCAUUUUGGAGACAUAACAAGACGCGUGACACAUUGACUAGCAUAUUCUAUAUAUCAAUCUCUAGUUGUUUGACACACAAAAUCUAGUUGUUUGUCCUUCUUUUGUAAUUAUUUAACUUGUAUGAUAUGUAAGCAGAUCACAACGUUAGGUAGAAGGUACCCAUCCAUUAUGCUUUGCCCUUUAGAUUAAUCAGGGUCGACAGUCUAUCUACAUAACAGAAUGAGUAAAAUAAGAAGCUGGGAUUGGAAUUAUGUUCAUAAUUUGGACAAUUAAUUAAGUUGUAUUUUGUCAAGAGGAUAUAUGAAUCUAUGAUUAGAAUACAUUAAAAUGAAAACAAGGAAUGGUAGCAAAACAAAAACUACUAUGGCAUGGGAUGGAAGUGUUUGUAUGUUAUCGUUGAAGAAAAAUGCUGAAACUAAAUAUAUAGAUAAUUCGGCUGUGAUAUUAUAUUAGAAUAUGAACAUCAAACUCAAAAUUAUUAAACUAUUAAAUUAUGAAUCCAAGAUUUCCAUUUCCAAAGUAGAAUAAUUAAUCUUAACAUGAGAGUGAAGUGAGCAUAUGUGGUUUGAUUCCUUCCCCUUUUUCUUUUUUCUUUUCAAAAAAUUAAAAGUAAGAGUGAUGCGCAAGUUUGUGCAAUAGAAAGAACAAUUCGAGCACUGCAAUUUGGGUGGUCCAAUAUGACUUUUGGAGGUUGACUGUAUUUUUAUUAUAUUAUGCGUAACUUGGAGUGUUGGGCAUGCAUAUCCGACAUGAGACAUGACAAGUCAAUCCUCUCGACUGCCAUUCUUUUUGUGUUUUUGUUGUGUUAAAAUAUGCAAUUGUCAUUGACUUAUUAUGGAUAGAAUUGGUAUGCAAUUUGAAAAUUGUAUUUUAAAUUUUAAAAUUUUGAGAAUUUGUGGGUUGUUAAAAAAAAUUGAAAAAAUAUUUUUUUUUUGUUUUUAAUAAUUGGGGUGUUUUUUUGGUUGUUCUUGAGUUCGAGUUUUUAAAAAUAGGGCUAUCAAACAAGUUUUCUUUAUUUUGGAUUCAAAUUUUGUUUUUGAAUUGAAAAAGUUGAAUUCAAGUUGAAUAUCAAACAAGUCAUAAUCCUUGUGUUUUUUUUUUCUUUCCUCCCAAGGAACAAAUGGACUUAUCUUGAAAUCCCCAAAAAGGUGAGUGUCAGUUGCAAGAUACACGAAACAGAAAUUAUCUUUGUAGACGUCCAUGUUGACCAAAGGAUGUUUAUUCAAAUUUUGUUACUUAGAAAAUACCUGGAAAUAGCAAGAAAAGUAAGGGGAGUUUCAAAUUAAAGUAAGCUUUUGUAGACCCGUGUUGGUUAUAGAUUUUGGUUCUUUGCUUUACUAGAUUCUUGAGGGAGUUUCAAAUUAAAGUAAGCUUAAUGAAUCAUUGUUGGGACAGUAUAUUGAAAAUUGUUAACUAACUUUGUUGAAUAAUCACCUCUUAGAGAAUAUUUUUUUUUAUGGGUGGUGAUUUUCUCACUCCCUUUUUAUCCACCUACAUUCCCUUUUGUUUUUUUAAUACGUUUUAUUACAAGAUAAAAGGGAGUGUAAGUGAAUAAAAGAGGAGUGAGAACAUACAAUUUUAAAAAAAAUAAAAUGUAAGUGGAUAAAAGGGGAGUGGAAAAAUCAAUACCUUUUUUUAUUAUAAAUAACUUAAUUUUGAUGGAUUGGUAAACAUGACUGUGUCCUAGAGCUGCAGUCUUUUGUGAUUACUGACUCUAAUGAUAAUCAAGCAACAAUUAGUCACAGAAGUUUGAGUUUUCAAGGAGGGGGUUGGUUUGUGUUGAAGAAGAUUCAAAUUGAAGCAAUUCCAAAUUGGUAAGUGCAGGACGAGUUGAAUUUAAUUACAAAAUAUUCAAUUAAGUUAUUUAUUUAUUUUUUAUACAAGUGAUAUUAGAGAAGGAAAAUCGAACUUACGAACUCCAAUACCACUUGAGUUACGAGCACUUACAAAUUUGAUUAAGGUUGAGUUUAAAUAUUUGUGAUGGGCCACAAGUGAAUUGAGCAAGAUAUGUGAUGGGCCAAAUAAGAAGAAAAGGAAGAUAUGUGAUGGGCCUAAUAUUCAUUGGCACAGAAGGCCUCAUUUAUGGUUACAUAACGUGAGCAUGGGCUAUUCAUUGGCCAUUGAUUUACUUCCGGUCCAUUUGAAAACAGGUAAUCUGAUAAAAUCAUAAGAGUGUUGUUAUUUUCACCCACUAUUUUACUUUCUUCACUCACCUUAUGUUUUCACAUUCCACUCAAUUUUUACCCACAAUCAUUCCUAAAAUGCUCCCAAUAUUUUGAUCAAAUUGACAUUUAGUCUCAUAGUCCAAUCCAUUUGAAAAUGGGCAAUUUGAUGAAAUCAUAAGUGCCUUUAUUUCCACGCGAUGUAUAACGAAACUAUUACACCGCUGAAUUUUCUCACUAAUAUGUCGGGAUGGCAACGGACCGGUUCAAAGAUUGGUAUCACAAUACCAUACCCGUCCCCACUCCCCAUCCCCGCACCUGUCCCUGCCCUAAUCCCUGAUAAGAAAUUUCGGGGAAUCCCCGUCCCCAUCCCCAUCGAGGGGUUGUCUCCCAAACCUGCCCCGAAUUCACGGUUUUUAUUUAUAAAAAUAUACUACACUCAAUUUUGACCAAAAAAUAAACUCAAUUAUAUUCAAUUAAACCAUAAAAAUUCAACUUAACUAUUUAAAAUCAUCUAAACAAUUUGACAAACUAAUAGAAAUCAUAUAUUCCACAAUCAAAACUAAAUAUUUUGUCGCAAAAUUCUUAUUUUACUGCUAAAACUAACAACAACAAAACACAUUAAAAACCUACAAAAAUAAAAGAUCAAAUAAAUUUAAAAAAAAAACAUGGCAGCACUAUAGCACCAGCACCGUAACUUCAUUAGACAAUAUAGAAUGGAAGGAGGUUCUAAUAACAAAUCAGGGAGAACACAUAAACAAACAAUUUCCAUAUGUUUCUUGGUCAACCAAGAGCAUCAUGAAUUGUUUCCUAUUGGUUUAUUGAAAUAUAUAUUAUAUAUUCAUUAAUUAAAAAUAUAUAUAUCACUAAUCAGGCAGGGUUCAAGGAUGGAGAUAACGAUACCAUCCCGGUCUAUCUUCAACUGUGAAUUUUUAAAAUUCAGGGAUCCCCUUACCCGCCCCCGAUUUUUCCCGACAUCUUCCCCUAUUAUAGUCAUAGUUAUUAUAGAAUUUUAUAAAAGCUCACUCAUUUUUUGAUACAAGUAAAAUUAAAGACGGAGAAAUAAAAUAUGAAACCUUAGAUACAGGAAUAACGAAAGCUCAUUCAUUUUAGAUAUACGGCAACAUAACAUAAAUAAUUUUUUGAAAAUGUAGACAUUUUUGCAUAAUUUUAGUAAGGUUAAGAAAGUUAUGGUUAAAUCUAAGAAAAAAAAGUUGACCCGAGAUCAAUUUGUCCCAAAAUAUUGGGAAAAUGUACCAAAUGCCGAAAGGCCUUUUUUAGAUCGUUUACUGUCCAAAACAAAACCGAAAAGCGCUUGACCUUAUCAUCAUCACCAUGGUUGAUAGACCAAACUCCAAAGAGAGCAGCAGUCACAGCAGCUGAGCGACAAACCAAUCAAUCUCAUCCACGAAAACAGAAAAGCAAACCUUCACUUUCAGUAGUGCCUUUCCUGCAGUUGAAUGAGACUGAACCAAAAACUCUCCUCAGAUAUUUUGAGACUCCACUCUUCUUCUUCUACUUCUGCUUCUUCUCUCGCGCUCUGCAAACACCCAACAUUCAGCUUCAAAGAGGGGGGAGGAGAGAGAGAGAGAGAUAGAGAUGUAUACAACUGAGGCAUUGGGGAAUUUCUCAGUGUUUAGAGAGACUUCCGUUUCAAUGGCGGCCACCAACUAUCUCAGAAGUCCUGUUCGAAUCCGACCCAUGUCCCGUAGCAUUCUUAGUAGCAAGAAUUUACUCUGGAAUUAUGGAAUGAAGUGCCAGUGCAGCAGCAGCACCAGCAGUAGCAGUAGCGGCGUUGAUGAGAAGUCAGUGUUUUCACUCACCUCGUCAAGCAAGUACGAAGUUGAUUAUUUGGGAGAAAAAACCAAGGGGGAUUUGAAUGUCAAGGUGGAGCAUCUUGAGGCCUUUGGUAACUUUCUUUCCUCUCCUGUGCUCUAUUUCGUUCUUUCAGUUUUGAAACUACAACCAUAUAUAUGUGUGUGUGUGUAAAGUUUUGUUCUUUUCAAUGAACCCAUAUGUAGGAAUUGAUAGUCAAGCAACUUUAAAAGGUCCAAUUGAGGAAGUGGCCAGGGUUGAGGCUGAAGAAGCUGAAGACUUGCUCAGGGACUUGGGUAUCCCGGUGCUGUUUUUUAAUUCCUUUUCCUGCAUACAUUUGGUCCUAUAUAUGCAUUACCUUAUCUCUUUGCUUUCUUAUCUUUUUCUUUAAUAUAUGGUUCUCUUGAAUCUUGAACCAAUGGAUAUCCCUCUUAUCAUUUGCUUAUGGUACUACCAUGUUCAAUAUUUAUGUGCAGACUCCUUUUUCUUCAAGACAAUCACCUCGCGGCAUUUUUUGUAGCCGCACAUUAAAUCUUCGAUCAAUCAGUGCCAUUGGAUAUGAUAUGGACUACACCUUGAUGCAUUAUAAUGUGAUUGUAAGUGUCAUCAGCUUAAAAUAUGCUCUUAUUCUCAGCAUUAGUUGGCGCGUCAGCUUUGAUGCAACAUCAAGAUCAUAUAGUUUUGCAUGUGCAAUUGACUAGUGUUGCAACCUCAAUGCAUUAGUAACCGUUACUAUUCUGGCUAUUGUGUGACAUGGAUUUGUAUUUUUCAGGCUUGGGAAGGGAGAGCUUAUGAUUACUGUAUGGAGAAUUUGAAGAAAGUGGGUUUCCCUGUUGAUGGUCUUGCGUUUGACCCUGACUUGGUAACAUCUAUAAGCAAGUUAAAAGGUUUUUGAGUAUUUACAUUUAAGCAAGUCUUGAGAUCUAAUUUUCGUUUUUCCUUCCUACCUUUGUUCCAUCCUUUCCCAUAGGUUAUUAGAGGCCUUGUCAUAGACAAAGAGAAAGGCAACUUAGUGAAGGCUGAUCGAUUUGGUUAUGUAAAGAGGGCUAUGCAUGGCACGAAGAUGCUAUCUAAUCGAGCUGUAAGGUACACUAUGAAGCUUUUUUUUUAUUAGUCUCAUAGUGCAAAUGCAAAGCAGGCAUUCAGUGUGCUGUUAAAACAUUAGCAAUAAGACUUCCUAUGAAAGUUCCUAUUAUCAGAUUUAUUACUCUGGUCUUCCCUUGUAUUAUAACUUUGUGUAUGUGGCGCUUAAGUUCUUCCAACAUUUUGCACUUUAGCAUAUCAUUUUUGGGAAAAGAUGGAAUCAUAUAUUCUAGUGUGACUUAACUUUUUACUCAUUGAAGUGAGAUGUAUGGGAGGGAACUGGUGGACCUCCGGAAGGAAAGUCGAUGGGAAUUUCUUAAUACACUGUUCUCCGUCUCAGAAGCUGUCGCUUAUAUGCAGGUACUGUUUUGUCUUAGCUAGAGCACUGUUUUAACCUCAGACUCCUUUUAUUGCUAUUAUUUUUGUGGAUUUAGUUUAUUCGUAUGCGGACAUUGACUCAUGAUUCUUUUCAGAUGGUUGACAGAUUGGAUGAUGGAACCAUAGCAGCACAACUUGGUCCACUUGAUUAUAAAGGGCUCUAUAAGGCAAUAUGUUGUGCCUCAAUUUUAUAGAGCCUGGUAUUGGUUUUUUCUUGCUCCUUUUUAACUAUUGACAUGAUUUCAGGCUGUUGGAAGAGCCCUCUUCAGGGCACAUGUAGAGGGUCAACUAAAGGUUAAUAUAUUUAUGAUUUGUGUAUCAGAUAUGUAAGAAUUGGUUCAUGAGCAGGAACUGAUUGUGGUAUAUAUGCAGAGUGAGAUAAUGUCUAAGCCUGAACUAUUUGUGACACCUGAUCCAGAAUUACCCCUAGCACUUUUGGAUCAAAAGGAGGUACGUCUUAUAGAAAUUUAUCUUUCAGUAGCGUGUGACAUCAUUUAACUCCUUAUUUACUUUGACCUAUUCGUGCAUUAGGCUGGUAAAAAGCUUCUGCUCAUUACCAACUCAGAUUAUCAUUACACAGACAAAAUGAUGCAGCAUUCCUUCAACAGAUUUCUUCCCAAUGAUAUGGGUUGGCGGGAUUUAUUUGACAUUGUAAGUAAAUGUCGUUUGUAUACUUAUAACUUCGUGCCACAUUGAAUAGUAAUUAUUUUAUAGGACCUCUGCUAUAAAAGUCUCAGGAUCAUUCUUUCCUGAGUGGUGCUUAAACUAGCAGCAUAAUUUUAUCACAGACCAGUGUUUUUUCUUUCUUUUUGUGUGUGUGUGUGUUUAACAAUCAAAGAUUGCCUUGAAACUUAAUGAUCAUUAGAAUUGUGAUCGCAUUAACAGCAGUGAGUCAUGUUUUUUUGGUCUAUUACGCUCCUUUUCAGGUAAUAGUCUCCGCAAGGAAGCCAGAGUUCUUCCAAAUGUCACACCCUAUGUAUGAGGUGGUGACAGGAGAGGGGCUCAUGCGUCCAUGCUUCAAGGCUAAAACAGGUGAUGAAGACUAAUGUUCAGUACUUGUGCUUGUUUAGCCCUGAAAUUCUUUUAUUUUUAAGGCAGAAUACAGUGAAGUUGUUAAUUUCAUGUGCUCUGUGGUUGCACUUGCUUUGAAUGUCACUUGGUUGCACAUUAGCUAAAUAAUCAUGUUUGAUAAAUGAUUGUUAUUGUGACAUUAAUUAACUAAAUAACUAAGUUGUUAAGUUGGUCAAAUCUCUGCUGUUUUUUUUCUCAGUCAACAUCAUUUUUACAUGUCAAUAUAUUAAAUUCCUCUGGGCUUUGUAUGGAUCAUAUUAUUUGAUAAUUCUUUACUUUGUUGGCAUUGGUUUUAUUUAACAAUCUCAUGCUCAUUCAAAUUCUUCUUCUUGCAGGGGGAUUGUAUUCUGGGGGAAGUGCUCAGAUGGUUGAGAAUUCCCUAAAUAUUCAUGGAGAUGAAAUACUGUAUGUUGGUGAUCAUAUCUACACUGAUGUAAGUCAAUCCAAAGUUCAUCUGCGAUGGCGGACGGCAUUAAUUUGUCGAGAAUUGGAAGAAGAGGUUUGUGUAGUUGAUUUUCUCUUUACAUGCAAGAGUACAGAAUAGAAAGUGCAAUUAACAUGUUUCUGGAAGUUGAGAUCUCACUAUCAUUGAAGAAUUGAAAAUUUUGGCAUGAUUAAUAAUAUACUGACUAGAAAAAACACUUUGAGACAACAAAUGGAACCCAAAGAACCUGCUUGCCAGUUUCCUUAUAUAAAUAUUCUAUUGUUCCACAGACCAGACACCUAUGGACUAUAAUUUUUAAUUUGGUCUCCUAGUAAUUGAGAGAUUUAAUAUCCUUGAACUGUUAAAUGCUGAUUAGGUCUCCGUUUGUUUCGUGAAAUUUUGAGGCUGCAGUUUAGUGCUUUGAUCCAUAGCCGGGGUCAUAGAGCAUCACUGGUAGAGCUUAUAAAUCAAAAGGAGGUCAUAGGGGAUCUUUUCAACCAACUUCGGCUCGCCUCGCAAAGGCGAACUAAAGGACGCCCUGCUCAAGUAAGUUUUAUCCAUCACUGAAUUCUUGUAAUGUAUAGUGAUAAUAUCUCAAUAUAUUUUUCAUAUCUCCUCUUUUUUAUGCUUGUAUCUGUAUCCUUGAGCAUUAAACAAUUACUGCUUUAAUUAACAAAUAUUGUCUGCUCACCGUUGCAUGUAUUUGAGUAUAGAAGUCAAGAUGAUCUGGUUAUCAUUUGAACAUUUCUAUACUAAUACAUAAGUGCAACUCUUAAUUCUGGUGUUACCUCUGAACUGAAUCCAUGCUACAUUUUCUUUUUCCCAUUAAGCAUCACCACUCAGCAAACAGUAUGAACUCCUAAUCCAAGAGUGUGGACCAAGAGAUGAUAGAACUGGAAACAUAAAAAAAGAAAUGGUUUAUAUAAUGUAGUGCUUCUUAAUUUUAUCUGAAACUUUUCUGCACUUUCAGACCCUUGCUGCAACAAACUUGGAUGAUCAAGAACUCUCAGAAAGCAUGCAAAAGCUACUUAUAGUUAUGCAAAGACUGGACCAGAAAAUUGCUCCAAUGCUAGAAGCAGAUGGAGAGCUCUUCAACAAAAGGUAAGAUGGGGUUAGGAAACAUAUGGAAUUGAUUUUUUUAUAGAGAUAUUUAGUGAUAUACCCAUUUCUAGCACUAAUAUUAUAAAUAAACCCUACACAAUUGAAUUCCUAUAAACAAACCAAAAAAAAACCCAAAAAAUGAUAGCUGACCUUAUUGAAUUUAAUAUUGAUUAUUAAAUUACUUUGAUGCCCUAUUGAGUGUUUUGGGUAUUUUUAUGAGAUUUUGGGGUUGGGCUUGUUUUAAGAAAUUGAUGGCAGUUUUGUAAUUUAUAAGAAGUUAAAAGCUUUUUUGUUAUGUUGUAAAUGGGCUUUGGGUGUGUUUCUAAAGUCCAUUUUAUAUAGGAUAUUUUUAUAAUUUGGGCCCCCAUAUUGGGUAUAAUAGUGAAUAUCCCCUUUUUUUAUUACUAGUGUAUAUCUGUGGAAAAUGUUUCAUUCAUAAAUAUACAGUUGACCUCGUGAACCUGCUGUGCAUUAGGUGGGGAUUUCUUUCCCGUGCAGGGUUCUGGGAUAAAAGCCAUCUGAUGAGACAGAUUGAGAAGUAUGUUCUGUUUUUUCGACAGUUCAUAUUUCAUUCAUCACAGGACGUCUGUGACAGAAAUAAAAAUUUAUAUUUUGAGUGUCCUUAACAAUGAUUCUCUCAAUUCUUUUUCGUCUUACAGGUAUGCCGAUAUAUAUACCUCCAGGGUGUCAAAUUUCUUGCAUUACACACCUUUCAUGUAUUUCCGCUCACAGGAACAGGUAACUACUAAACACCAAAGCUUAAAUUAUUAAGGAAUGCCAACAUUGUCAUCUUCACGCGCAACCCUGCACGUUGAAAGGGGACUGUGUAAAUUACCAAAUGAGUAGAGAAUGAGGAUUUGAGAUUUCGAACUUAGGAACUCUUGUAACCAAAACUCUGAUACUGUGAGGUAACAAUGUGAAAAAGAGAACAAGACUACAAUAUUAAUGAACAUGCAAAUAAGCAAGCAAUACAUGACUAUUUUACAACCCUCAACUUUUAGAAAGAGCACUUAUAUGCCUUAUGCCUUUUACCACUGCAGACGCUUGCUCAUGAUUCGUACUCAUACUACUGUUCGAGGUUUAAUGGGUCUGCUGUGGAUGACGAGGUCGACUUUAUGUUGUAGAAGUGCAUUUUUGGCUGUAAAUAUUGCUCAAGUUGACCAUGCUAAUUAUUGUAGUAUCUUGACUCCAUUGUUUUUCUGUAUGAAUGAUCCAGGCACUUCACAAUUUUCAAGGUUAUAGACUAAUAAUGAAUAAUAAUGUUUGAUUACUGAAUAGUAAUCAGUGCUUAUCCAAUGAUGAGUGGAUUGUUUAUGCCAGACAGAUGAACAACAUGAGGUUAUUUUCAUCCAUUAAACUGAACCCCUACAUUGCUAGAAUUCAAAGUGUUGAUUAUAAGGGAACAUGUAUGCGCAUGCGAGCUGUGAGAGGCCAGUCAACUCGCGAUACUAGUCCGUAACCGGCCUCUCAUACUUAGGACACACUUGGAAUGUUUUGCAUGUAUAAAGCAUUUCUUUUCUAAUAAAAAUACAUCUAGAAACUAUACACAGCAACUGCGUUUUGGGAAUUUCAAAUUAGAUACACAAACGGCAGAACUGCUAAAUUAGAUAAAUAUUUAAUGGGAACUAUCCCAUUAGAAAGCACUGUCGUUUCCAGACUUUGGACGACUCGUCGUUAUACCUUCGUUAAAGCAAAAUCAAAAUGGGUUUAAGAAGCAGAAGCAACAGAAGAAGCUAAAAAGAGCAAGGAAUCUGGAAAUGGAGAUGAAGAAGCUGAGAUGGGCAAUGGACGGAAGCUUUUGGGACCUUGACAUAUCGACUCCGAGGACCCUUGACGGACUGGCCAGACCCGUUCCCGGCGACCCACUUCCUCUGGGUCUGACCCGAGGCGCCAGGCUCUCCAGGCCCAAGCAAAUUGACUUCAUGCAGCGUUUCAUGCCUGUCCCUUUUGUCCCUUCCUACGCCGCCGCCAAUGGCUUCAGUCUUCAGCGAGUCCUCACCAUACCCAUUAGCGACAAUUGGUACCCGCCACCAAAAUCCAAUUCAAUUCCUUUUUUGCUUUUUCAUCUUCACCGUUUUUCUUUAUAAGGUUCAAGUUGAAUCAGUAAUUCUUGAAUUGAAAAGCUCUGUAGGUUUGGGACGUUACUGGGCCAGUUCAAUUUGCAGAGGUUCGUAUCCUCUGUUAAGAAAAGUGGGAAGACAACACCACCAGACUCUGCAUCUUCAUGGAUGCAAAGCAUUGGAACCCACUUGCGUGAAAAGUCCUUGUAUGCCCUUUCUUUCUGUUCUGACUUCUUGUUGACACCUGACGACACAUUGGUGUUUAGUGUGGAGGCUUAUGGUGAUGAAAAGAAAGCUCGAAAGAAGGCACUUUUUCAGCACAAGGUGUGUUUGUGUUUACCCAAGUGUCAAUUUUGUGCUACUUCUGGCUGGAUUUACUGAUAAAGCUUUGGCUGUUGUGUAAAUUUCAGUUUUCUCAUCACAAUUUGACAGUGGAGGCAGUUUGGCCCGGGCUUUUUGUUGACAAGCCUGGUAAUUAUUGGGAUGUGCCAUUCUCAAUGUCACUUGAUCUGGCUUCGGUUGCUGCUGACUCCGGGGCCAGUUAUCGUAUAUGUGCCCAUCAUAAUUCAGGUUCACCGGAGCGCCUUGACAGUGGUCAGAGCGAUGGAGUUCCUGCUAGUCUGCUUCCUGGUUUGUCUGUCACAAGUACUUUUUCUUUUAAGAAGAACAUUGAGCUUUGGAGAAAUAAUGCUCAGAAGUUGAGAAUGGUGCAACCAUAUGAUAUAUUCCUUUCAAAUCCUCAUGUUUCGGCUUCGGGGAUUAUUGGUAAGACACUGCCUUUUUUUAUUGCUGAAUUAUACUGGUAGAUGAUAAUACAUAGGAGAGGGGCAAGAGGGUGAGGUUUACUAUAAGAAUCAUUUAGACACCCUUUUGCUUAUAUGAAAGAGAUGUUUUCUGGGUAAAGAAAAGAAGCCAUCAGGCGUUGGCAUUAAUGAUUUACAACGUUUGCCCAAAAUUGGGAUCAAGUAGCUCUGUGCCCCUUUGUAGCAUAAAUUUUCUGAUGUUCAUAACUUUUUUGUGUACUGUGUUUUAGCUUAGCCAACCCCUGAUAGUUGGGAAUCAAGUGAGUUGAGUGGAGUAGUUGUUGUCUUAGCAUCUUGGCCAUUGUCUUAUACAUGUACAACUCUCUUACUAAUUGAUAAUUCAAAUUCGUUCAUACACAGGUGCUGCUAUGACUGCCUCGUUUGGUGAUAGUUCGGUUAGGUCACAAAUCGCAGAUGAUGAUCCUGAGGGUUUUAGAGGCUUUAGUAUUCGGGCUCCUGAAGUAAAAUCUGCCUUUCUAGCAGAUAUAUUUGCAUCUGCAUCAUUUACAGCCCAGCAUGGAAACUUCCAAAGGCUAUUCCUAGAUCUUACUCGCUUUCAUGCCCGUUUGGAUUUUCCUUCUGGUUCUAAAUUUCUUUCAGGUGCUACACAUCUAGCACAAGAUUUUUUCAAUUCUCAACAGCCAAAUUUGGAAGCUAUCCAGGACAUUUGCCCCAAUGCCACACUUUCUCUUCAGCAGCAGGUAUCUAUAUUUCUUUUAUAUUAAUUAUAUUUUCCGUCUUGGAAAAAAUAUUUCCCAGAAUUCAAGUGUGAUUUCAGAAUGAGAGAAACAUUGAGGUUAUAUGUUAAACUUGUUCGUGUAAUGGAUAUUCCUGUGUUGAUCUUGGGCUGCACCUUUGUAGUAUCUGGGUUUCAAAGCAGUCCAGGUUAUGGUCGUUUCUUACAUAGCUGUUGUAUCUGAAUGACGUUGAAAUGAAUGUUGACUUUGAAUUGCCUCUGCAAUUUCUUGCAGAUUGCUGGACCUUUCAGUUUCAGGGUCGAUUCAGGAGUUGCAGUUGAACUAAAGAACCAAGACUGGAAUAUACGUGUGGACGAGCCCGUAUUUGCCCUUGAAUAUGCACUGCAAGUCCUUGGUUCAGCCAAAGCCGUUGCUUGGUAUUCGCCAAAGCACCAAGAAUGCAUGAUAGAGCUUCGUUUUUACGAGACAUAAAACCAUGUGCUCUUGACUCUUGAUAGGGUUAUAUUGUCGGGUCAUUUUGAGGGAGAUUCUCCCAUAAAUGAAAAAAAAAAAAUUUCAUUCGCCAUUUGUCUCGCCAUUUGUAAAGUGGUGUAUUAUUGGAGAAUUUUAUUUUUGCUGAAUGCAAUGGAAGUUCUGGUAAUUGAAACUCUCUGUGCUUCAACAUUAUACUACCUUCUGAAAAUUGGAUAGAUUUAUAAUUUAAAAAUUAAAAUUUUUUUUAAAAAAAGGAACAGUGAUGAUGCAAUAAAUACACAAGUAAUUUUAAGAGAUCCAAUGGCAACAACUUUUAGAUUUUUUUAACACAGAUUGAAAUCCUCUGGCCACACCAUUUCUUGAAUACUCAUGUUAUUGGUUCUUUGUUUAUUGUUUUGGUACAAAUGAAAUUCUUAAAUUCUUAGUAGAAUGGAAGCUUACAUGAUCCUAUGGUAUAAUGCCUGCCAAAACUGGUCGUGGAGCAACCAGAUGGAAGCCUUAGAUGCUCCUCGUUAUACUUGACUGUCGCAAGACUUAGCCCAUGAGGUGGAGCAAACAUGGCAUAUUUAGCAAGUUCCCUGCGAUCUCGUGUUGCCAAUAUCAUGGGAACAACAUAAGGAGGCAGUGCUUCCCUCCCAAUUUGAAGCAGCAGAGAGACCUGCAUAAGUGUUUCACAGAAAAUGCUUGUACUACCAUUUGAUGAAAUGCAUUGCAUAGUACUAAAAAGACAAUAACUUUAGAUGAAAAAGGUUAAGAUGAAUGCUUCACCAUGUUCCGGACUUGUCGAUAUAAGAAGCCCGACCCUUCAACUUCUAGUUGUAAAAGAGCCCCCUAGACAAGGAUUUUAUUGAAGAUCAGCAAUGAAUCAUAUCUUUCUCAUAAAACUCAUAGAUAAUGAAGAGCACCCUAAAAUUCAACUGCUGUUGAAGAAAUCUUGUAGUGGGGUUUGAGCAAGUACCAUUUCAAUGACAUCAAAACGGAAUAUAUUCUUUACUGGAUCUCGCACUCGUUCUUUCUGGGAGGCAUUGGCAAAAGCAGAGAAAUCAUGCUUUCCAAUAAAAUACUUUGCAGCUUCUCUCAUAACCGCGGGGUUUAGCUUAUGUGCACUAUGGUAAGCAUAGUCACGCUGAAAUGGGUCCAUGAAUGUGUCAUUAUAUACUUUGUAAUGAUAAAUUUUGCUUUUUGCUGAAAAACGAGCAUGGAACUCAGGCACUGCAGGGCUGAUCUCCCUCACUCGAAUAUCAGAAGGAAGAAGACCGUUGAGAGCUGCAUGAAUGCUAUCUAUGCUGUCGUAGUUGAAAGGUGUGACAAAGUGUGCAACCUGAAAGCUGAACUGAAAGUAAGUCUUUGAUAUGUUGGUGGAUUUCCUUGUUGUGUUUAAUCUUGAUGAGAGUAAGAAAGAAAAUUAGACCUGACCCCAAGCAUGUACUCCCUUAUCUGUCCUACUUGCACCAACCAAACUAAGAUCCUUCCUUUCCAGCUUUGUUGCUUGCAUUAGAACUUUCUCCACAAAGCACUGUAUUGUAGGAGGUGAACUCUGGUAUUGCCAUCCUGCUAAUUCAUGGAAGUGUUGGAAAUGAUUGAUGCAGAAAGUGGAAGCUAAUAUCAAAUUGGGAUUUUGAAAUGGGCAUCUGAAAUAUCUCAAAAUUGACAGAAAUUAACCACCUUCAUGCCUAUAAGAUGCCCAAUUUGGAAACUUGCCAUAUCAACUAGAAAAAUUAGACAGACAAAGUUGGAGAAGUUGAAGGAAAUGUAAUCAUACAUAGGGGCAUUAUGUCAAAAAUCAUUGAAGCACAUUUCCAUUUCUAAGCAGAGCUAUUUUCAUCAGAACUCAAAAGAAAAAAAGAAGAAGAAUAAAGGUAAUCACUUUCCUCUAAAUUAUCAAGUGGGUUGUCACUGGUGAAUUAAGAAUUGAUUUCUAACUUCAAAUCAAAUAUAAUAAUUAGCAACAAAUCCAUGACUGGAAAAAGCUUAUAAAGCAAAGCACAUCAAAAUUCACAUAAUAGGAGGCAAAGCUCAAUGCUUUAAUGGAAGAAAGAAAGAGAACAGUAACCUGCAUAGCGGGUGCCGUCAUAAGCAAUAACCAAACGCCACUUAUACCCACCACCAACCCCAGUGUGGUUCAUUACCAAGUUGUCUCCAUCCUUUGCGUUCUGCUAAAUUAUCCAUUUUUGUUAUCGCCAGUUCACAAUUAUCAUAAUCAGAAACAGAGAGAGAGAGAGAGAGAGAGAGAGAGAGAGAGAGAGAGAGAGAGAGAGAGUGUGUGUGUGUGUAUUGAUCAUUACCGAAGUAUUAGUGGGAGUUGGAGAAGAAAGAGUCCCGUUAAGAUUUGGAGGGGAAGGAAGGCCUACAACUACAUUGCUACACAUCUUCUCAGCUCUCCAUUCAAAACCCACAAUGCCACAAACGCUCGUUUUGCCAAAUGACUCAAAGCAGAUGCAAGUAUAAGGGUUUAAUCAAAACGAAAAUAAAUCUCCAGCCAUCGAAAAAGUCAAAAGCAAAGAAGAUGUAAGAUGAACGGUUUAAAAAGGCUGACGAACCAUAGUUAUCCUACGUUCGGAGGCAGUCAAUCUCAAGGCUAAAGGCUGGUGGUGAAGGCAUCCAACAGAUUUACCAGAGGAAUUCUUCUGAGUCUGGAUAGGAGCUGCACCUCAGGUAGAUGAGUAACUUCUUCUAACUAAUUGAACUACAAGCCUUUUACUCAACAUGCUUCUGUGAACUAUAAUAAUAAGUGUAAAAUCUGCUAUGAUAGCAUCAAUUGCUCGUGCGCAACUAAACUUAACAUGCAACUUGUACACACCAACACUUGUGUUCAGACAAACCUUCUCUUUUGGAUCAAUAAGACAACUUUAAUUAACUAGCUAGUCAUAUCCUCAUUAUUAAUUUUACACAAAUGAAAAACUUGAUCAAAGUUUAGUCCAAAUCAUGCAAUCAAGAAAUAGAGAUAGAGUUGCAUAAUGUACAUCAUCUUCCAAGGUGGCAAAUUACUAAAGUACCAUUAGUGUAGGAGGUAUGUACACUGUACAUGACUAAUUUUAACAGAAAUAUAUGAAACACGUGUAAUUAGAGGAUUGGACUACCGGAACAGUAUGCUGAUACAGUGUGCUGAUUAGAAAACAGUAAAACAUCGUUUGUCCAAUUAGGUGAGACCCACGUUGGUUAAUGUGGGCCCACGGAAUCUGAUUGGGAAAGGAGAUCAUCUGAAGUACCGCAUACCAAUACAAUCAUACCUCAUUGGUUCAAUAAUCGCCGUCAGUUCCAAGGAUUUAUUGAGACAAAAAACAAAAACUUAAAACUUCAGCCAUUCAAUUGUGGGCUCACCGUAGCUAAUCUAGAUACGGAUGCAGUAAAGCAUGACGGGUAAAGUCAUCACACGGUUCGCUCCAUCUCUUUCUGUGUAUGUGCACGUUUCGGAGGGGGCAAGCACCUUCCUCUCUCUCUCUCUCUCUCUAUCUCCUCUCGCUCUCUCUCCUGUUUUCGGAAAAGUAAACGAACUGAAGGCGUCUUAUUGGUUUACCAGAGGAAUUCAUCUCAGUCUGGCUUGAAGGUUCGAUUUUUAUUAUCCAUGCAAUCUAGGGUGCCUAUCUCUAUGAAUUUUCUGUUUGGGUUUUUCAUAUUAGGGUUCUUGUUCCUCUCUCUUUUUCCAUAUUUUUUCACAGUGCAAAAGAUUUGUCUUUUUUCUUUUAAAUUUGAUUAUAGGUUCUGUUUGUUGUACUUGUUUUGAAUUGGGAUUUAGGGUUAUUAUGGGCUCCGCACCUUUUCCUGUGGGAUUUGUGACUUUAGUAACGUCUGCAGAUGGAAAAUUUCGUGUUGUUCUCCCAAAUAAGACAUUGGGCUUGUGUAAUUUCAGCAUUAGGGUAUAGAUAUGGGCAAAAGUUUCAAACUUUAGGGUUAUUAUUGUGAAUGUAGUUCCAAGCGUAGUCUCAUCAACUGUGAAAUUCAACCUGCUUAUGUGAACUUGGCUUCAAAAAAUGGGAUUUAGUCUCUUAUUAACUGUGAAAUUCAACCUGCUUCUGUAAACUUGGCUUCGAACAAAUUUGUUAUUUCCAUUAUGACUUCUUGUGUAUAAACUUAUAAAACAAUAUCCUUUUUGGGUGGGUAGGCCAUGGCUGCAAAGAAGGUUAUAGCAAUAUGCCAAUCAGGUGGAGAAUUUGUGACGAAUAAGGAUGGAAGUUUAUCGUACACUGGGGGUGAGGCCUAUGCGAUUGACAUUGAUCAACAAACACUUCUUGGUGAUUUCAAGUCCGAAAUAGCUGAUAUGUUUAAUUGUAGUGCUGAAACAAUGUCCAUCAAGUAUUUCCUUCCGGGCAAUAAGAAGACUCUCAUUACAAUCUCUAAAGAUAAGGACUUGCAACGCAUGGUCAAUUUCCUUGGGGAUACAGCCACAGUCGAUGUUUUUGUCAUGUCAGAGGAAGCCGCUGCUCGAAAUGUGUCGAACAUGCCUGCUAGUAGGUACUUUUUAUUUUGUUCAUCUUAUUUCUUGCUGAUUCGAUACCCACUUGUGUGUUUGUUUCCCUGGAUGCAUAACCUUUUAUGGUUCGGUUUUGGGUCACAAUUGCAGCAAUCACAAUGUGGAACAGAGGCCAUGGAAAUGUGCUUAUACCUCCAUUGUUAUCUUGCACAGAGUGUUACACGUGCAUGCCUCUUUGUAUUCUGUUGUGUAAUUAUAUAGUACUGUGCUUGUGUGCCAAAAAAAAGCAUUUAAUAGAAGUAUUACCCUACAUGUGUUUUGCAUAAAAAUCUCAUCGGGAAUUGUUACCCUACAUGUGUUGGACAUGCAGGUCAAGCAGGACAACUGUGUCAGAAGCAGUGGUUCCUAUCGUUGAGCCUAUUGAUGUGCGAGUUGAUACUUGCAAUGCCAUUGACCAAAUUGAUAUGGAACUCCAUGAAACCCCUUUGGUUUCUGUUCUUGGUUCUUCUAGUGAUGAUAAGCAUCCUAAAGCUGCACAACAGUGGGAAAAUACCAUCACUGGUGUGGACCAAAGGUUUAAUAGUUUUGGUGAAUUCCGAGAAGCAUUGCAUAAGUUUUCAAUUGCACAUGGCUUCGCGUAUAGGUACAAGAAAAAUGACAGUCAUCGUGUUACUGUCAAAUGCAAAUCUCAAGGUUGCCCAUGGAGGAUAUAUGCAUCAAGGUUGUCUACUACCCAGUUGAUUUGUAUCAAAAAAAUGAAUACAGAUCAUACAUGUGAAGGAGCUGCUGUGAAAGCUGGGUAUCGGGCGACUAGAGGUUGGGUGGGAAGUAUCAUAAAGGAGAAGUUGAAAGUUUCCCCUAACUACAAGCCAAAGGAUAUAGCAGACGACAUUAAGCGAGAAUAUGGGAUUCAAUUGAAUUAUUCUCAGGCAUGGCGUGCCAAAGAGAUUGCCAGGGAGCAGCUUCAAGGCUCCUAUAAAGAGGCCUAUAAUCAGUUGCCAUAUUUCUGUGAGAGGAUAAAGGAAACUAAUCCGGGGAGUGUUGCUGCAUUUACCACUAAGGAGGACUCAAGCUUCCAUCGCUUCUUUGUAUCUUUCCAUGCAUCAAUUGUGGGUUUCCGAGAAGGUUGCCGCCCUCUCAUUUUUCUUGAUAGCACUCCUCUGAACUCAAAAUAUCAAGGAGUUUUGUUGGCCGCAAUAGCGGCAGAUGGUGAUGAUGGUAUCUUUCCAGUAGCAUUUGCUGUUGUGGAUGCUGAGACUGAUGAUAACUGGCAUUGGUUCUUAUUAGAACUGAAAUCUGCAGUGUCAAUAUCUCAGCAGAUUACAUUUGUUGCAGAUGUUCAGAAUGGUUUGAAAAAGUCAUUGACUGAGGUAUUUGAUAAAUGCUAUCACUGCUAUUGUUUGAGGCAUCUUGCUGAAAAACUCAACAAGGACUUGAAGGGGCAAUUUUCUCAUGAGGCAAGACGAUUUAUGAUCAAUGAUUUUUAUGCUGCUGCUUAUGCACCCAAACUGGAGGCUUUCCAGCGUAGUGCUGAUAACAUAAAAGGUAUUUCACCUGAAGCUUACAAUUGGGUCAUACAAAGUGGGCCAGAGCACUGGGCUAAUGCAUUCUCUGGAGGAGCCAGGUACAAUCAUAUGACAUCAAACUUUGGACAGCAGUUCUACAGCUGGGUAUCAGAGGCACAUGAGUUGCCAAUUACACAGAUGAUUGAUGUAUUACGAGGUAAGACGAUGGAAGCCUUCUAUUCACGCAGGGUGGAGUCCAACCAGUGGGUAACAAGAUUAACUCCAUCUAAAGAGGAAAAGCUUCAAAAAGAAACGACAAUUGCUCGAUCACUUCAGGUGUUGCUCUCACAAGGUAGCACAUUCGAGGUUCGUGGAGAAUCUGUUGAUAUUGUUGAUAUCGACCAUUGGGAUUGUAGCUGUAAGGGAUGGCAACUUACUGGUCUGCCUUGCUGCCAUGCUAUUGCUGUCUUUGAAUGCAUUGGUAGGAACCCAUAUGAUUACUGCUCCAGAUACUUCACAGUCGAGAGUUACCGUUCAACUUAUGCAGAAUCAAUUCAUCCUGUUCCUAAUGUAGACAGGCCACUCCCAGGUGAAUCAAGCCUGGCAGCAGUUACUGUUACCCCUCCACCAACCAGACGGCCGCCAGGCCGGCCAAAGAUGAAGCAGGCUGAAUCAUUAGACAUAAUAAAACGUCAGCUCCAGUGUAGCAAGUGUAAGGGGCUUGGCCACAAUAAGAAGACGUGUAAAGAUUCCUAGCAUUAUUGUUUAAGGACCUCGUUAAGUAGGGUGCUUCAGCUUUUAACCUGUGUAUAUUUUGACAUUUUUUAUUGGCAGUUUAGGCUUUUGCUCUUUAAGCUUAAGGUAGUUUAGGAUCUUUGCUUUGUUUUGUCAAACAAGCUUAUUGAUUUUCCAGUCACGCCAUCAUUUUAAUAAAGGCAUUUAAUCUAGUUCUAUACCCUUUUAACUUGCACGAAUUUUUGCGUAUGAGAAAACUUGUGCGUGGAACUUUGCAUGAAAUUUUUGUGGAGUAUGAGAAAAAUGUGCAUGAAUUUUUUUUCGGGUAAGCAUGUUUCUCCUCCAUGUGCAGUGUGGGAACCUAAUUAAAUCAAACCCUAGGUCAAAUAAUUCCUACCAUUUGGGGAUUAUUUGACCAAAUUGGGAGUCAAUCAACCUAAUUAGGAGUUACUCAAUUUAAUUGGGAAUUAUCCAAUUAAAUUGAACGUUACCUAAUUAGGUCGAGAUUUGAUUUGGUUAAUUACCACGAUCCUCAAUUAAAGGAGAAGUUACCUAAUUGAAUCGGGAUUUGAUUUGAUACCUACCACAAUUAGGGAUUUGAUUUACCCUAAUAAAUCAAAUCCCUAAUUAAUCAAAUCAAUCCCAAAAAGGGGAGGAAUAAUUCCCUUCCAUCUACGGAAUUAUUCCUCAGAAACCCUAGCCUCCGAGACUACUAUAAAAGUAUAGCCACACACAAUGGUUGAGGUACGUCAGAAUUACUACUAAAAUCUCUGCAGAAAAUUCCUCUCAAACCCUAGCCACCUCUUCUCUUUCUCUCUUUUACAUAAGGCUCCGGCCGCCCGAUUUAUAUUAUAAAUACAUCUCGUACCCUAUUUUAGCUAUCGUUUCUCUAAAGAUCAAUUGAACUGACUUAGGCAUCGGAGGGCCUUUGGUCAACACCCCCGGGUGUGGUCUUUUACUCCGAUCUGUUUUGCAGGGAGAAAGAGAGGCGAAAAAGACGAAGGAAUCUUAGGCGAAUAUUCUCCCGUGAGAUUAUUUGCACAAACAUGCAGAAUGCUGAUUGUACAAUUAUGCUUGUGGAGGGGGACGUGUGUCUUACUCCGAACUUUCCCAUUGCUCUCAAAUUCCAAUCUACGUGUGUAUUGGCAGAACACUUAUCACAUUAGAAUCUAUCUCUUCAGACUGGUUUAGGCAUAUCAGAUUCUCAUAGACUCAUCAUGGCCUUAAAGCAACCUUACAAACAAACUACUCAACAUUAUGCUUGAUUUAUGAUGCUGCAUUUAGGAAGAUAAAUAUUAAAUACAAUAAAACUGAGAUAGAUAAUGAGUCCUUUCGUAUUUGUAAGGAACGACUAAAAACUGGGACUAAUUUUCCAAGCAAUUAUUAUUAUUUUCUGAUUCAUCAACUGCCAUGCAUCACACCUGGGUAUACAUGUCGGAUAGUAUUAAUCUGUUCUAGAGAGUAUUGACUAUUUAUUCAUAAUAUUAUAAGAUGUUUGGUGCAGUUCUGGAUAAAUAGUCUAACUAAGUUAUACUAUGUUCGGUGCUGUUCCGGAUAAAAUCAUAUCAUACUAUUUUUUUGACAAAAAAAUCUUUGAUAAUUUAAGUAGAAAUUGAAAUUGAAAUUACACGAAUUUUUUUUGCUAAGAUUCAUAUGACAAGAUUUGUUUUUCAAUUUUUUUUCAUAUAACCCAUUAUCAUAAUUGUAGUAUCUCAUAUAUAAAGAAAAAAACGCAAGAAAAACUCAACAGCUUGUAUAGAGUUGGAUACACAGCCGCAUGUAUUGUUCCAAUACAGCAAGAAAAAAAGGUCAAAAACGAAAAACUCAUAACAUAACUUCGACAAACAUUAAAUAAAAAAGUAAAUAUAUAAGGGGAGAGAGAGAGAGAGAGAGAGAGAGAGAGAGAGAGAGAGAGAGACCUAGAGAAGAGUGAAGAGAAUAACCUCGGAGAAGAUAACGGAGAAGAACCCUAAGGGGAAGAAGAUUAAAAUAGCGUCGUCGGAUUGUUCACGUGAACGUGUGUAUUCUUUUUCCCUAGCUGUAUAAUUAAGCAUGUAUUAUCUAAACCAGGGUGUGUGGAUUGUAUUAGUUAGUCAGGUAAGGAGAGUAUUAAAAGCCCAACUCAUUUAAAAUAGUCAAGUAAUUAAAUAAUACAAGUUGACACCAAACACAUGACAUGGACUAUUUACUCAUAUCCAGAGUCUAAUAUGGUGUACCAAAUGCAGGUUCAAAAAUAUUAGACCUUUGGACAAUAACCUAAUUGAGUGUUUUAGCAUAUACAGUUAUAUAAAGCAAAAUGCAGAAAAUGGUGAAACAUUCAAAAUAUCAUAAAAAAACCCUUGGUUAAUGCAAAUAUUAAAAUAUUAAAUAUUAAUUAAAUGAGGAUAAUAUUGUAAAUUCACACUUUUUUAUAUUAAAAAAAAUUAAAAAUUAAAAACAAAAUCAGAUAAUGAGUAGUUAUGUUCCAUAAAAAUAGGACCCAUUAUUUUUUAAAAUUCUAAAAUAAAAUUAAAUAAAUAAAAACUAACUUGCACCAAGGGGCUAGUUUAAAAAAAAGGGGAAAACUCUCUCAUAAUCAGAACAACAAUCAUUUUUAAAAGAGUGCUGCUAUUUCCACCCACCUUACUUUCAAAAUUUUAAAGAUAAAUUUAUCCCUUCGUAAAAUGACUUAUAAGGACUUAAGGAAAAAACCUCACUUUGAGAAAAAGAAAAAAAAAAGGCAGGCAGCUGAAACUAAGCUUAUUAUGACAAGCUCCUAUCCAAAAAAUAACCCCAAUUUUCAUUCCUUAUGCUAUUACAAACAUAGGGUUUGCGUUGCUUGGUAUUGAUUAGGGGUGGGCACUCAAACCGGCGAAUCGAAAAUCCGAGCCGAACCACACCGAACUAAACCGGAAAAAAAUCGAGUUGACCAAAAAGUCAAAAACCGGUCAAAAACCGAACCGGACUGGUUUGGACCAGUUCUGGAUCCGAUUCCAUGUCUUCAAAAACCGAACAAGCCCGAACCGAACCGAUGAAACUAAAAAAAUAUAUAAUUUCAAUAUAUAUUUAUAUUUAAUGCUAUAUUUUUAAUUUCACUAAAAAAAACCUAAUAUUUAUCCAAGUUCAAUGUCAAACUAUCUCUCUUUUCUCACUUUAAUAUUUAUUUUUUAUAUGAAAUUGAAUAAUUUGUUAAUUUUCAAGUAAAAAAAAAUAUUUCAGUUGAGAAUUGUAUUAAAAAAUAAUUUAAAAAAUAAUUUUUAUAAUCCAGUUCAAAACCGAACCGGAAUCGGAACCGGACCAAAACCGAUUCAAACCGAACCGGACAGUUUUUGAAAUUUUUUUAUUAAAACCGAACUGAACCAAAUCGAAUGAAUAAUACCGGAUCGGUUCUAAUUUGAGGCAAAAACUGGUCCAAACCGAACCGUGCCCACCCCUAAUAUUGAUAUGGGAUUUAGGGAACUAAAUUAUUUGAUUUUGAGACUGCUUGUGCUACUUCAAAUUACUAUUUCUAUGCUGUUUGCAAAUCACAUUCGUCAAGGUGAGGCUGAUUUGAUGAUUGCUGGGGGAACGAAGCUGCCUUAAUUCCCAUAGGCAAUGAGAAUUUACUUGAAUUAACAAAUUAAUUAUUAGCAAAGUGAAUUUACUUGAAUUAAUAAUUAAAAGGUAUUUUAAGAAUAAUGGUGGGUGAAAAAAUAAGAUUGUAUUUUUUCAAAUUUACAUGGUGAGUGAGAAGAUAAGGUAGGUGGGGAUAUAUGACAAGGAGGUGAAAAUAUCAACACUCUUUUUAAAAUUCAUGCAACUAUCUACUAAAGUUUUCCCAAAAUAUAAAAUGAAUUUUUGAACUAUUUCAAUUCUUGUAUAUAAAAUUAUGGAUCUUGUUCAUAUCUUUUUUUUUUUUUCCUUUUUUGAGGAUAAUAUAUGCUUAUUUACUUUCAAUGGAUGCAAAAGUGUGCAGAGACUAAAACAACAUUGGUCGUAUAGAUAAGUUCAGAAAAAGUGACAAAAUUAUGUAUACAUUAUCUCCAAGAUCCUAAAACAAAACUACACAGGUUCGUGCGGUUCCAUUCAGGAAGAGACACGCAAAUUGCAACCCCAACAUGUCGACACCUUCGAUCAAAGAAAAAAAAAAUAAAAAGCCAAAACAAAAAACCCUGUCGACACCUGGGAGGCAUCAGCAUGACACGUGUCCAAUUAUCUAGUCUGAACACGUUCUGAACUUGCCACCUUGUGUUACACCUGUCCUCCUACUCUUGCACACCCUCCUCUGCCUUCUCUUUCUUCUUCUUAAAACCACAACCCCCCCAACCCUAACCUCUCUCACAUUCCAAUACACUUCUUGUACAAAUCACAUACUGCAGUUUUCGAGAAACACUUGGCAUAUUUGAAUCUCUUCAGACUUUGUUCAUGGCUUCAAAGCAACCUUUCAAAGUGCUAUUUGUUCUUGGGGUGGUGGCGGUGAUGCUUGCCACCAUUUGCAGAGGCUCUGGUGUGGACCAUACGUCUUCCAGUGAUGAGGGGUUUAAGGUGAAAACAAGGCAACCGCAGGACGAGGCCGCAGAGAAGGAAAGAGAGGGCAGAGAAAGCUCAGACUCAGAGUCAUGGGCAGAGUGGGCCAAGGAGAAAAUCUCUGGAGGACUUGGAUUGAAGCAGGAUGAUGAUGACGAAAAUAAUAAGAAAGCUUCUGAUGCUGCUUAUGACACUGCCAAGAACACCAAGGACAAGGUUCAAGACACUGCUUCUGGUUAGUAGCCUCAACAUUAUAGUAACUUUUUUUAUUUUAAAUUUUUUUUUUAAUUUAAUUUGCUUUCAUAGUGAUGAUUUAUGAGAUAUGGCAUUUUGUAUAUAUGGAUGUGAUUGAUUUGAAUCGAUUUAGGGCUCGUUUGGGAGUGAUUUUGGAGGGGCAAAUAAUCACUUUUAUGUAAAAGCACAUGAGAGCCUAGAAUCACUUAAAAUCAUUUUUAGUGAUCUUCUGGAGAAGCAUGUGGAAGGUGUUUCUUCUCAAAAGUGAUUUUGGCCUACUCUGAAUUAUUCACAAACGAGCGCUUAUAAAAUCAUGGACUUGCUUUGCAAUUGGGUUUGUUAGGUCAUUUGAAUUUUGUACAUGUGUUUUUGCGAUAAAUGUUCUGAUUUUAGUGCCCAUAAUAAUUGAUUGUUGUGUGUGAAUUCAAACUUUAACCUAGUGUUACUCAGAGAGAUCAUGAGUUUUUUUUUUUAAUUUAAAAAAUAAAAAAUAAAUAAAAUGCAGAUAAAAUGAAGUGCUGAAAUGUGGGUUAUGCAGGAAAUUGGGGUUAUGUUUGUGUUAGGGAUGAAGAUACUUUACAUCUUAAUCUGACUUGAGAAAAGCAUAUUUUUCUAAAUGAACAACUGAUAAAUGGGGGCUUUAAUUAAUGAUCAGGAACUGGUCAAUACACCACAGAGAAGGCCAAAGACAUUAAAGAUACAGCAGCUGAGAAGGCUAGAGAAGUGAAAGAAGCAGCAGCAGAGAAGGCUUUUGAGGUUGAGAAAGCAGCGAAGGAGAAGGCGUAUGAAGCCACAAAAGCAGUAAAGGACAAGGCCUCUGAAGCCACAAAUGCAGCAAAGGAGAAGGCUUAUGAGGCUACAAAGGCAGCGGAAGAUGAGACAUACGAGACCAAGAAUGCGGCUGAGGAAACAGCCAGCAAGGCUGCAGAGAAGGCCAAUGAGGCAAAGCAAAAGGUAGGGCAAACAGCAGAGGAGAUUAAGAACAAGGCUUAUGAGAAGGCAGAGGAGACCAAGGAGGCAAAAGAAAAGGCAAAGCAAAAAGCAGAGGAAGUGAACAAGGAGGCCUAUGAGGAGGCAGAGGAGACCAAAGAAGCAAAGCCAAAAACAGAGGAGGUGAAGAACAAGGCAGCUCACAAAGCGAAGGAGGGUUAUGAGGCAGCCAAGAAGAAAGCAGAAGAGACUGUGAAGUCUACCAAGGACACUGUGGCAUCUAAUUUCGAAGCUGCCAAGCAGACGUCACAGAAGAUUAAAGAGAAUGUGGCUGGUCAAGGCCGUGAUGAGGAGCUCUGAGCUGCUCUGCCUGUAGUUUUCUAUCCACACUUGAUGACCAUUUCUUCUUAUAUAGUUUUGUUUUGAUCAAGUCUCUGAUCUUACAAGUUGGGUUUUGUUGUGUAGAGAUGUAGUUUUGUAUUUUAUGUAUGUUUGAUUUUGUUGUAAUGUACUUCUUUCAAUCUCUGCUUGAAAUAUAAUUUGGAGCCAGCUUUGUAUUUCGAACUUGAGCAAUAAUAUGAAAAUUUUCGUCUCCACAAUUGUUUUGGGGCCGAGACCCUAUUGGGAUUUGUCAAGGCUGUCCGUUUAGAGCAUUUCUACCCCCUUUGUCAUGAGAGCGGAUCCGCUGCCCCCAAAUUGGUGUACCCUUCAUGUCCCCUCUUUAAUUUGUUAAUUUGCUGACACAUGUCAACUAACAUAACAGGGAGUUAACUCUGUUAACUUUUUCAUUUGACAAUUUUAAAAAUUAAAAAAAUUAAAAACUAUCCAAAUAACCUAAUAGCCAGCAAGCAUCGUCUAACUUGCAAAACCCAGCGAAUGUCGUCUUCCUUGCUAAACCCAGCAAGCGUCGUCUUCCUUGCAAAAUCCAGCCAUACCCACUCUCCUCCCUCAUAAUCUAUGCAUCUUCUCCACCAUCAACUCUCAAACGCUUGCAAAACCCAAUUCUCCUCCCUUCUAAUAUAGAAAGAGAUGGUUAAUGAUUGCAUAACACAAACCUCUUCCAUGAUGGCUUCAUAGAGAAAAGUAUCCUUGCGCAUUUUCGAUUCCACAGAGUACUUUAACAGUGUGUGAUGACUUCCUAGCUGCUCAAAAACCCAUUUACCUCUAAAUGAGUCAAAGUCCCCUUCAACCUGUUCAAAACUUAUCUCCUGUUCAAGCUGUUCACACAAGUCUAGGACAACACGCGCAUGAAGCACCAUAUAAAGUAAGCCCUUGCAUCCUUCCUGCACAUUACAGGAAAAGUAAGUUUACUUGUGUAUGACUUUUAAGAUGAUUGGCACUCUCACAUCACUUAAGUUAAGAGUAUUACAAUGACAUAUCAGAGAGUGCCUAUUUAUACAGCUACAGCUAUAGAUUGUCCUCUUUAUUAACCAAUAACAUCCAUAAAAUGUACAUUUAGAGAUCAGACACAUUAUAUGAUCCCAAAAUUAAAAAAGACACUUUAUAAAAAGUAUGGUCUUAGAUUACAGUUAAUGGAAAGACUGCUAGUACCAGGAAAGUAUGAGUAUAGUAGUAAGAGAGGUGGUAGUAUUCUUCAUGUAAAGUGUUGUUCCAAAAGUGAAGCAAUUACCAAGAACACUCCAACUCAACGUGCAAUUCUCUACGACAAAUAACGUGUGCGGAAACAUACUAGUUUUGUUAGUUUUCCAAGGUAUUGCAAACAUGUUUGAGCUCCCACAUUGGAGCACAAGAGUUCCUUGGAGGUCUUUAUAAGACUUACUCUUGUAAAUAGAAAAGUUUGUAUUGGCUAUGCAAGUGGCCCAAUUGAGUGGCUUCUGGAUAUAACCUUUGAUUAAAUGCACGGCUAUACUCUUUGUUUUUUUAAUUUAUUUUAAAAAUAAAACUGUGUUGACACGUGGCGACAAAUAGACGGAGGUUUCCUCUUUUUUUAUAUUAAAAAUAGUAUAGCCGCACGGCUAUACUCAUUAUUUUAAAUUCUUUUUAACCGAUCAGUUAUGUUAUUUAGUAUAUAGUAUAGCCGUGCGGCUAGACUCGAUUUUUGUCUAGUUUCUUUUAAAAAUAGUACAGCCGGGAGGUUUUUCUGUUUUUUUUAUAUAAAAAAAUUGUCUUUAAUAAAUAGUAUAGACGAGCGGCGAUGGUCUUUUACAUAUACACACACAUAUAUAUAUAUAUAUAUAUUUACGUACGUACGUAUUUUUUAAUAAUACAUUCGUGUUCUAUACACGUCUCACUUUUUUUAAAAGCAAACAUACAAUAGUCGUAUUGUACUUGUGCGUACGUAUUUGUAAUAUUUUAUACACGUAUUGUUUUCAAAAUUUCCAACAAGACGCACAAAAUUCGCUUAUCAUACAAAUAAUUCUCACAUAUUAAUGAAUAAGAAUAACAUAUGUUAUAAAACUUUCAUAUAGUGGAAGAUUAAUAUCUACUUUGGAUAUGUUGAAACUAGAAAAUUAAUAUUUAAACGGGACAAACUAAUGCAACAAUGCAACAAGGUGGGUCCUUUUUUAUUUUUUUUAUUUUCUUAUUUUUGUAGUAAAGGGAAUUGCCCCUUUUAAACAAAAUUUAUUUUAAAGGUAUAGCCGGGCGGCUAUACUUCGAAUUUUUUUCUUCAGCAGGUAUAGCUAUACUUAUUGUCUGACACGUGGCGCGUUAGCCAAAGAGGGUCAUCCUUUUUUAAAAAAAAUAAUAAAAAUAGUACAGCCGAACGGCUAUACUCCGUGUUUUUUAAUUUAUUUAAAAAUAAAACUGAGUUGACACGUGGCGAAAAAUAGAUGGAGGUCCCCUCUUUUUUUUAUAUUGAAAAUAAUAUAGCCGCGCGGCUAUACUCAUUUUUUUAAAUUCUUUUUAACCGAUCAGUUUUGUAUGGCCGGGCGGCUAUACUUAUUGUUUGACACGUGGCGCGCUAGAGGGUCAUCCUUUUUUAAAAAAAUUAAUAAAAAUAGUACAGCCGCACGGCUAUACUCUUUGUUUUUUAAUUUAUUUUAAAAAUAAAACUGUGUUGACACGUGGCGACAAAUAGACGGAGGUUUCCUCUUUUUUUAUAUUAAAAAUAGUAUAGCCGCGCGGCUAUACUCAUUAUUUUAAAUUCUUUUUAACCGAUCAGUUAUGUUAUUUAGUAUAUAGUAUAGCCGUGCGGCUAGACUCGAUUUUUGUCUAGUUUCUUUUAAAAAUAGUACAGCCGGGAGGUUUUACUGUUUUUUUUAUAUAAAAAAAUUGUCUUUAAUAAAUAGUAUAGACGAGCGGCGAUGGUCUUUUACAUAUACACACACACAUAUAUAUAUAUAUAUAUAUUUACGUACGUACGUAUUUUUUAAUAAUACAUUCGUGUUCUAUACACGUCUCACUUUUUUUAAAAGCAAACAUACAAUAGUCGUAUUGUACUUGUGCGUACGUAUUUGUAAUAUUUUAUACACGUAUUGUUUUCAAAAUUUCCAACAAGACGCACAAAAUUCGCUUAUCAUACAAAUAAUUCUCACAUAUUAAUGAAUAAGAAUAACAUAUGUUAUAAAACUUACAUGAAAAUAUCAUAUAGUGGAAGAUUAAUAUCUACUUUGGAUAUGUUGAAACUAGAAAAUUAAUAUUUAAACGGGACAAACUAAUGCAACAAGGUGGGUCCUUUUUUAUUUUUUUUAUUUUCUUAUUUUUGUAGUAAAGGGAAUUGCCCCUUUUAAACAAAAUUUAUUUUAAAGGUAUAGCCGGGCGGCUAUACUUCGAAUUUUUUUCUUCUACAGGUAUAGCUAUACUUAUUGUCUGACACGUGGCGCGUUAGCCAAAGAGGGUCAUCAUUUUUUAAAAAAAAUAAUAAAAAUAGUACAGCCGAACGGCUAUACUCCGUGUUUUUUAAUUUAUUUAAAAAUAAAACUGAGUUAACACGUGGCGAAAAAUAGAUGGAGGUCCCCUCUUUUUUUAUAUUGAAAAUAAUAUAGCCGCGCGGCUAUACUCAUUUUUUUAAAUUCUUUUUAACCGAUCAGUUUUGUAUGGCCGGGCGGCUAUACUUAUUGUUUGACACGUGGCGCGCUAGAGGGUCAUCCUUUUUUAAAAAAAUUAAUAAAAAUAGUACAGCCGAACGGCUAUACUCUUUGUUUUUUAAUUUAUUUUAAAAAUAAAACUGUGUUGACACGUGGCGACAAAUAGACGGAGGUUUCCUCUUUUUUUAUAUUAAAAAUAGUAUAGCCGCGCGGCCAUACUCAUUAUUUUAAAUUCUUUUUAACCGAUCAGUUAUGUUAUUUAGUAUAUAGUAUAGCCGUGCGGCUAGACUCGAUUUUUGUCUAGUUUCUUUUAAAAAUAGUACAGCCGGGAGGUUUUACUGUUUUUUUUAUAUAAAAAAAUUAUCUUUAAUAAAUAGUAUAGACGAGCGGCGAUGGUCUUUUACAUAUACACACACACAUAUAUAUAUAUAUAUAUUUACGUACGUACGUAUUUUUUAAUAAUAGAUUCGUGUUCUAUACUCAUCUCACUUUUUUUAAAAGCAAACAUACAAUAGUCGUAUUGUACUUGUGCGUACGUAUUUGUAAUAUUUUAUACACGUAUUGUUUUCAAAAUUUCCAACAAGACGCACAAAAUUCGCUUAUCAUACAAAUAAUUCUCACAUAUUAAUGAAUAAGAAUAACAUAUGUUAUAAAACUUACAUGAAAAUAUCAUAUAGUGGAAGAUUAAUAUCUACUUUGGAUAUGUUGAAACUAGAAAAUUAAUAUUUAAACGGGACAAACUAAUGCAACAAGGUGGGUCCUUUUUUAUUUUUUUUAUUUUCUUAUUUUUGUAGUAAAGGGAAUUGCCCCUUUUAAACAAAAUUUAUUUUAAAGGUAUAGCCGGGCGGCUAUACUUCGAAUUUUUUUCUUCUACAGGUAUAGCUAUACUUAUUGUCUGACACGUGGCGCGUUAGCCAAAGAGGGUCAUCAUUUUUUAAAAAAAAUAAUAAAAAUAGUACCGCCGAACGGCUAUACUCCGUGUUUUUUAAUUUAUUUAAAAAUAAAACUGAGUUAACACGUGGCGAAAAAUAGAUGGAGGUCCCCUCUUUUUUUAUAUUGAAAAUAAUAUAGCCGCGCGGCUAUACUCAUUUUUUUAAAUUCUUUUUAACCGAUCAGUUUUGUAUGGCCGGGCGGCUAUACUUAUUGUUUGACACGUGGCGCGCUAGAGGGUCAUCCUUUUUUAAAAAAAUUAAUAAAAAUAGUACAGCCGAACGGCUAUACUCUUUGUUUUUUAAUUUAUUUUAAAAAUAAAACUGUGUUGACACGUGGCGACAAAUAGACGGAGGUUUCCUCUUUUUUUAUAUUAAAAAUAGUAUAGCCGCGCGGCUAUACUCAUUAUUUUAAAUUCUUUUUAACCCGAUCAGUUAUGUUAUUUAGUAUAUAGUAUAGCCGUGCGGCUAGACUCGAUUUUCGUCUAGUUUCUUUUAAAAAUAGUACAGCCGGGAGGUUUUACUGUUUUUUUUAUAUAAAAAAAUUGUCUUUAAUAAAUAGUAUAGACGAGCGGCGAUGGUCUUUUACAUAUACACACACACACAUAUAUAUAUAUAUAUAUUUACGUACGUACGUAUUUUUUAAUAAUACAUUCGUGUUCUAUGCACGUCUCACUUUUUUUAAAAGCAAACAUACAAUAGUCGUAUUGUACUUGUGCCUACGUAUUUGUAAUAUUUUAUACACGUAUUGUUUUCAAAAUUUCCAACAAGACGCACAAAAUUCGUUUAUCAUACAAAUAAUUCUCACAUAUUAAUGAAUAAGAAUAACAUAUGUUAUAAAACUUACAUGAAAAUAUCAUAUAGUGGAAGAUUAAUAUCUACUUUGGAUAUGUUGAAACUAGAAAAUUAAUAUUUAAACGGGACAAACUAAUGCAACAAGGUGGGUCCUUUUUUAUUUUUUUUAUUUUCUUAUUUUUGUAGUAAAGGGAAUUGCCCCUUUUCAACAAAAUUUAUUUUAACGGUAUAGCCGGGCGGCUAUACUUCGAAUUUUUUUCUUCAACAGUUAUAGCCGGGCGGCUAUACUUAUUGUCUGCCACGUGGCGCGUUAGCCAAAGAGGGUCAUCCUUUUUUUAAAAAAAUAAUAAAAAUAGUACAGCCGCACGGCUAUACUCCGUGUUUUUUAAUUUAUUUAAAAAUAAAAUUGAGUUGACACGUGGCGAAAAAUAGAUGGAGGUCCCCUCUUUUUUUUAUAUUGAAAAUAAUAUAGCCGCGCGGCUAUACUCAUUUUUUAAAAUUCUUUUUAACCGAUCAGAUUUGUAUGGCCGGGCGGCUAUACUUAUUGUUUGACACGUGGCGCGCUAGAGGGUCAUCCGUUUUUAAAAAAAUUAAUAAAAAUAGUACAGCCGAACGGCUAUACUCUUUGUUUUUUAAUUUAUUUUAAAAAUAAAACUCUGUUGACACGUGGCGACAAAUAGACGGAGGUUUCCUCUUUUUUUAUAUUAAAAAUAGUAUAGCCGCGCGGCUAUACUCAUUAUUUUAAAUUCUUUUUAACCGAUCAGUUAUGUUAUUUAGUAUAUAGUAUAGCCGUGCGGCUAGACUCGAUUUUUGUCUAGUUUCUUUUAAAAAUAGUACAGCCGGGAGGUUUUACUGUUUUUUUUAUGUAAAAAAAUUGUCUUUAAUAAAUAGUAUAGACGAGCGGCGAUGGUCUUUUACAUAUACACACACACAUAUAUAUAUAUAUAUAUAUAUAUAUAUAUUUACGUACGUACGUAUUUUUUAAUAAUACAUUCGUGUUCUAUACACGUCUCACUUUUUUUAAAAGCAAACAUACAAUAGUCGUAUUGUACUUGUGCGUACGUAUUUGUAAUAUUUUAUACACGUAUUGUUUUCAAAAUUUCCAACAAGACGCACAAAAUUCGCUUAUCAUACAAAUAAUUCUCACAUAUUAAUGAAUAAGAAUAACAUAUGUUAUAAAACUUACAUGUAAAUAUCAUAUAGUGGAAGAUUAAUAUCUACUUUGGAUAUGUUGAAACUAGAAAAUUAAUAUUUAAACGGGACAAACUAAUGCAACAAGGUGGGUCCUUUUUUAUUUUUUUUAUUUUCUUAUUUUCUUAUUUUUGUAGUAAAGGGAAUUGCCCCUUUUAAACAAAAUUUAUUUUAAAGGUAUAGCCGGGCGGCUAUACUUCGAAUUUUUUUCUUCAACAAGUAUAGCUAUACUUAUUGUCUGACACGUGGCGCGUUAGCCAAAGAGGGUCAUCCUUUUUUAAAAAAAAUAAUAAAAAUAGUACAGCCGAACGGCUAUACUCCGUGUUUUUUAAUUUAUUUAAAAAUAAAACUGAGUUGACACGUGGCGAAAAAUAGAUGGAGGUCCCCUCUUUUUUUUAUAUUGAAAAUAAUAUAGCCGCGCGGCUAUACUCAUUUUUUUAAAUUCUUUUUAACCGAUCAGUUUUGUAUGGCCGGGCGGCUAUACUUAUUGUUUGACACGUGGCGCGCUAGAGGGUCAUCCUUUUUUAAAAAAAUUAAUAAAAAUAGUACAGCCGAACGGCUAUACUCUUUGUUUUUUAAUUUAUUUUAAAAAUAAAACUGUGUUGACACGUGGCGACAAAUAGACGGAGGUUCCCUCUUUUUUUAUAUUAAAAAUAGUAUAGCCGCUUGGCUAUACUCCUUAUUUUAAAUUCUUUUUAACCGAUCAGUUAUGUUAUUUAGUAUAUAGUAUAGCCGUGCGGCUAGACUCGAUUUUUGUCUAGUUUCUUUUAAAAAUAGUACAGCCGGGAGGUUUUACUGUUUUUUUUAUAUAAAAAAAUUAUCUUUAAUAAAUAGUAUAGACGAGCGGCGAUGGUCUUUUACAUAUACACACACACAUAUAUAUAUAUAUAUAUUUACGUACGUACGUAUUUUUUAAUAAUAGAUUCGUGUUCUAUACUCAUCUCACUUUUUUUAAAAGCAAACAUACAAUAGUCGUAUUGUACUUGUGCGUACGUAUUUGUAAUAUUUUAUACACGUAUUGUUUUCAAAAUUUCCAACAAGACGCACAAAAUUCGCUUAUCAUACAAAUAAUUCUCACAUAUUAAUGAAUAAGAAUAACAUAUGUUAUAAAACUUACAUGAAAAUAUCAUAUAGUGGAAGAUUAAUAUCUACUUUGGAUAUGUUGAAACUAGAAAAUUAAUAUUUAAACGGGACAAACUAAUGCAACAAGGUGGGUCCUUUUUUAUUUUUUUUAUUUUCUUAUUUUUGUAGUAAAGGGAAUUGCCCCUUUUAAACAAAAUUUAUUUUAAAGGUAUAGCCGGGCGGCUAUACUUCGAAUUUUUUUCUUCUACAGGUAUAGCUAUACUUAUUGUCUGACACGUGGCGCGUUAGCCAAAGAGGGUCAUCAUUUUUUAAAAAAAAUAAUAAAAAUAGUACAGCCGCACGGCUAUACUCCGUGUUUUUUAAUUUAUUUAAAAAUAAAACUGAGUUGACACGUGGCGAAAAAUAGAUGGAGGUCCCCUCUUUUUUUUAUAUUGAAAAUAAUAUAGGCGCGCGGCUAUACUCAUUUUUUUAAAUUCUUUUUAACCGAUCAGUUUUGUAUGGCCGGGCGGCUAUACUUAUUGUUUGACACGUGGCGCGCUAGAGGGUCAUCCUUUUUUAAAAAAAUUAAUAAAAAUAGUACAGCCGAACGGCUAUACUCUUUGUUUUUUAAUUUAUUUUAAAAAUAAAACUCUGUUGACACGUGGCGACAAAUAGACGGAGGUUUCCUCUUUUUUUAUAUUAAAAAUAGUAUAGCCGCGCGGCUAUACUCAUUAUUUUAAAUUCUUUUUAACCGAUCAGUUAUGUUAUUUAGUAUAUAGUAUAGCCGUGCGGCUAGACUCGAUUUUUGUCUAGUUUCUUUUAAAAAUAGUACAGCCGGGAGGUUUUACUGUUUUUUUUAUAUAAAAACAUUGUCUUUAAUAAAUAGUAUAGACGAGCGGCGAUGGUCUUUUACAUAUACACACACACACAUAUAUAUAUAUAUAUAUAUUUACGUACGUACGUAUUUUUUAAUAAUAGAUUCGUGUUCUAUACACGUCUCACUUUUUUUAAAAGCAAACAUACAAUAGUCGUAUUGUACUUGUGCGUACGUAUUUUUAAUAUUUUAUACACGUAUUGUUUUCAAAAUUUCCAACAAUACGCACAAAAUUCGCUUAUCAUACAAAUAAUUCUCAUAUAUUAAUGAAUAAGAAUAACAUAUGUUAUAAAACUUACAUGAAAAUAUCAUAUAGUGGAAGAUUAAUAUCUACUUUGGAUAUGUUGAAACUAGAAAAUUAAUAUUUAAACGGGACAAACUAAUGCAACAAGGUGGGUCCUUUUUUAUUUUUUUUAUUUUCUUAUUUUUGUAGUAAAGGGAAUUGCCCCUUUUAAACAAAAUUUAUUUUAAAGGUAUAGCCGGGCGGCUAUACUUCGAAUUUUUUUCUUCAACAGGUAUAGCUAUACUUAUUGUCUGACACGUGGCGCGUUAGCCAAAGAGGGUCAUCCUUUUUUAAAAAAAUUAAUAAAAAUAGUACAGCCGAACGGCUCUACCCCGUGUUUUUUAAUUUAUUUUAAAAAUAAAACUGUGUUGACACGUGGCGAAAAAUAGAUGGAGGUUUCCUCUUUUUUUAUAUCAAAAAUAGUAUAGCCGCAAGGCUAUACGCAUUAUUUUAAAUUCUUUUUAAUCGAUCAGUUAUGUUAUUUAGUAUAUAGUAUAGCCGUGCGGCUAUACGCGAUUUUUGUCUAAUUUCUUUUAAAAAUAGUACAGCCGGGAGGUUUUACUGUUUUUUUUAUAUAAAAAAAUUGUCUUUAAUAAAUAGUAUAGACGAGCGGCGAUGGUCUUUUACAUAUACACACGCGUAUAUAUAUAUAUAUAUUUACGUACGUACGUAUUUUUUAAUAAUACAUUCGUGUUCUAUACACGUCUCACUUUUUUUAAAAGCAAACAUAUAAUAGUCGUAUCUACUUGUACGUACGUAUUUGUAAUGUUUUAUACACGUAUUAUUUUUUAAAUUUUCAACAAUACGCACAAAAUUCGCUUAUCAUACAAAUAAUUCUCACAUAUUAUUUAAUAAGAAUAACAUAUGUUAUAAAAAUUACAUGAAAAUAUCAUAUAGUGGAAGAUUAAUAUCUACUUUGGAUAUGUUGAAACUAUAAAAUUAAUAUUUAUAUGGGACAAACUAAUGCAACAAGGUGGGUCCUUUUUUAUUUUUGUAUUUUUGUUUUUAAGGGAAUAGCCCCUUUUAAACAAAAUGUAUUUAAACAGUAUAGCCGGGCGGCUAUACUACUAAUUUGUUUUAUUAAAAAGGUAUAGUCGGGCGGCUAUACGUAUUUUUGACACGUGGCGCAUUAGCAAAAGCGGGUCAUCAUUUUAAAAAAAGAAAUAGUACAGCCACACGGCUAUAUUCCGUGUUUUUACUUUAUUUAAAAAAUAAAACUGUGUUGACACGUGGCGACAAAUAGAUGGGGUUUCGUCUUUUUUUAUAUUAAAAAUAGUAUAGCCGCACAGCUAUACUCAUUUUUAAAAAUUCUUUUGAGAUGCUAUGUUUUAUUAUUUAUUAAAUAGUAUAGCCUUUUUGUCUAAUUUCUUUUAAAAAUAGUAUAGCCAGAUGUUUUACUUUUUUUUUAAAAAAAAAUUGUCUUUAAUAAAUAGUAUAUCAAGGAAGAUGACGUUCGCUGAGUUUUGCAAGGAAGACGACACUCGCUAGUUGCUGGGUUAUUUGGACAGUUUUUAAUUUUUUUAAUUUUGAAAGUUGUCAAAUAAAAAAAGUUAACAGAGUUAACUCCAUGUUAUGUUUUUUGACACGUGUCAGCAAAUUAGAGAGGGGACAUGGAGGGGACACCAAUUUGAGGACAGCAGAUCAGCUCCCCUUUGUCAUGGUAGUGAUACUUCUUGUAAAAGUCAAGUUGUGUUUUCACUCAUUCCCAUGACAAAGGGCAAUUACUUUUUACUUUAAAUUUUGUUUUAUUUUUUAUACUUAAACAAAUAAUUUGGAUAAGAUUUUUAAUUGUUAUGUGUUCAUAUUUAUUAUAAAAUUCACAUCUCAAAUUUCAUCGGUUGUCAUGUGUCGAUCGUCGUCUUGGUAUAGCAUGUCGAGAAAAAAGAGGCGUAUAGGGUCACCAAUUUAUUAUAAGAUUUAAAUUUCAUAUUUCUUAUAAAAUUUUCACUCUUUAAAAUUGCACCCCGUGUCAUCUCUAUCUUCUAAAUCCCUCUAUAAAACCACAGCUUCAACUCAUACCUCUCACACCAUAUCAUCUAUAUCCUUUCAUUUCUCAUAUUUUAGAAAACACAUUUUACUCUCAAUGUCUUACAUGAGGAGGUUGUUGGAAAGGCAAGAGCGAGAAAAUGAAGAAAAAAUGAGCAAACAAGCUGAAGAAGAAAGGGAGUGGGAAGAAAAUGAUGAUCAAGUUGCCAUGCCAGUGGGUAUGCUCCAUCAAUCAAGCCAACACAACCGUGGUUCACAACGUGGUCGUGGCCCGAACGUGGACAUACAUAGACACUCUCGGGGUAAGAAUCUUUUGGAAGAUUACUUUAUCCCAAAUUCGUUGUACACUAAUUUAGAUUUUUGAGGGCGAUAUAGAAUGCAGCUUCAUUUGUACUGGGUUUUGGGUCUUCUUCCGGAGCAAAAACUUACAGCUUCUUUAUGGAUGCUGGCGUUUGGCGCAUUUGCAAACAAGGUGGAUGAGAUUGCUAGGAUGAGAAAAUCCACUAUUCUAGAAAGUUUGGUCAGACUCUAUGAUGCAAUUGAAACUCUCUACACGAUGGAUUACCUCCACAAACCUACACCUACGGACCUCCAAAGGCUUCUAUAAAAAGCCAAGGGUCAAGUUUCCCAAGCAUGAUUGGAAGCAUCAACUGUAUAUAUUGGCAGUGGAAGAAUUGCCCAACUGUCUGACAAGGAGAUUAUGGGAAUUGGAAGGACAAAAAAAGUAUCAUUCUGGAAGCUAUUGCAUCAUUCGAUACCUAGAUUUGGCAUGCUUUUUUUGAAGUUGCGGGAUUUCAAAACGGCCUUAAUAUGCUCGGUCAAUACCCGGUGUUCAAUGAUGUGUUGAGAAGUCAAGCCCUUCAGAUCAUGUAUGAAAUCAACAAUAUCGUCUACUCAUGUGGGUAUUACCUAGCAGACAGAAUUUACCUGCGGUGGACGACAUUCGUCAAAACAAUUCUACAUCCCCAAUCGGAUAAGGAAAAAUACUUUGUUGCCUAUCAAGAGUAUAAGAAAGAUGUAAAAAAGUGUUUUGGUAUCCUCCAAACUCGAUGGGUAAUCAUUAGGAGGGCUGCUCGUAUGUUUGAUGAAGAGGUGCUUUAUAGCAUUAUGAUGACAUGCAUCAUCCUCUAUAACAUGAUUGUGAGGAUGAGUAUGAUUAUGAUGAACCCGAGAUGUUCGAACCCGAUCAUAUGAACACGGCAUUAACAAGAAUUUAUGAACGGCCCGUGCGAGCAAAUGGACAAUCACUGGAGCACGAACCGUUAAUUAGAUAUGGUUGUUACAACAACUGUGUGAUUGACCGUUAUACGAAAAUGCAAUCUUCUUAUAUUCAUGAAAGACGUCAAGUUAACUUGAUGGAGCACUUAUGGGUGCUGAGAGACAAUCACAGUCAAUGAAGUCAAGGUUAAUGUUUAAUUUUGAAUUAGCUUUGUUACUGUUGUUUUUUUUUUUGAAUUAUACUUUGUUUGUGUUUUGUAAUGAAUUGUGUUUUGUUUGUGUUUUUAAUGAAUUAUGCUUUGUUUUUAUGUAUGCAAUGUUUUAAAUAAAUAGCUAUAUUAUUGAAUGCUUUCUUUAUUCAAUAAUAUACAAGCAAUACAACUAAUUAAGAAAUACAACUAAUUGAGAGAGGAGCUUAUCAAAAGGUUUUGGGUCGCUCUUUCAUUCACGCGAGGAGAGCCUUGACGGCUAGGGUUAGGGUUUCUCCCAUUUUCUUUACUCAUUCUCUGCGUCGUCUCUCUCAAUCUUCUCUGAUUGUCUCUUGUGGUUCUUCUUGGUGAAUUGGGUAUGACCUUUUUUUUUUGUUGCUCUAUUGUUCUCCAUGGAGUGGCUGCGUUGACUUCCUUUCUGGUUUCCCAAAGAGCCUGUCGCUAGUGAAGGGUCUUCAUCUUAACGUUAUAGAGAUAGCCAUCGCCUCUUUUGCUUAAGAGGAUGACAAGUAUGCGACACCAAAAGGGAAUCAAAAGCCUGCAAAAACUGGUGUUCGGCAUCUGAUUGUUAGUGGCACGAAUUUUUCUUGUAACCAUAGUUUUUGUAUCGAGGAUUUUGUUGACAAGGCGAAGGAGACCAGCCUCGAGGGGUCUCCAAGAUCUCCAUAAUAAUUCUCUUAUGGAACGUUCGUGGGCUUGGCAACCGAUGAACAUUCCUACUAUGAAGAUCUUUCUUCGGAAUUUUCUUCAGGCUAAGAGGCCAAUCUUGGUCGCCCUUGCUUGUCAGCUGGGGUUCUGGAUCAAGAAAAUUGGAGGUGGCGGUUGGUGUUUGGUUAGAUCUGUUAUGAUGCUCACAAUACGUUCUUGACUCUGUAUGAAGAACUACGAUACUUUCUUUAGAUCAUAGAAGGCUUUCUUUGAUAAUAUCUAUGUAGUGAUGGGAUGUGUUUCAAUAACUUUGCGGUUGGGUGAUUGGCUGUAUAUAUUUUGAUACCCAUAGUACGUUUUUGACUUUGUACUAAGAACUAUAAUGCUUUUUCUAGAUCAUAGGUGGACUUCUUUGACAGUACCUACGUAGUGAUGGGAUGUUGUUUUAAGGGUUUUGUGGUUGGGGUUUAGGUUGGUUUGUUUCAUAUAAGUUGUUUGACUCUUCUGUUUAGUCAAUAGCAUGGGUGGUACUCUUUCCUACCCUAAGGCCCUCUCCUGCUCGAGUUGACCUGUAACGCUGGAAGUGCUCUUAGUCACUUGGAAUAUGAUCCGUGAACUAAGAAAGUAUAUGGCAUUUUCUUGGACAAAGAUGGCUUGACUAAACGGGUGAAGGGACAUUAGUGGCUCAAUUCAUGCCUAAUUCUAUACACCAUGAUUAGAUUGUUACAUAAGAACGACUAAAUGGGCAUUUUUACAGUCUUUAUACGUAACAGUUUCAUGUUUGAUAAUACUUUGAGUCAUUCUUUUUUACAAAUAAAUCACAAUUUCAUGUGUAACAUAUUUGGUCCGUAAAAAGUAUUUUAUGCAUAUUUGAGAUUAAAUAAAUCUAAAAGGUUAUUAUUUGGUACCGUAAAAACACAACUUUUUAUAGUGAAUAUUUUGUCUAAUAUAGAAUAAAUUAUGAAAUUCCUAAAAGUCCUUCAAUAAUGCAAUGAAAGAGAUGCCCGGUCAUAAAUAAGCAUCAAUGGUUUUGUUGGGACCUCAUUUAUUGGCGAGACUUGUGAGGAUUUAGUCAUGAAGAAAAUGAUGUCCACGCGAAAUUGCCAUAGAAAACAUGUAUAAACUACGCUUCAAACGUUUUCCUUUGGAUUUGAUUUAAUCCAAGUCAUGCAUGACACGCCGCACGCAUCCGAAAAUUCUUUAUUCAACUGAGAGCUAGCUUUGAAUAUAUUUCUUGUCUCAUAGCUUGAACAGCACAACGAUUCUUCUGGACCUGAAAAGCUUAUGCCAUCUCUUUUGAGGCUAACAAACAAAAAGAAUAACUUACCCAUAGACUAGUUCCCCCAACUAUGUUACACUAUGAAUUAUGGGAAAACAUAAAAGAGAAAAAGAACACAAAACAAAAGCUAUAUAGACAAAUGAAGUGACAUAUUAGAGAGGAAAAUGUGCAAGAUCUUUAAUUAGUUUACUUUACAAAUCCUUAGAUUUUCUUUUCCAUUCUUACACAUAUAUUUAAAUUAUAUAAACCACUACAACAGCGGGAUUCGAACUUAAGAGCACUUUCACUCAAUUAUGACAAGUAAAUGCAAACUACUAUUCACGUGAAUAGUGACUGCCCUAGCAAUUUUUUUGAUGCAUUUCCACCCAUUGCCAUGACAACCCAAGAGCAACUACUAUUUACAUGAGAUAUGAGGAGAUGAAUUUAUAUGAAUUUUGGUUUGGUUUUUUUAAUCAAUUCUUUUAGUAUUUAAAUUGGUCUCUGACUUUAUGUUGACGUUAGCAUGACAUCAACUUGCCCAUACAAGUCUUGCGCUUCGGACUUGUCUAGUUUCAUAGGCCACUUCUUAUCAUGGCAACUUGUCCUUUGUAGGGUUUGUUUUUAAAGCCUAAAAGCAAAAAGGAAAAAGUGGAAGUGCUCGAAGUGCAAAUAGAUUCACUGUCCUAGUAAACAAGCAUAACUUACCUCUGCGACAAAGAAAAUUCUAUAUGCUUAUUUUGGUAUGUAAUAUUUUUGCUUUCAAUUAAAACCAAACCACAAUGAGAAAUGCGAGUGGGUCGGCACAGACCAAAUAUGGUGGUGCAAUGUAACUUGUCCGUCGGAGAAAAGAACAGAAAAAUGAAAUUGGCGUUUGACAUGUGUAGGACCACAAGUAUCGUCAUUUGUCACGUUCCUUAUGUAUAGGGGAAUAAAUAAAAUAAGAAACCGCCAAGAAAAUUUCUAAUAGUUAUUAAUCUUUUAAAUGACUUUUUCAAAAAUAAAAUUAAAAAAACAAAAACAAAAAGCUGGUACUCCAUUAGAUAAUUUCUGAUUGGUUGAAUUUCAACCUUCAAUUUGGAAUAAAUAAUUUAGAAAAAGGUUCAAUACAAUUUAUUUUAAGCAAUUGAAUAUAAUGCCUAACUUUUUUUUUUUUGAGGAUCUUUUUUGUUGAAGGGAGCGAUAUAAUAUACUAAAUUUACACACACAACAUAACAAGGAUGCUAGGACUCGAACCCAGAACUUUGCAUGGGAAAAUAAUUACUCCAAACUACUACACUAGUAAUUGAAUACAAUGCCUACAUUCAUUUUAAGUGACGCAUACAAAUAUUAUUAAAUUAUAUAUAUACUAGUCUCUCCGCACGCGCUUCCGCGCUUGUAAGAGGCUUUUUUAAAAAAAUAAAUAAAUUUAUUUUAGAAUUAAAAAUAAUAAGGGAGACUUUGGAAAAGCCCAAAGGAGAGAGAAAAUUUUUAAAAGUGAAAGUUUUUUUAUGGGUAAAACCUAAAUUUACUAAAUAAUAAUGAGUAGUUGUGUUCCAUAAAAAUAAGAUCCAUUAUUUGCUUUUUCUUUUUCUUUUAAUUUUUUUAAAUAUGAAAAAGUGUGAAUUUACCAUAUUAUCCUUAUUUAAUUAAUAAUUUGAAUUCUUAAUGUUUGCAUUAACCAAGGGCAUUUUCUGGUAUUUUGAAUGUUUCACCAUUCUCUGCAUUUUGCUUUAUAUAUAUAGAUAAAUUAAAUCAUUUGAAAAUGAGUGCAUUUUUUUUCUUUCCACUUCUAAAACAAAUCUAAAAGUUUAUGUUUUUUUUUUUCUUCUCCCAAUGGCUUCAUUGUAUGACUUAUUUUUGGACGGUACCAAUAAUUUAGGGUAUUAUAUAUAUAUAUAUAUAUGCCAAUCCAAUCAUAUAAAGGUGUGAGCCCCAUGACUUCCAUUUCCACCUACCAUUUGCAACAUCUUUCCAAGCAACUGGCAUAUGAUCUCAUGAUUUUGAUCUGAUUUCAUAUUAUUAUGUCAAUUGGGCAGGUGGCUGGCCGAGUACACGCAAAAGACAUGUUCUUUUCUUUCUAGGUUUUGAUUAUUCUUCGGAUCCUUCUUCUACAUCUUAAACACACACAACAAUUUUCCCAUUAUUUUUCCCCCUCUUUCUCUCAAUAUACUAACAUUUUGGGAAGGAAAACGAUCAUGUCAUGGAUAUGUUUAUAAUAAGUGCUUCCAUCACAACUGUUCAUCUUGUUAUGGUCAAGAUCUGAUCUUGUUAAUAACUGUUGCUUAAUGUAUUAAGUUGUGUCGGCAUCGAAAAAUUAUUUUAUCUUAUUGCAAAAUUGUCAUGUGAUGUUAAUAAUUCACGUAUUAUAAUAUUAAUAUAUUUAUUUUUAUCUAUUUUUAUUAUAAUAUGAACUAAUUGAUAACACUACGCAACAAUAUUACAAUAACACUACAAAUAGGAAAAAGUUAAGAUGCUUUCUAUUGAGCCAUAUGAGCCCAGCGGCUACCAUUAUUGAUACUAUAAAGAGGAAGUCAAUUCAUAAUUUAAAGUAGAUAGGUAACCCGUCAAUUCUAUAGUGUGUCAUAUUUUUAAGCAGUGACAAAAAUCAUAGCCACGUAAGGGCAGUCAAAACAUAUAGACCACCAAUUUCAACCAUCUUAGCUCAACACCUUUUAUAAAUGCAUUAAAUUAUCAGUAGUUUAAGAAAAAAACUUUUAUAAAACGAAGAUAGCAUUAUUUUAUUAUUCUUAAUCAAUUAAAAAAUGUUAUGUGAAAAAGUUAUCAUAUGUGACAUACCGUGUUGUAUUGAAUCAACAUCCAUUUCUCUCAUACUUUAUUUUUUCUUUUUUAAGUUCAUAUAUUCAUAAAUGAAAAAUAAAAACAUCACAAUAAUGUGUCAGAUAAAAACAAAAAAACAAAAAAGUAGAGGGUCCAUGUUCACAUGAUUGUCGUGAAGCAACUACACACCUAACACAUAUUUACUUUAAUAAAAAUGCUUAGUUGUAAUACUUUUUCUCGUAAUAUAUAGUUUAAAUUGUGGUAUAAAAUUAAAGCUUAGAGGCCCGUGGUGGCUUCAGAAUGCAUGGGAGGCUUUUCUGGGUGAGAAAGAUGGUAUGAGAAAAUGGACCCCCCUCCCGAUGGAAAUUGAGAAACCAAAAAAAUGUGGCUAAUAAUAGCAAGGGAGGCUGAAAAGGUAAUAGAAUUAUGGCCGUCACGUCCCCCUUAUCCAUACACGCAUACAUCAGUGGUAAUCCAAACACCUAGGAUGUUUAUAUUUUAUUCAAAUAUUAUAACCUAAAAUUUGAGUAAUCUAUACUGAUUUAUGUUUUGACUAUGAUGUAUUAUGUAUAUAUAUAUAUAUAUACUAGGAUUAAUUUGAUCUUAAUUAAAUAAUAACAACACAACAAAGUUGGGGUAACGAGAUAAAUUUAGAUUCGAACUAAAACAUAACAUGUGUUAAGAAAUCCGAAUCGUAGAUGAAAAGGAAGUUUACUUUUUAAAAGAUAAAGCCGAUUAUCGAAAAAAUCGUGGAAUUCCCAGUGAGAGUCAAGCUUUGUUUUUAUGGGGAUGUAAACAACUUGUUUUAACCACGGUCAACCCUAAUUACAGUUCAACCCACCCAACCCUCUUCUGUCUUCUCCUAUACAUGUAUGCACAUGUGUUAUUAGUAUAUACAUUAAGUGGAGUUGAAUGGAUUGAUUCAAUAAUUAGAAACACAAGGUGGGUUUUUAACUCAUUAUCUUUGCAUAUAUAUAUAUAUAUAUAGAGAGAGAGAGAGAGAGAGAGAGAGAGAGAGAGAGAGGUUUCAAGAAAGAGAGAGAAGGCGUGGCCUAGAAAUAAAAGGGAGCUCAUUUAUUUGAUUCCAAAUUCCCAAGUGCGUCUCUGUUUCACCCAGUUGGACUUGGACUUUUUGUUUUUGUUAUAGUUUUUAUAGCAUUUGCGUUACGUUUCGAAUCGUUGAUACUUUCUCAAUUCAAACGUUUCAAUCCAAGAGCCCAUCAUUUCUAUAUAUAAAAACAGAAAAUUAAGAAGCAGCAGCAAGUGGUCUUCUUCUUCUUCCUUCACGGAAACCAGAGCAAACGUGUCAUUACAUGGUGAUCGUAAGAAAAGGUGCAGAGGAGGAGGUGGACAAGAAGAAGAACGCGACUAAUUGCAGUAACAAGGGAAUGCGACUCGGAAAAUACGAGCUUGGAAGGACUCUUGGCGAGGGCAAUUUCGGCAAAGUUAAAUUUGCUAAGAACGUCGACUCUGGACAACCCUUUGCUGUUAAGAUCCUCGAGAAAACCAGAAUCAUUGAUCUCAAGAUCACAGACCAGGUCAGUCUUUUUGCUCAAAGUUUCAAUCUUUCAUUGAUGGGUUCUGUUUUUCUCUUUCAAACAUUCAUUAUUGUUCAAUUUUUUCCUCAAAGUUUUAAUCUUUCAUUAAUGGGUGUUCUGGGCAGUGUUCAAUCGAAACUGAAAUUGACAUUCAUGAAUUUUUUAAAAUUAUCUGAGUUUUGGACGUUUUGUUUUGUUUUGAACAACACAAUAACACAAUUUUAGAAGAAAAAAAAAUUGCAGAUAAAGAGGGAGAUUGGCACUUUGAAGCUCCUGAAACAUCCCAACGUUGUCAGAUUACACGAGGUAUGCAUUGCUUCUCUGCUUCCAGAGCUCUGUUAUUAACAGAGUUUUUGUUUGUCCAUUACUGUCUAAUCCAUGAAUCAUGACCCCUAAUUAUCACUAUAAUUACCAUAAUCUCUUCCCACUAAUGUCUAAUAAUGACAACAACCCCAUUUAGCUGUGUUUUUUUUUUGUUUGUUUUUGUUUUGUUUUGUUUUGGGAUUGGUGCUAGCAAGCACAGUUGUUUUUUACUGUGGUAACUUUUCUAAUUUUUACUUGGCUAAUCACUUCAAUAACGCGUCACAUGACACAUAAUAACCCCAUUUUGCUUAUCGUUUCCUCAAAUAAAGGUAGCAUAUAACAAAAACACUUUCUAGAUUUUCGUUUACCGUUCUAUUCUACGUGAUCUGUUGAAUCUGAACCACACAUUCGAACACAAUAUUUAUGAUAUAUUAAAUCCAAAUCACACUAUUCAAACGCGAUCUUUACAUUUAUAUUGCAAUGAGAAAUAUCUUAACUUUGUUUCAUUUGUUCAUGCCGCUGUUUGCACGGAUUGCUUUGUUCACGAGGUCUCCACCCGGGAUGAUUUGAUCAAUCACCCUAAUAUACUUUUACCCUCAUAAAAAAAAAUUGGUUGGUCCUGGAAAAAAAGAAAGAAAAAAAAAAAAUUUGUUGGUUAUUGAGAUAUUUUCUUGUGUAUAUGAUUCUGUUAAGGGGAUCCAUCAACCAGCCCAACCUAGCCACGUGUAUAUAGUAAUGGUAUAUAUACCUCUCUCUGCUGCAGUUUGCAUGGACUGAGUGACCUGACCUCACUUCAACAAGCAUAUUUUCAGAAUGGGCCCACCCAUGAAACCAUUUUGGUGGAUAAGACUAAGAUCAUUAAUAUGGUCUUAAUUGUGGUCACCAAGGGAGGGCCAUGCCUUGUCAAUUGUCCCUUAAAAUGAAAAUGAUUGCUUCAAGUUGCGUGUGGUAUAUUCAUUAAUCACCUUAAUUAAUUUUAGCAUCCAUUAGGGUUUCCUUAAAUAGAAUCAUAGGAUGAAUUAGUCAUAUAGACAGAAAUAUAUAAUAUAUUUAGAAAAAAAAAAAAAAAGUUUUAAUAAGAAAGAAGAAUGGAAAAUGAUAAUUUUGGAUAAGGAUGGUGAUGACGACUAUGAAUUAUAUAUGUGGAGUUUUAGAAUAUGGGUUUUGUUGAUGCAGAGAACUGGUCUUGGUUUGCCUUUCUACAAAGGUGGAUGGAACACAUUUUGAUUUGAUUAAGUAAAUGCAUUUGAACUCAAUUCGAUGUGUCCCCUUGGUCAACAAAUGUCAUCAAGUUUGUUUGGUAUUCAACAAAACAGUAGCUUGUAAAUAAUAUUAAGGGUGUCAUUGAUAAAAAAUAAAUAAAUAAAUAAAUCACAUCCCAACCAUUAGCAUAAUUAGCGCUGUCAUCAGUUCGAUCUUUGAUCUAUUUAUAAUGCUGUAAACUGUAAACUAGAUUUUUUUCUCUCUGUGUUCUCAUCAUUGGUAUUAGGACUUUCAAUGCCAUGGCCAACAAUGCUUUGUAUUAAUCCUGCUGAUUAUGUUUAUCUUGCAGGUUGUGGCAAGCAAAACCAAGAUUUACAUGGUCCUAGAAUAUGUUACUGGAGGAGAAUUGUUUGACAAAAUUGUAAGGAGCUCUUACUCUAAUGCACAGCUUUUUGUAUCACAAGGCAGGAAGUUGAAUAGUUGAUGAUACUAAUAAGUUACUCUGUGUUUCAGGCACACAAGGGAAAACUUGCAGAAGCCGAAGGCAGGAAGCUCUUCCAACAGUUGAUUGAUGGUGUGAGCUACUGCCACAACAAAGGCGUUUUCCAUCGGGACCUGAAGGUACUUCCUUUCUUUUUAAGAAAAACUUAGUGAAACUAAGGACUCAGGAAAAAGCUGCAGAUGGUUUUCAAUUUGCUCACUCUUUCUUGCAUGACAAGUUUUGUAUGUUUUUGGUUGCAGUUGGAAAAUGUUCUUGUUGAUGCCAAGGGGAACAUAAAAAUAUCAGACUUUGGCCUCAGUGCUUUGCCCCAGCAUUUUAGGGUACAUUACUCUUCCAAACCAAACUUUUUAAAGUGGUAAGUUUGGUGUCUAAUAACUUAACCCUUUAAUUCUGUCUGAUAUAUCAGGAAGAUGGGUUGCUUCAUACAACCUGUGGAAGCCCCAACUAUGUUGCUCCUGAGAUUCUUGCUAAUAAAGGGUAUGAUGGUGCCACCUCUGAUAUAUGGUCAUGUGGUGUCAUCUUAUAUGUCAUUCUUACAGGAUUUCUCCCUUUCGAUGAUAGAAAUCUUGCAGUUCUCUAUCAAAAGGUAUUGACAACAACUCUCUUUGAUUUUCUUGUGUUUGUUAUAUGGCUUUAGGAAUGAAGAAUUUUUAUUAUUAUUUGCAUUUCCUUCACUUUGAUGCUAACAUUUUUAGAGGGAUUUCAGAUCUUGAAGGGGGAAGUUCAGAUACCCACAUGGCUAUCACCUGGUGCAAAGAACUUGAUAAAAAAGAUUCUUGAUCCCAACCCUGUUUCCAGAAUAACAAUGACAGGCAUCAAGUCAGAUGAAUGGUUCAAGCAGGAUUACUCUCCUGCGAAUCCUGAUGAUGAAGAAGAAGAUAUAAACGUUGAUGAUGAAGCUUUCUCAAUAAAUGAAGUGGUAUGAAUAUGCAAUUCAUGUCCAUUCCCUACCUUUUUUUUGGUACAUCUUUCAAUUUCUUCUAUGCUAACUGAGAACCGUUUCUUUUACCUUUUGGUAUAGCCAUCUGAGGGGGAGAGGAGUCCAGACGCCCGGCACUCGCACACCCAUAUAAAUGCCUUUCAGUUGAUUGGAAUGUCCUCGUGUCUAGACCUCUCCGGCUUCUUUGAGAAAGAGGUUAGGGUAAAAGCUUACUUUGUAAAACGAUUUUUGUCUUCUUUGUUUGGCAUUGAGUAUUUCAUUAUCUAUUACUGAAGUUGAAAGCUCUUUCUGAUUGUGGGUUAAUUUAGGAUGUGUCUGAGAGGAAGAUCAGAUUUACAUCCAACCACUCUGAAAAAGAUUUGCUUGAAAAGAUUGAAGAAAUUGUACUAGAGAUGGGAUAUUGUGUCCAGAAGAAAAAUGGAAGGGUUAGUAGCUUUAUAUCCUCAUUUUCUACUCACGUCCAGAAAUAUUAAAGUUGCAAUGAUAACUGGUAUAAUUUACGUUUCCUUCGUCAAUGCAAUAUCGACUGAAAUAUGGUUUCGUUUAUGCCCAACAUUUCAGUUAAAAGUGAUGCAAGAGCACAAAGGGGAGAGAAGUAUGGGUAGUCUAUCAGUUGCAGCAGAGGUAUGUCAUUUCAAACUCUUGGAGGGUUUUCUUCCUGACAAAACAUUUGUGCCUGGCAUGCAUUUUAAUUAAUUUCUAACCACAUAAAAUUUUUCUUUCAAUGUUUAAUCCUUCCUCUCUGACAAUUUUAUGACUUGAAUUUUAACUGAUAGUUGUCUCCAUAAUUGCAUCAGGUGUUUGAGAUAAGCCCAUCUUUAUUUGUUGUUGAAAUAAGAAAGUCAUAUGGUGAUGCUUCUGCAUAUAGAAAGGUAUAUAUUCUUCUGAAUGGUGCCCCCUUCUCUCUCUUAUUUCAGGAAUUAAAAUCAAUUUCUUUUGCUAUGUGCAGUUGUGUGAAAAGCUAUCACAUGAUUUAGGUGUUCCCGCAAGCCAAGGGUUGUUGACUAGCCAAGUGUGAAAACCAUGUUCUUUGCAAAGUCAAACAACAGGGUAUUUAAAGCCUUGGAGAGAUGUAGAUAGUAUAGAAAUCCUAUAUUACGAUUUAUGUAAAUUUUCAGUUUUGGAUGUAUGUUAGUGUUAGUAUGUAAGACUCGAGUAAAUGUGAAACAUAUUUUGAUUGCAAGAAGAUAUCCUUGUGAAGAAGUCACCAGGACCAUUUGUGUUUAUCGUCUCCUGAAUCAAUUGAUACUUUAUUUUUUCAUCUACGGGGAACGGGAGAUUCGAACUUAGAACAUCUUCCAACAUUAGAAAGACAAAAACCACUAGAUAAAUAGUCCCAGUUAUUUCGUAUUUGUAAGGAAAAAACUUAAAAGCUAACACAAAUUUUCUAAGCAAUCAUUAUUAUUUUCUGACUCUACAACUAUUGUUUAUGAGGUUUGAACACAUUCAUCACACCUCACACAUUGUAGACGUCUGGCUAUUGUUUUUGGAUCAACAACAGGUUCUAAAACAUUAGUACCUCUUGACAAUGAUAACCUACAUAAGUAUUUUAGCAUAUACAAUGGAAUUGAUCUAUUUACAUGGUGAACGUGAGUAACUACGAAUAACCCUUCAACCAGAUGCAAGCAAAUCUAAUUUGCAAGGCUGCUGUCAAGAUCUCCACCAUGUAUCAAGCUUCUGUUGUCUGCACGUUGAAGUUUCUCGGUCAACACGGUCUUGUACUGCUCAUCUCUGUGCUUAAAAUUGAGCAUAAAUUCAACCUGCCAGAGAUAGGAAGACAAAUGAGAUCAUUCAGACAAAAUUACCUAUCAGAAAAUCGAUGUCUUUGACAAGUAGUGCGCAUGGGAAAAAGCUAACAUUAGUUCAAAUAAUAAAUGUAGACAAGGUGAUCCACAAAAAAAAAAAAAAAAAAAAAAAGCAAAGUGAAUACUUUUUAUAUAAUUUUUGUGGUUAAGUACUUCCAUUAUGAGAGAUAUCUUUACCUGUUUCUGGAACAAAUCAAAUUCAUCUGAGCUAAGAGAACCAUCGCUGCAUCAUCUCGAGUUAGAGGCAAGGUGCUGAGUAACGGAAUGGAGAGCUUGAGAUCUUGCAGAGUAAUGAAGGGUCCUGUGUUUGGUAAGCUCAAUUCAGGAAAGUGUGAAUCUUUAGGCCCCAUUAGAGUUGUCUAAUCUCUUCAAAGAACAAAUUUUCAAAAGACAUGAUCUAGUAUACAUUUACCUGGAACUUGUUCAGCCGAUCAGCCAGUUUUUUUAUUGCUUCUUGCACAUCUUGCUCACGACAUAGGUCGUCAAACUCCAUCUCCACGGAGGAGACCUCUUGAGCAGCUUGACCAGAGUUUUCACUCAUUUUCGGGUGGCUCUGCUAAUAAUAGUAGGGCCUGGAGAAAAGUAUCAACACAAAUUCAAAAUUUCCGAAAACGUAAACAUGAAGUUUGCUGCUAUUUCCACCACUUUCGACUAGUUUCACAACCACCAUAUUUGACUCCAUCACUCACGGACCAUCUAAUCAAUUUCUCUACUGAAACACAAAGACAAUAGCUAGUAAGGAUGCUAUACAUUCUUUAUUAUAAUCACGAGAGAGAAUGGCAUGUUGGAUAGCUAAUUACAUAUACAUCACAUCUAGGAUACUAUAUAUGGCUAUUCUUUCUUUAGGAACCAACAGGUUCUACAACAUUAGACCCCUGAACAAUAAUAACUUACAUCAUUCCAAGAGAAAUUUGGUAUAUACAGUUCAAAUAUUUCUAUUUACAUGGUGAAUGAGAGUAACUACAGAUAUCUCUUUAACCAGAUGCAAGCAGAUCUAAUUUCCAAGCCUGCUGCUAAGAUCUUCACCAGACACCUGGAUCAAGCUGCUACUGUUGGCAAUUUGAAGUUUCUCAUUCAAUACGGUCUUGUACAGCUCAUCUUUGUCCUCGAAAUUACGCAUAAAUUCAACCUGCAUAUAUAGGAAGAAAAAAAUCAUUCAAAUGCAACUGCCUACAGGAAUCAAUGUCUUUAACAAGUAAUGUGAAUGGCAAGAAGCUAAUUGUAGUGCAGAUAAUUAAUGUAGAUAAAGGGUUCCAUAAACAUGAAAUAAAGUACAAAAUAAUGGUCCACCAAAAAAUUUCAAAGAAGUGGCGCAUCAAUCUGAGAGUCCUUUUAGUACAAGUUUUCGUGGAUAACUACUUUGAAUGUGAAAUACAGCAAUCUUUACCUGUCUCUGAAAGAAAUCAAAUUCAUCUGAGCUAAGUGAACCAUCACUAUUUGCAUCAAGGAGCUGCAUCAUCUCACGAGCAUCUUCCCCUGGGGCACCAAGCUCUUCCAUCACCUCCAUAAGUUCCUCAAUAUUGAUCCUACCAUCUCCAUUCUUGUCAAGAAGGCGGAAUACUCGAUCGCUCUGACUCUGCUCCAUCUCAAUACCUUCAUGAUUUGUGGAUGGAAUAUCUUGAAGACGCAAUGCCGCAAAUUCAGCUGCAGCCAUCAUUAUGGCCUUGAGUCGCUUUGCCUGAUCAUCAUCAACAAGUGAUUGUAAGUCACAUAACAGGCGAAUAUAAACCAUUUCAAGUACAUUUACAAGCUUAAUGCGCAGGAAAACCAUUCAAAAUUAGCAUUCAUAAAGGGCAUAUAUCAAACAACCUCUUCUGGGUCUGUAAGACCACUCUUGUACAAUGAGUGGGAUGCCGUUCCAGCAUCUGCCAACAUGUCCAUCUCCUUAGUCCUUAUUUGUAUUUCCAUCAAUGGUCUACUCUUGCCACAGUCACUAACAUCAACAGCCAUAUGUAAACUCCUGUACCCAUUUGUCUUGGGCCUGGCAAUGUAAUCUUUUGUCCUAUGAGGCAUUUCCUUCCACAAAGAUCGAACAACUUCACGCGUCCUGUAACAGGCGCUUUCCCCUACUUCUGCCAUAUCUUUGCCACUCCUAGGCUCCAAAAUGACUCUCAAUCCUAACACAUCAUGUACUUGCUCUGGCUUCCUACCAUCUUUCAACAGCUUCUUCAUGGUGCUAAACCGACUCUUAUACCGACCAUCAACUGAAACAUCAACAACCAUGCCUGCCAACAAAGGAUCAACUCUCAAAGACUGCAAGAGCUGUUCCUUGUAUACAUCAACCAGAGGCUUACUUCCACUCUCAUGACUUUUCAACCAUGAAUCAACAUAAAGGUAGGAAUGGGGAAACAAGUACUGAAACGAGAGAUCCUCCAGCUCCAGUGACAGCCAGUUGGUCCCAACAGCGUGAGCUAAAGGUGCGUGAAUCUUCAUAACCUCUAGAGAAAUCGAUUGUUGCUGAUACCUUGGGAGGUAACCAAGAUGUCUCAUCAUGUCAAGCCUGAGGACCAAAUCUAAAAUCACAGCCCUCAUAUCAUAGUACGUCAAGCAGAACUUUCUCAGCGCAGCAGCACUGCCAUCAUCCAAGACAUCAACUUUAGAAGGGACCUUCAGGACCCGCAAGCUUUCAUGCAAUAAAUGGGCAGUGCCAGUACCAAUCUGGUUUCUAACAUCAAGAAUCGAAAUUGCACCAGCCUCCACAACUGGUCUGAGUAUCCCAGCUGAGAUAACUUCUGCAUCCAUCUACAACAAUCAAAUUCACUGAAAACCCAUUAAUGGUAUCAUCAAAAUUACAUAACUGAAGGUCCAGAUAUUGAAAAAAAAAGUCCAUACCUGAAGAUCUGCGAGAAGGAGGGAAGUAGACAAGGCCCUGGAGAGCGAGGAACGACCAUCUGGGGUUAGAGGCAAAGCGUGAAGCAGAGGAAUGGAGAGCUUGAGAGCCUUGAAGAGUAACUGGGACCCACUGCUGGAGAGCAUCCCCAUCCUCUCUGUGAGCUCGUUGAAUGCCCCCACCAGCUCAACCACCAUCUUCCCUCCUGUCUGUUCCAGCAGAAACGACCGAGUUUUCAAUAAACCCAGUCUUCGAAUUCGCUGAGUACAACAUCUCUGCACGGUCACAGUACCCGGGACUAUCCGUAUAGUACGGUCAUGGGUUUUGGGUAUUGGCUCCUGAUGAAGAAGACGAUGAUGAUGACGUGGAUAGUAAAGCUCCAUAGAUGGAAGCUCCAUGCUUAUGUCUCUGCUUUGUUCGUGGUGGAGAGGUAAAGAGUAGACAGACAGUGAGGAGGACAAUAUAAGGAUAUGCUUGUAAUUUUAUCAACUUUAUCCUCUUUUAAACUUGUAAAAAGUAGGGGUGGGCACGGUCCGGAUUGGUUCGAUUUUACUCUCAAACCACAGCUGAACCAAUAAGAAAAUAACGGUCCGGUUUGGUUCGGAUUAGCCUAAAAUCAUAAUGAAAACCGAACCAAUCCAAACCACUUGUAAUCGGUUUGGUUCGGAUUGGUUCGGCCGGUUUGUGCCUAACACAAAACCAUGCAUUUUUCAACCUGCUCUUACAUUAUAAUGCUAACAUUUUGCCAUUAUAUCAUUCCAUUCCAUUCCAUCAAAGGCUAAUACAACAUCAUUCCAUUUAUUCAAAGGUUGUCCAAUGUCUAGCAUGCAUCUAAGUUCACAAUUUUCAUCAAAACAAACAUAUACAAAAUUUGCAUUAAAUUUACUCAUUGCAUUCAUCACAAUACAAACAAAUGAAAAGCUUUUAUCACAGAGAGGUAAAUACUUUUAUCACAGAGGUGGAGUUUGAAUGCGUAUAAAAUUAUGAAAUGGACCCAUUAAUUAAGAUAGAUAGAGUAAGAAGAGCCACACAACACAAAGAGCAAACACACAUAGUAGAGAUAGAAAGAGAGGGAAAUACAAGCACACACAAAUAACUGGGAUAUGCAAAUUAGAAGAUCAAAACGUGCACCAACAUUCAGAUACGCGGACUCACAAAACGCACACAAACCUUGCCACAUGUAAACUAAAUUAAAUAAAUAAUAAAUUAAUUUAUAAUCGGUCCGGUUCGGUUUAUGACAGUUUUUAAAACUCUCAAACCACAGCUGAACCAAACCAAACCGGUUCGGUUCGGUUUUUCAAAAUGUUGACUUUUUCUUUGGUCAAAACCAAACCAAACCAAUCCAAUAUAAUCGGUUCGGCCGGAUUGACCGGAUCGGCCGGAUUGAUGCCCACCCCUAGUAAAAAGUCACUAUUGCUCCUGAUAGUUUAUUAAUUGUUUCACUUUUAUCCAUGUGAUUCAAAUUCUCUCAAUUGGAUCCCUAUAGUUGAAAUCAAGAACACAUUUAAAUUUCUGUUCAAUUUUAUGAUGGAGUAAGGGUCUGUUUGAGAAUGCUUUUAGAAUGGUUAAAAGCUUUAUGACAACCAAAAAAUUUUUUGAUAGCGUUUGGCAGAAAUAUUUAUAAAUAAUUUUGGCCCAUAAAAAGGUUUUUUAAAUAAACACUUGGCAUAUGUUUCUUCAAUAUAAGCACUUGGAUUUUCAAUAAAUUUUUUGACGUUUUUCUAAUAAAAACACUUUUAUAAGCACUUAUGAAUAGAGAUUUUUUCUACAGAAGCAUUCUCAAACGAGCUUUAAGUACGUGUCAUUGAUGUGGAGAAAUAUUUUGGACAAAAUUAAUUAAUGAAUUUGAUAGAAUUUAUAAAAUAUCUUUGAAUUACGAGAGAUUUAAAACUACGGGACCAAAGUAAUAAAACAUGUGAACUAUAGGAGUGAAAAAUACAUUUUGCCUUUAAGUAAUUGGACAAGAACAACGUCGUCCCUUAAACUGAUGUGAUACACGUGUCAAGAUACCUUUGCUGGAACACAGUGGACUCGAAUGCAGUGAAACUUAUACCCCGUCUCUCUCCCUCAAGUCCUAAACCCUACGCCAAGCCCCCAUUCGAAAACUCUGCAACCUCUUUUGGGGUUUCACAGCCAAUCAGCCAUGCCAUCAAACCCAUCAAUCCAAUAAGACUUUUGAGAUUCACUGCGGCCAUGUCGGCCUUAUCAAGAGGCCUCCUUUCUCGGCUUCGCCUUCUCUCCCUCAACCCCACCACCACCUCUUCUGCUGCUGCUGCUAAUGCUAAUGCUACGACGUCGUUUACGCAAACUCAGUACCAUUUCUUCAGAUGGUUCAACUCCGAGGCCUUGGUUGAUGCGUCUGAGGUCGCCGAGGAGCGGAGCCGCGUCAUCGAAGCCAAGCCUGGGGCGAUGAGCCCAAGCUCAAAGAGGACUGGUCUCAUAGCCGUCAAGUGUGGGAUGACUGCGCGCUGGGACAAAUGGGGUGCUAGGGUUCCCAUCACUGUGCUUUGGGUCGAUGAUAAUAUCGUCUCUCAGGUCAAGACCCCCGAGAAAGAGGGCUUCCCUGCUCUACAGGUAACCUUUUUUCUCUUCAUUUUGCUCUGUUUGUGACGAAUUCAUUUUGAUUGAUUACUGUUUUGUUAAACUAUUUUUGUAUUCGUGGGUUGAUUUAUAAUAUCCCUGUAGCUUUAUAGGUUAUGAAAUUUCCGAAGUUUAGAUUUUUCAGAGUUUGGAGAGACGAUAUGCGUUCAGUCCUUUGGAGCGGAUACAACUUAACAUUUGGGCACACACCGACUUUAUGAUUUUGUUAUUCAACUAAAGCAAUAUUUGCUCCAUUUUAGCGGUUUUAAAUCUGCAAAAAGCCAGUCUGGAGACCAGACUACUUGGCAAUUUAUCAUUAGUCAGAUCAUCUGGAGUUUAUUAUUUGGUGGCUUCAGUUGUGCUUUACAAUUUGAAGCUAUACGCAUCCCUUGCUGGGCAUAUAUGAAAGGUCUUGUUAGUUUUGUUACAGUAAAAGGGGUUUCUAUGAAUGGGGUGCUCAUAAAUUUCAAAAUUCGUUGUCACCGAGGGCGCAUAAUUUGUGAUUUGUUUUCCUUCUGUUUUGUUAAUUAUAUGACAGGCCAAUUUGGCAGUGAUAGUGUAGGAACCACUUUUGCUUAGAAGUGCUUUAGUUGAAAGUGUUUUUGAUAGAAUCACAACAAAUUUAAAAUUGAAAUUCCAAGUGCUUUUGUUGGAAGUGUUUUCCUUUGGUUCUUGCAUCUGUUUUUUCUUUUUCUUUUGUUUUGCCAACAUUGAUCAUAUUGAUUUUUCUUGGUAAUUAAACAGAGGGCAAAUUUAUAUUUUCAAAAAAAUUCAAGGGCACGGGUUAAUUAUAGGAUGGUAUUCUGUUGUGGUGCUAGUUAGAUUGGUUGCGGACAGAAGAAAGCAAAACAUUUGACAAAGUCUGAGGUCGGUCAUUUCAGAGCUCAAGGUGUUCCACUUAAGAGGAAACUGAGGGAGUUUCCUGUGACAAAGGAUGCGCUUCUCCCUGUCGGUAUGUCAAUUGGUGUUCGCCAUUUUGUUCCAGGCCAAUAUGUUGAUGUCACAGGAAUCACGAGAGGGAAAGGUUUCCAGGUGAACUAAAUUCCUAAUCCUCAUUUUUUGGUCUAUCCUGUGGUUGUAUGUAUUUUUUGAAGGAAAAAAAAUAAAAUCCUUGUAUUAAGGAUCCAAUCAAUGAAUCUACUGCAGUGAUAAAAAGUAAUACAUUCUUUAGAUGAUGAAAUAUUAUGUAUCAUUUUUAUUUUCUGUGUUCAGGGCGGGAUGAAACGGCAUGGUUUUAAAGGAAUGCCAGCAUCUCAUGGUGCAUCUUUGUCACACCGAAGUAUUGGUUCUACAGGUCAGAGGGAUGCUCCUGGAAAGGUUUGUAUGGGAUCCAAAUCUCCUUAAACUAUUCCCAUGAACUCUUUUGGAAAAUCAGUAUAACCAAAUCUUUUUGCUUCAAAUGAGAUAGCUUAAUUUUGUCAAAUAAUCUGUUGCUCACUUGUUUGUUCUCGGACAUGCUACAUUGCAUUGACUUUCUACAUACUAUUGUGUUUAACCUGUUUAUCUUUUCCCCCCAUAUGAGUAAACACUAUCGCAUUUGUGUGGUCUGGAAAGUUCAAUAAAUGUUUUCUGUAAAUUUCUUCAUUGGUUUGCUAUAAUUAUGUUUCAAGAAUCAAAAUUUCUGAAUAUUUCCGGAUGCAUUCUAGUUCCAUUAGGUUAUAAAUUGUAAUUGUGACAAUCAUAUGUUUGUAUGAACAGGUAUUUAAAGGCAGGAAGAUGGCUGGGCGCAUGGGUGGGAAACAGAGGACGGUAAAAAAUGUAUGGGUCUACAAAAUUGAUCCUGCAAGGAAUUUGAUGUGGGUGAGAGGCCAAGUAAGAUUUCCUCACAAACUUUACUUUUCUGAAUUAAGUGCUCAAAAUUGGAUGGAAAAGGAGGAGGUUAUCCACGGUCCUCUUCAAUUACCUGCACACUGAUGACCCUAAGUGAAUGCAUUUUGAAUCUUAUUCAACAGUAGUUUCAUGAGCUUAAUGAUCUUCAUAAGUGUUUAUAACGUUCAGGGGAAAAGAAUGUAUAAUGAAGGGUUUUGUGCCGGGUAGAGGAUUUUGGUUGGUUUAAUGAAAUUGCUGAUACACAUUCACAACUGCACAGUUUAAAGGCCAUACGAUGAUUGGUCUUAAUCCUCUUCAGAAGUCAGUAUGUUGUAUUGUUAAUCCUGGUUUUGUGUUACUCAUUUGGAUGUUGUCUAUUCUCCCAGGUCCCAGGUGCUGAAGGGAACUUUGUGUUCAUAAGAGAUGCUUUCUACAAGAAACCUGAUAUUUCAUUGCUACCAUUUCCGACUUACUUUGCUCCGGAGGACGAGGAUGCAACCAAGUUAGAAACACUGGUUGCUGAUCUUGGAGAGGUAGAUCCAUUCAUGGUGGCAGAUUAAGCAGGAGCGUAAUCUGAAAUCCCGUGAGGAACUAGGAUGUUUCAUUCAGCCUAAUUGACUACACUGCGGUCACGUCCUCUUUGAUGAUGCAAAGAGCAUGCUGGCUUUAGGGUUAUAAAGACCUGUCUGAGGGUGUUGAAUAUGUUUUGUUUUUUCUUUAAAGUUGAUUUUUGUUAGAGGAAUGCAAGCGCAGAGGUUGUAAUAUUUAUAUAAUUUAGUUCAUUUCAACCUCAGAAUUGAAUACUGACCGACAAUGGUUUUUUUUUUUUUUUCGGUUGGAACCAUGUUUUGAAAUAAAUGUGGCUGGCAUGAAAUUGACUCUUAGCAUGGCUGUGCUUUGAACCAGUUGAAAAGCAUUGAUACUUUUCCAAUAGAAGAGGCUUCUAAACUCAAAUGAAUUGUUGCAAGAUACAGAAGAAAAGGUUCAAAAAAGAAGAAAAUGGAAUCAAUUUGUCAUGCUAUGGAUUUUUAGUUCUGUUCUUUCUGGUAUUUGUGUGCAGGAUGGGAUUAAAAGCAUUUAAAAAGAAGAAGAAGAAAAAAUGCAAAAGCAGAAAAAGGGCUUUUGCUUUUGGAGUUUUGCCAAAUUUGCAUUCAAACGCAAACAGUCAAGUGCCAAACACUCGUAGACUUAAAAACCAAAACCCAAUCGAUGAUUUUAUUGACCAGCCUCCUAAGGAAUUUGCUGCUAUUAAGUUUCGGCUCUGAACCUCGUCUUCUCCUCGCCCCAUUUCGUACCCAAAAAAACCCUAAAUUCCACCUCCCUCUUCUUCUUCUUCCUCCUCCUCCUCCUAGUGUUACCGUUACCCAAUAAUCCUGACCCUCCAAUCUCACAGUCAAAUGCGAGUUCAAUGGCAAUGAAGCGAGACCAACCCGACCUCGAGAAGCGACUCUGCGGCGUCUGCGGCUCCACAGAGCGUUGGUUCCUGCACUACGUCCGCCACAGAGGACAUUUUCGUAAGCUCUGCACCAACUGCGUCCUCAAGAACAACCCAGGCCUCUUCUGCCCUAUCUGCCUCGACUUCUUCGAGCACCCCCUUCCGGCACGUGACCAGGUCAUGUGCGUCCGGUGCCCUUCCAUCUCUCACUCUGCCUGCGUCGCAGCCAAUUCCUCCUUCCGCAGCUUCCAGUGCCCUCCCUGCUCCCAGCCCACCUUCUCCUUCUUCAACCUCGCCCGCCAAAACGACGGCCAAGAUGCCAAAACGACAGUCGUCAUCGACAAGGACGCCGCCAAGGCCCUCGUCGCCGCCGCCAGGAUCGCAGCGGCUUUGAUGACCAAAGCUGCCGUCGCCGCCAGGGUUGACGCCGAGCGCCGGGUCAAGGAAGCCGUCGUGGCGAAAAAGAAGGCCAGAGAGGCCUUGGAACGACUCACGUCUCUUGUCAGUAAGGAAAAGGAGAAGGAUUCGAAGAGUGGAGGCGUUGUUUCGGCGCCUGAGAGCCUCAACGCGAAGCCCAAAUUGGAGGGUCCUGGGCCAAUUCAAGUGGCGCCCAAGAUUUCUGAGCCUGAGGGAAGUAAUGGGUUGAAAACCAGUCAUGCGGAUCCUAUGGAAGAAGACUGAUUUGAGAUCAAGGAAGGAGCUUGAGCUUCAUGGGUUCAUGGGUUCGUAGUUUAAGUUUCUUUUCAUUAUUUGAUGAUGCUCAGCUUUUGCUAUUUAGCUUCAGCUUGAGCUUCUACACAGUCUUCUGGCAAUCUGUGAGUCUCUUUGUUAGUUGCUGUUGGUUUUUUUUAUUAUUAUAAAUUUUUACGCGGCCGCCCUUGGAACUUUUGCAGAGACGAUGUUUACUUUCCCAAGCUGAUGAUUCUCUGGGCCCCUUUGUAUCUACAUUGUCCUUCUUUGCCAUAAUCAGAAAUUGCAUUUUGUAAUUCUCUGUUUUCUCCCUUUGCAUAAACUUCGUUUCCCAAUUAGCAUGAGAUAUUUUGUGGUUCCUUGGCUAUGAAGCUUUACCCAAUAUGUGUGAUGGCCUUGCUUGCUUGUGUGCAAAUGCAUUUUGUCCUGAUUUCGGUGCUAUUCAAGGAGAUGCUAGAAAGAUGACAUGUUUAUCAGAACUUCAAAGUUGGUGUUUCAUUAUACACACUGACCUAAAAUGAGUCUAUUUCUUGUUCCUUGCAUCUUGCAAGUUUUGCCGUCUUGUCUUGAAUGCAAAAUGAUAACUCUCUAGUUACUAAUGCUUUAUUGAGUCAAGUUCCUGAAAGACAUAUCAGGUAGUGAUAUGACUUUGGGUUUCCUGUUAUGGUUCCAAUUCAUUCACAAUUUUCUCUUGUUACAGUGCUCUUCCAGACAUUUUGUAGGUGCUUGCAUAAAGCUUAAAAUUUUAUGCUCUGUUGUGCCAACUUCAUGGUUACAAACCCAUUUGUCUGGUUAAAGCUCAAAAUUACAUUGCUGUAUGGUUCUCUUUUUUUUUCUUUUUUUGGUCGGAAUUGCUAUAUGGUUCUUAUUCGUAAGGUUUCGAUUAAAACCUAUUCUCGCGCAGAGUUCUGUGUGUGCAUGACGACAACUUCACAUGACUAUAUUAUGGAAGUCGUUUGAUCUGCGGCCGAUUGAAUGAUGAAUUGACCUAGGUUCCUUUUUACAUCACUGAAUCUUCAAAACUCAAUUGAGUUGAACCUUCUUAUACAUACCCUCUUCCAUGGUUUCUCUGUUUCCUUCCUCAUCUAUGCUCUCUGCCAUGAUGCUCAUCUUGUCAUCUAAUUUCAGUUUUGCGCAGCCGCAUUCCCAGCCACCCCUGCGUUUCCUUUUAUUUUUAUUUUUGAGAUGUCAAGUUUCCUAACAUGAAGGAUAUGUCAUGUGCACGAGUGCACUGCAUUCGCAUCCCUCUGUUUCCGUCCACCAUAUAUAUAAUAUAAUAAGUUUUCAAUUAAAGAGAGAGAGGAAGGCCAUUUCUGCAUGGCAAUAUUUUGAGAAGAAAAGGAGAAACGAUGCCAAUGAAGUCAUGAAUUUUACCGGUUUCUGACCAAACAAAUAUUGGAAGAUAGCAGGGCUUCAUAUUUGCCCGAUUAGGGUUUUUCUUUUUGGUCGAACUAUAUGUCGUAUGGGUUUGCUGACAAACAAAAUGGCUCAAUCAUUUUUCACUGAAAGGGUUGUACUUGUACGCCACGUUUUUGCCCUAAAAUCUAAAAUCCUGGAUCUGACCAAGAAAAAAUAAAAUUUAACUCUCAUUUUGGCCUCCUUUUUACAAGAAAGAAGAGAAAAAUGAAAAACAAUGUGCUUUGUCUAUAUCAGUUCCGAUGGAUCAAAAUUCAAGGAUGUGUCUUCCACGGGGAAGAAGAUAAGUAAGCAAAGCAUAUGUAUUUACUAUGAUGAAAUGUAUAUACAGAGAAAGGGCAUUUGGGUACAUAAAAAUGCUAUGCAAAAAGGUACUGAAAAACUGUACAGAUACAUACAGCAAUAUGCAAACAAUGCGCAGGGACAAAAGGGCUCCUUAUCUGUUAUCACUAGGGUGGGGUGACAAAUCAACAGCGCCAUCCUCUCUCUCAUCCAAACAUCCAUCCAUCCACCCAUCCAUCUUCAGAUUAAACUUGUUUAUUUCAAUUCAAAUCAAUGAGGCAGCUAAUCCUCCUCAUCUUCAUGUGUCAUGAUGAGUAGUUAAUUGGGUUGAAAUGGGAUCUCAUGAGCUAAUGUUUCAAACCAGUGAAGUAAGGCACGCCUGUGUUUCUCAACCACUGGUCUCCCAGUAGAAAAGGACCUGUAGUGAAUUGAAGAGCCUCAUUUCUGUUCCGGAUCACAUGAAAUCCCUUCCAUCUCACCCUUCCGUUGGUCACAGCCCCCGGACCCCGGUUCCCAUACUCUGCAAAAUACAGAGUAUCAAGUGCAAAGUUGCCACUCCAUUCCAGCCACCCUGCUGGUUGUAUGAAGUCUCCUAGUUCUGAUUCCAUGAUCACGGCCCUUGAGUAUGUCUUCCAUGGCCUCCCUAAGUAUGACUUAGUCUUGAACCUCGUUGGGAACAGAGCCUGUUCGGGGACUAUCCUGCAGUUCUGGAUGACAAUGCCUGUGGUUUCCCUCUUGUCCUGUCUUCCCUGAGCAGUCACAGUGUUUUGCUGGCCGUCCAUAGGCUUUCUCACUAUGAUCAAACAGUUCUGGAUGAGUGUUGGUGAGUCACCGAAGAUGAAGUCAACUGUGCCGGAAAUGACACAGUUGCGAUAGAACUGGCGAUGUGUUUGGACGUACAAUGUGUCUUGGUACGCAUCCAUUCUACAGUUGAAGAAGGCUGACAUCUCCGACUGGACGCGGAGUGCCACCGCCUGAUGCUUCUGGGCGCCGGCUGUGUUCUGAAAUCCCAUUGCCUUGGCUAGAAACCCACUUCCAAUUGCGGCUGUGAUUAUAAAGAAGAAAAUGUGUAUCUAUUACAAGGUUACUAUAACAGCCAAUCCAUCCAUAUCAUGUAAAUUGGUUUUCUGUAAAGCAUUAGGGUCAUCAAAUUUGUUCAGCAAAUAAGGCGUGUGUAAAUAUAUGUCAGGUUCACAGUCAGUUUAAAUAAAGCAUUAUUUAGUGAACAAAUUUGGUGACCGUAGCAUUAUUGGUAUGGUAUUAUUAACUGGAGAAGUAAUAUCUAACAGGUGACUCACCGAAUGUGGCGGUGUUCUGGGUGGUGAUGCCAUCAGCCCAGCUUUUACUCCCAGUGACCAUGGUCUUCCGGGGUCCAUCUCCAUACAUGAACACAUUGACCUGGUCCUUGGUAACAGUAACGUACUCAUUGUAAAUCCCAGCCUUCACAUAUAUGAUAUAUCUUCCCUUAAGCCCCUUAGGAUAUGCAGCAAGAGCCGCACCAAUUGUUUUGUAUUGUCCACUUCCAUCUUUUGCCACUACCGCAUUUGGUCUAACCUGUCCGUUGCUCUGACUUGCCAAUAGCCUCCUGUCUGCAGCGCGAAACCAACUAGGGUACUGGCCUUGCUCAUCAUUAUUGUGCUCGAGAAGUCUUCGGGAGCUGCUUGGAUUCCUUAAAUCUUUGUUUAAAGUGAUGUUGAAGCUUUGUAAGAUCUCAGAAAUUGAGGAAGCAAUUGCUAAGGCAUUGCUCGUCAGCUGCGUGGCAUUGAGAAGCCCAUCUUUCAUCUGUUUUUGGAGCUCUUCUUGAGGAAUCCCAUCAAGGCAUGAUUGUUGGAAUGAUAUCACAGCACUCAACCAAUUUUUCAGCUCAUCCUCUCUAUCAUGCAUUGUGUGCAUAUCACCGUCCCCCACGUAUGAAAACGAAGCUUGAAGAUCAGCAAUCGCCGAUUCCAACAAGUCCUUGCAAUCAUCCAUUGCCAUUUUUCCCGUGGAAUUGAGAUUGCUAAAUGAUUUGGCAAUGUUGCCAGAAUUGUCUAUUGCAGACUUCACUGUUGAAAUGGUGGAAUCAAUGGCUGCUUGGAUGAGGUCUUUAGCCGUGGCGCUUUCAUUUUUCGCAACUUUGCUAAGGCUGUUGAUGCAUGCUUCCUUGUAAUCAGUUGGCUCACAAAUUGCAGCAACGGCCUUAGAACUUGUAGAAAGUUGGUCCUUGUGACUCUUCCUAGUGCAAACCACAGCCACAAGACCAACCACGACGCCAACGACAAGGACAAUUGAAACUCCUCCUAUUACUAGCUUUCCUUUUUUCUCCAUAACUUAGUUUCUGAUAUCUGAUUUUGGUGAAGAAAUGGAAGUUCUAAAUCAUGGAGAUCAUGUAUAUAUGUUAUAUAUAUAUAUACAGCUACAAAAAGGCAUGCAUUGCAUUGGGGGCUGUCCAAAUUUAGGGGUGAUUUUGAAGGCCUUGUCUAGAAUAAGAGCAAGGUAGAUGGUGUGAAGCUUAGGACAAAAAUUCCCAUAAUGUGGUGGUGGUUAAGGGACAGUUAUAUUAGUUAUUGUGUAUAUAUAAGAUCAUCAUCUCCUACAAUUUCUCCGGAAUGAGUUCCUGCUCACCAUUGCCUCUGUCUUUUUUUGGACUUGAUGAUCAUACCAAAACCUACCAACAACAGAGUUCACUUCCCUACUCCCUCCCUCCCUCUACCAUGCACCCUAUCUUUAGAGGGACGAUAUCCAUUUUUUACUUGACCUUCAAGUCAAGCAAUCUCUGUUGUGGCCCAAGAUAUCAAUCAAAAGCUCUGUGUUUUCUCUACGUAUAUCUAGGCUUUUAGAAGAUGGGAUGAUAUUUUUGUCUUCUUUUUUUUUAAUUUUCACGUAAUUGCAAAUCCUAUUCGAAUGUUUUAAAUUAGAGUUCUAAAAUCCAAUUACUCUUGAAAUUAAACAUUACAUAUAUUACACUAACAAGCUAACAUGACAGUAAUAUCUCAUAACAAGUUGACGUGACAGAUCAUUAUAACACACACACACAUUCAUAUUUAAAUCCUUAUCACUAUAUAGUCUAUAAUUAAAAAUAUUAAAAAAAAUCACCAUAUUAUUAUUAUAUCACAUUCAUUCAUGCAAAUUUUACAGUCAACCUUUUGUAUUUGCAAAUACAUAUUUUGGCAAAUGUUUUUAAAAAACAAAACAUUUUUAGGGACCCACAAUAUCUUAUCAACGGUGAACAAAGUAGAAGGUGCUGAAAAAUAGGGUGAGUUUGAAGGUUCUCUCGCUCCAAAGUGAAGACAAAUGACUUCGCUCCAAGUCCUUCAAGCCACCCCACCUCACCUAAGCUCGCCCAAGACCCAGAUUUCACCAUUACGUGGCAUCGAAUCAUGUUCAACCAUGGCCGAGCUCAGGCAGUUGCACUCCAAAGUCAUCAGGCUAGGCCUCGCAGCCGACAACGAUGCCAUGGGUCGUGUCAUCAAGUUCUGUGCCCUCUCCAAGAAUGGCGAUUUGGGUUAUGCUCUCCAAGUGUUCGAUACAAUGCUCCACCCGGAUGCAUUCAUUUACAACACCGUAAUGAGAGGCUACUUGCAAUGCCAUUUACCGAGAAAUUGCAUUGUUUUGUACUCACAGAUGUUGCAAGACUCUGUCACUCCCAAUAAGUACACGUUCCCUUCUGUUAUACGAGCUUGUUGCAAUGAUGAUGCUAUUGGAGAAGGGAAACAAGUCCAUGCCCAUGUUGUGAAACUGGGGUAUGGAGCUGAUGGGUUUUGUCAGAAUAAUUUGAUUCACAUGUAUGUGAAGUUUCAGUCUUUGGAAGAAGCUAGAAGGGUCUUCGACAAGAUGCUCCGGAUGGAUGCUGUGUCUUGGACGACAUUGAUUACUGGGUACUCGCAGUGUGGUUUUGUUGAUGAGGCCUUUGAACUUUUUGAGUUGAUGCCUGAGAAGAACUCUGUUUCUUGGAAUGCCAUGAUUUCCUCGUAUGUCCAGAGUGAUCGUUUUCAUGAGGCAUUUGCUUUGUUCCAAAAGAUGCGAGUGGAAAAGGUGGAAUUGGAUAAAUUCAUGGCGGCUAGUAUGUUAUCGGCUUGUACAGGUUUAGGUGCUCUAGAACAAGGGAAGUGGAUUCAUGGAUAUAUUGAGAAAAGUGGGAUUGAAUUGGACUCAAAACUUGCAACAACAAUCAUCGACAUGUAUUGCAAAUGUGGUUGCUUGGAGAAGGCUUUUGAAGUUUUUAAUGGUUUGCCCCAUAAAGGGAUUUCUUCAUGGAAUUGCAUGAUUGGAGGGCUAGCAAUGCAUGGGAAGGGAGAGGCUGCCAUUGAGCUUUUUGAGAAGAUGCAAAGGGACAUGGUAGCUCCUGAUAACAUUACUUUCGUUAAUGUCCUUAGUGCAUGUGCUCAUUCAGGGUUAGUUGAAGAGGGGCAACGGUACUUCCAGUCCAUGGUUGAAGUCCAUGGUAUUGAGCCCAGAAAAGAGCAUUUUGGCUGCAUGGUUGAUCUUCUUGGAAGAGCUGGGAUGCUUGAGGAAGCAAGAAAGCUAAUAAGUGAGAUGCCAAUGAGCCCCGAUGUAGGCGUAUUGGGUGCUCUACUCGGAGCUUGUAAGAUCCAUGGAAAUGUUGAACUGGGAGAACACAUAGGAAGGAUAGUAAUUGAACUGGAGCCAGAAAAUAGUGGUCGCUAUGUGUUAUUAGCCAAUCUAUAUGCCAAUGCCGGCAGAUGGGAAGAUGUUGCUAAUGUGAGGAGGUUAAUGAAUGACAGGGGAGUGAAGAAGGUUCCUGGAUUUUCCAUGAUUGAACUGGAAGGUGUUGUCAAUGAAUUUAUUGCAGGGGGAGGGGCUCAUCCUCAGACAAAAGAGAUAUAUGCCAAGGUUGAUGAGAUGCUGAAAUGUAUAAGAUCUGCAGGCUAUGUUCCUGACACAGAGGGAGUGUUGCAUGAUCUUGAUGAGGAGGAAAAGGAGAAUCCUCUAUACUACCACAGUGAGAAACUUGCAAUUGCCUUUGGCCUACUGAAGACUAAACCUGGGGAAACUCUUCGUAUAUCGAAGAACUUGCGAGUCUGUAAAGACUGCCACCAAGCAAGCAAGCUCAUCUCCAAGGUUUUCGAUCGGGAAAUAAUCGUGAGGGAUCGAAAUCGUUUUCACCAUUUUAAAAGGGGAGACUGUUCUUGUAAAGAUUAUUGGUAAUGCUGUGUGGUGGUCAGCUGUAGAGAUUUUGUCUUAACAAAAGAAAUACAUCUUACUUAAGAUAUGCUGUAAGCAAGAUAGGUUCAUCCAAAUACUGAAAUUCAUUUGGUUGUGUUAUUAUUUUGAUCAAAUUUGUGGUUUUCUAGCACAUGAGUUUAUGAUUUGUCUUUGCUUUGACGAUAAUUUUAUGCUUCAAAUUUCUUCCCUGUGUUAAAAAAACAGUUUGUAUAGAAUUGAGUGAAAGACAUUUUGUGAACGAUUCACCAAACCAGUUGUGCACUCACUGAGUCAAACUCACACAAUUAUAUUGUGCAAUAAAUAUUUGUCUUGAAUUAUUUAAAAUAUAAAAAAACAGCUAAAAAGAACUCUCUGUUGGAGAGCCAAAGGCCAAAAUUACCUUUAACCUUAUUUCUUUAUUUAAUUUUUAUAUUUUUCUCAAUCAAUCAUUGGUAGUAAAUAGUAAAAAUAAAUAAUAUGUUUACCAUAAAGAACAGAAACCCUAAAAAACGGCGGGUCGAGCAAUCGAGUCGAACCUAUUCCACUCGCGACUCACGAUUCCGAACGAUCCCAGCUCGUUCUUCUUCCUUCACCCAAUUUUUCAAGUUUUCCCACCAAUCCGACCCUCAAAAACCUAACUUUCCAUCCAUUUCUCCACUUUCGAGCGUAUCAAUCAUCCCAAAUCCAAAUGCGUCUGACCCACAUCGAAGAAUUUUAGAUAGGUCAAUAUUUCUUUAUGCCAUUCGUUUUUUCUAACCCAGGUAAGCAGAAUUUAAGCAACCAUUUAGUUUUCU